RNAcentral lists this long non-coding RNA (110968 nucleotides) under Sorghum bicolor (sorghum). RNAcentral describes it as "long non-coding RNA (SBIC_LNC006585)". Lineage: Eukaryota; Viridiplantae; Streptophyta; Magnoliopsida; Poales; Poaceae. The record is from RNAcentral.
CUGCCGGUCAAGAGAGGCGAUCCAGGAUGCCCAGUCAUCCCGCUCUCCAUCGGCAUGGUGGACUUCCCAGAAGCACUCUGCGACCUUGGCUGCAGCGUCAACAUUAUGCCCAGGGUACUCUAUGAAAAAUUCUUUACACAUCCUUUACUAGAAACAACCAUGUGUUUGUAGCCUACAGAUCAGACACUAAGUUUCCAAAAGGGAAUAUUGAAGAACCUCUGUGUCCGAGUUGGUACCUUGUACGCCCCUGCAGACUUCUUGGUAAUAGAGACUGGUACUGAUGAGAGGGCACCCAUCAUCCUAGGGAGGUCAUUCCUGAACACCUCAGGAGUUGUCAUCUAUGCUAGUGCUGCCAAGAUCAGUUUCUACAUCAAGGGGAGGAAGGAGACGUUUUCCUUCAAGAACAAGACUAUACAAGUCUCAGAGCAAUCCUGACAUGAAUCAAGCAAGAGGACCAACAGGAGGAACAGGAACAAGCAAAUGUGGACCAAGUCAGCUAAGAUGGUCACUGCAGUUCAAGGAGGUCAAGACCGUCGACUUAAGUCACCGUUCCUGACCAAAAAGGAUGACCCAGGUAUGCCAAGCAUCCAGUGCUCCAUUAAUGGAUACAACUUCCACAAGACGCUUUGCGACACCGGGUCAGGCAUCAACAUAAUGGCCGCAGUCACCUAUCAGCUCUUGUUCGGAACCAUGCCCCUAAAACCGACAUACAUUCAGCUCCAGAUGGUAGAUCUGACAUUCCGAACGGUUGAAGGUAUAGUAACUGAUGUACCUGUCAAAAUAGACAAUCAUUUUGUCCAUACAAAUUUUCAGGUUAUUGACAUGGGAGAAGACGAGUACGAUCCACUCAUCAUCCUUGGGAGACUGUUCCUCAGCACCGUUAAAGCAAUCAUCUACAUUGGAACCCGAGAAGUCCACAUGCACUUCCACUCUGAGAAGGUACGCCGCUAUUUUACUGACCUUAACUAUAUUGUUGAAGACUCUAAGCAGAUCAGGACAAGAAGAAGACGACGCAACCACAACCAGAGGAGGCAAAUCAUCAAGGACGGAUGAGCAGACUACGAAGAAGAAGUGGUAAGGUCUGAAGACAUACCGCUUCAACAGAACUGUCCUGAGGAGACCGUAGCACCGAGUCAGGUGUGGAGAGAGAAGAUAGUUAUACACGAAGAGGAGGCGCCGCCGGAACCACCGACUACGCCAUCCAGCGAAUCCCAGGACGACUGAGAAAACAGAGAGUCCCGUUCGGAGGACUUAAAAACACCAAACGCCUUGCCAAGAGGUAAACUUGGUAGUUAUCUUUUUUCCUUUCAACUAUUUAAAAUAGUUUGCUUAGUUAAUCAGGUUCAUAUCAUCUUGAAAAGAAAAUAAAAAUGUUAAAAAUAGUAAGCCCCAUGUGAGUAUGCUCAUGGCAUAAAACCCAUAAGUACAUUCACUGUGGUGGCAUAAAAAUAAAAUAAAUAUAUUCCUGUCCUAUAAAAAUAAAAAUAUAAAAAUAAAUUUAUGAUCCUACCAAAGAGUGUAACAUUUAUUGAGGAGGCUCAACAUGAUAAAGGCUAGAUAUUUAUGCUAACACUUAACUAGUUCCACAAAGCUUUGUUGUCUAUUUGAGCUCCAUAGAAUUCAAGUAUCAAAGAAGACUAGCAGACGAAGGACAUCCUAAUUUCUGUCAGGGUGUUGCCGACAUUCAAAUACACCUCCGCCACCUGCUAGCUAUAUCAGAAGAAAUUAUGUCAAAAUCCAGCUUGGGGGAGAGCACCCCCAUUUAUCCAGCUAAGUGUUUCUACUCACAUUUAUACUUUACUCAAAUAAUAAAAAGAUGCAUAAUCACAAAAACCCAAAUAAAGAUUUUGUGCUUAUAUAUAUAUAUCUCUUUACUUAGUUUGCUAAAUAAAUAAAUAAAUAAAGUUUGCUAUGAACCCUCAUGAUAAGCUCUCACAUGGAAAUGAUGAAUAGUUGCUCUGCCAUGACUAGUUCUCAAAAUUGAAAUCUCUCUCAAGUUUAGGCAUGACUGUUAUUAAAUAAGAUUUGCUCUAAACCUGAACUUGUGGAAGAGUACUUGAUCUAAAGUCUAAGUCGUUAACGGAUAUGAUAUGGGAAGGUUGAGCUACUGUUUAUCUGUUCCUAGAGAUGCUAGAAUUCUGGAGAAUUUUAUCUUUGAAAUUCUUUAAAAUGUUGCAUGAUGAGUUCCUAUAUGAUGAGAGUUUAAAAUCCUAUCAUAGCCAUAUAUACAUGCUAAUUAGACUAUGAACCAUACAUUUACUUUUUACUGCUUAUGAGCAUUGAGUGUGGCCAAGCUGUGUAGACCCUUAGGAGCUUGUCAUGUGGUUAAAAUCAAGAUUCACUUGCGCGUUCACUCAUACAUGCUGCUUCUACUCCGGAAGUACGCAUCCACAUGCAUCCACUCAUUUCCAUAUCUAGAUUCACCUAAAAUUAUUCUACUCCUAUCUAGGAGAGAAUAGCCAAAAACAUUAUCCUAUCCCUGUUAUUCCCCGUGAAAUAAAUGCUCGAGAUAUUUUGGUUACUACCACUUGCUACAUUAUUCCAGGAGGGUGAGUGCUCUAAAAAAAGUGAAUACGAGGAAAUUAAAAGGGGCAAGUGCCCGAAACCUCAAGAGAAAAAAAAAGAGAAAAAGUGAGACGAGGGGUAAAAAUGGACAAGUGUCCGACAGUAGAAUUAGGGGUAGAAGAUACCCACCUGAGAGAAAAGAAAAAUAAAAUAUAGAGCAUCUCAUUCCCCUCAAAAGUCUCAAGUGCAAGGAAGGUAUGUACCCCCUCAAAAGAGCAAAAGUAGAAUUAGACUUUCACCAUUAUUUUCACCAUUAUCUCCAUUCAUUCGCCACACAUGCACAUCUUGAUUUGACUUAUUGACUUGUUCUUCUGGAUCCAUGGUUUGACUAUGCAAUAAAUGUCCUGUAAGUAUGUAUUAGCUGUCUCCCACCUAUGAGCUCCAGAUAUCAAAACCUUAUUAGAGUUGGGUGAGAGAGAAGGCAAUGUCACUAUGCCUCAUACCAAAAAUACCACAUACUUUGAGAGAAGGCAUACACCAUUACUGCCUUGCUAAUGAUCCAAAAAUACCACAAAAGAGAGACUAGAGAGAGCCAUACAAGGAAUCUCUGAGUUUUAUUUCAAAAUCUAUAAAAACUCCAGAGCUAUAGUUAAUCGAAGAACAAGAGACAUGGCGCUUGACUAGACCGUUCUAUCUUUUAACUCCUCAAGACACAAGUGACGGUUGCAAGCCCCAUGGUGGAAGGAAAAAUGAGUAAGUUUAAGUCUUAACAGUUUACCCUAACCCAGAGAUGAGAUCUUGUUUCAACGCAUGUGUACCUUUAAGGCAUGAAACCACUGCAGAAACUCUUGAGUCCAUCCUUGCUCAGGGACGAGCAAAGGUUAAGCUUGGGGGAGCUUGUUGACGGUCCUUAAUGCUCACAUUUAACCGUCAACUAAUCAUGGAAAAGGACCUAUAUGAAACCAACACCCAGACUUAGGGUUUUAUCUGACAGAAUUCCACGAGUUUUGGUGUUCGUCUAUUUCUACAGUGGGUUAUCAGGAAACAUGGAGGAAAGGCUCACACGUCGGGUUUACAUAGAGAUAUUAAUGUGUGCGCUAAUUUUCUAUCAUCUAGAAGACUCUAGAAGCCACGGGAACGAACGGGAGGCCGAGCGGGCCCGGGGGCUGGGCGCCUGCCCUCACCCCUUGGGCGCCCGUCCUACCCUGGUGACCAAUCAGGGCAGGUCUCGCGGAUCGUGCUCCAUCACCUUUGAGGAUCAAGGAAAACAAUGCGAUUAAGGUCGGUUUGAUCCGACGGCCCACGUUCAUUUGGAAGGGCUGUAUAAGCAGGCCUCUGGCCCCUGGAGAACAUACCUCUUCUACAGAAUCAAAGCUAGGGUUUCAAUUAUUCAUCCAAGUAGAGAGGAUCCCUCUAGUUCAUCUAGUUCUAGUUCUAGUUCAUCUAUUUCUAGUUCUAGUUAGUUCUAGUUGUAAUCUAGAAAAUAGGGUGAGAGAAGAGGAGAGCGGAGGAGGAGCCAGAUCUGUCGGAUCUUCCUAACAUUGUACUUUUGCAGCAACUGGUUCGUUCUUCAUCGUUCUCCAAGUUCUUCAAUUCAUAAUUCCUGAGUUCUUUAAUUACUUUUAUUUACAUUCAAGUUAUUUAUUGGAUUCCCACUUGCAUCAAGUGCUCUAGUCUUUGAAACGCUAGAGUAGUAAUUAAUAGAUUAGACAUGGUGUUUAGUCUUGCUAUUACCUGGAAUUGCACCCAAUCCUACGGAUUGUUGUGGUAGCCCUAGGGUAGUGAUAGCCCUAACGGUCGACGUAUUCCACCUUGUUUGGAUCGAUGUUUGUAGGACCGAAGUUAGAGCUUCCUAGCCCCCUUCUCAUCUCUUUCUGUGGUUAGUGUUCUGAUGUCCCGAAAUAAAUAAUCUUUGAAGUAAUUCUUGAUUCUUAGAUCAACUAGAGAACUCUCAGGAAACUUCCUCUCUUCCCUCCAAAAAUAAUUAUAUAGUUAUCCUUGGGCGAUCUUGAAUCUGAAUUAGUACACUCAUGUUCCCUGUGGAAAAUCGAUACUCUGGCGUACUCCCGGGUGAAAGCUACAUCGGUAUCCAUGCGCUUGCGGAUUUUUCUGUUUGCGUUUAAAAUAUCCAACACCUAGCACGAAGAAUGAGCAUGGUGAUCCAAUGUGCAUAGGGUAGCUGACGUCGACCCCUGAAGCCCUCAGCUAUGGUGUCCUCAAUCUCUGACACUAUCAGAUCCCACAAGUCAAAGGCCUCUGAGCAAUCAGGUGAGCUAUGAGCCACUGUUGAAUCCUGGUGAAUCCAUCCCUGUAGCCCUACCUGGGGAGAAGUGUCUUCCUCAUCACGAAGUCGAGGAUCCGACCUGUGCGUGUAAGAUUGCCCACUGUCCUACUAGAGCCCUCACCAAAAGGCUGACUAAAGCACGGUGCAACAAAAUCAACAGGAGGAAGUGCACCACCGUGUGGUCGUCGAGGGGGCUCAAAGUCGCCAUAGCACAACUCAUGGAUCUUGGUGUCAUAUGCUGUCAACUCCCAAGUCCCUCUGGCCCUCUGAGCUGUUACCCUAUAGUCUGUGCCUGCCAAUGCGUAGUGGAUAUAAAUGUGAUCUGGAGCAACCCACACUGAAGCGAAGAACUCACGUACCCACUCCUCAACAUAUGUACCUGGCAGAGCAAGCAGACAUGGGAGACCUGGUAGAUAAGUGUACUACCUGAUGUCCGCACCUACCACGUUCCCUAGCAUCUCAAGGUCUAGCACCCUGUGUCCCCUGAACUAAGUCUCAGCAUGGACAAAUGCCAUAUACAUGUCCUCCUAAACAACUAUGUAGAAUCUGGCAUGUGCCCUCUGAUCUCGGGCUACUGGAAACCAGUUGGGGAAGGGAGCAAACCUCAACCCCUGGAUCUCACGAGUAGGUGCACGUGUGUAGUCCUUGUGGAUCCAGACUAGAGCUGGGCGUCGAGCUAGGGUGCUGCCUGCUGGGGUGGAGUGAGUAGACGAGGUGGACUGACGCUGCGUACGAGUCCUAGAGGCUGCCUGGGUAUGAGUGCGAGUCGACCUCCGAAGGGGCUGCUCCUAUUGCUGAACCUCUGCUUGGCCCUCUACUUGGGCCUCUACCUCUAUCUUAGGCUCCUCAGUCUCCACCUCUGUCUUGGGCUCCUCCUGUCCAGGCUCAUUGACAUUGAUCCUGACACGACGACCUCCUAGCAUGAUCGUGCCAGAUGGAGUCCCAUGUCGCUGCUCAACCUGAAGCACUGCACGGCUCUUAGGUGGCGUGAGGUCUGACCCGAUCCUCAGAUUACCUGAGCGACCACCCCACUAAGCUGCCUCUGCUGCUGCUGCCCCUGCCUUUGCUACCUCAGCUUCUCUGUCACUGGCCUUCCUCUUAUUGGUCAUAACCUUCUUCCCCUUGCCCUUCUCUACAGCUAUUGGACGACGGGGCCUGUCAUCUCCCCCAUCGCCACCUAGUGUGCCACCACUACUGGCUGUUGGACCACUGACGUUCUUGCAACAUGACAUUGCAAGAAACUAAACCUGAAAAACUGCCAACAACUGAUAGACUGACACUCGAGAGGCUUGGCCUCAAACCGUACUCGCGGGCUUGGCCCCGAGUUCAACUGACACUGACAACUGACAAGCAGAAACCAACGUGCUGCAAGAGAUGGAAUAGAUAGGGUAUAUAAGCACACAUAAUAGCUAGAGACAAGAAAACCCUAUAGAUCGCAAGAUAUAGAUAAGAAUGGACAUGAACUGCUUACGAUCGGUUCGGCGAGAUGCGUUCUGGAUGAAGUAUCGAGAUCAAGGAUUGUCGGAGAGCACAAACCAAUUUCACAAGAUGCUACAUGGGUAGAACAAAUGAAAUCGUCAUCAAAAACAACAAUUUAUUCCAUUCAAACAUAGAAUCGAGCACCUUGUGGGCAAAGGUUAAAGCACUCACCCCAAAACUCUAGAACCCUAUGCGACAACAGGGUUGAGCGCAGAGGAGAAAGGGUAGAGGCACAGGGGCGAGAUCUGAUGCAGGGAGAACGAAGAUCGCUGGAGAAAGCUGGAAUCCUGUGGCGGCGGUGAUUUCCUCGGCGAGUUAGGGCUUGGUUCUGCAGCUGGCGGAUCGAGAUAAAGAAAAGAACUCGGCCAGAGAAAACCUGUACGCUCGGGGUUAUAUCCGCUGACUGUGGGGGCACCGAACGCUCUUAAGUUGUCACAGGACGCGUCCGGUGCCAACCGGUCUUAAACACAAAGAGCUCCACAAAACGUUCGAGCACCUAACGAUGGCCAACGGAUGCUCGCCUAGUGUCCGGUGCCACAGGGCACCCCUCGGUGAGUCACCGGACGCACGUCACCAAACGCGCUCAGCGCACUGUGCGCGAGUUCUGUGAGUGCAGACCUAGACACCCACCACACUAGACACAUUGGGGGUGCGUCUUAUGUAGCGUCCGGUGCACCAUUAACCCAAAGUUUCAACAGAGAACUGACCCGACUUUCACCCAACCAAUUUCCAACUUCAAGAAGGCUCAAAUAAACACAAAUUGGAACUGGUAUGAGUGAUCUCUGUAACAGAACCGCCCAAAUUAUGAGAUUAAGCCUAAUAGUGACCAUCUGCACAGUCAAACCAUUGAGCUUAAGCCCAUAUAAUCCCAGUAGUCUGUGAAAUCUCAAAGGAUUUCAAACCACAAAUCGUACGUACAGCCAAGAUCAUAAUAAGUUCAGCGGUCACCAUUCACAAUUACAUCUAGUUCGCGUCAUUCAUCAAAUACAUCGGAGUUACUUAAAGUUAUUACAACCCAAGUUCUCAAGUAGCGGAAGCUUCAUAGUUUGAAAGUAACACACACACAUUUAGUCUGAUACAGUGCCAUAGUUGAUCAUUCCCACAAAAGCAAAAGAGAAGGUAGAGUGACCAUCGCCCUUGGUCUAGUCAUCACCCAUUGUUGGGUACAAGCAGAGAAUGCAAUAACCAUAGUACAUCUGCCCAUCUGCAAAACAACAUGGAAAUGGAACCCUGAGUAUGAGAUUGUACUCAGCUAGACUAACUCGUCAUAGACCAAGACUCUUCAAGGAUCAUGUAGGCUGUAUGGUGGGAUAGCUGAGACUUUUUGCAUAAAAGCAUUAUUCCACUAAAAUAUAGCCUAAUAACCUUUCUUUUUUUAUUAGCUCAAGUUCAAUAUUAUCAUCACCUAUUAUCUAGGUUUGCACCUGUACUAUUGCAAACAAGUGUGGUGAUAUGAUGGUGCCUCAUCAUAGCAUUCAUAAACCAUUUAUCUUCAUAACCUAAGUGUUCCAUAGUCCUUACUACGAGGACGAAGCUCAUGUCAAGUGCUCACUAUCCAGGAGCGAUGGCAAUUUGAAUCGAUUUCUAACCAGCUGACGAGUUUAUUCCUCCACACAACCCACACUCACUGAUCAAGUGAGCUACAGAUCAUCGUAUUGCACUAUCCAGGACCAAUUCGCGGGUUCGACAGGCACCGCCCGUACCCGAGGACCGUUCCGGUGACCGAGGUAUCCAAGGUAUACCAAGGUUGCGCGCCGCGCCCUCGUCGUUCUCCUCAACCAUCACCAAUACAGCGCAUACAUCAGGCCGAUUCCCGGCCCGGAUAGUGCCCAGGCUUCGCGGUCGGAACGACUUAUCCUUCCAGCUAAGUGUGGGGCAUGCGUUCAACAUGACAAGAGGGCCGUCAACGAUCGGUCCUUAAUUGACACAGGCAGGGGCACUACGGUCAACUUCACCAUAAGACCCUGCCCGGUCUCAAAUUCAUUACCACACUUGGUUACUUUUCCUCAAAGCAUUAUCAGCUAAACAACCAGGUGCCCACCUAUAUCUCGCAGGUGACAGGAAAUCACCCGACUUCUACCGUUCUAAGCGAGAUAAGAAACACACCCGAGCCUAUCUACAUAGGACAAGGUAGAUAAACAAGUGGUGAUAUCAAGGAGUAUAUAUGCAUCAAUGGUAUCAAGCAAUUUCUAUCACUUAAAUGCAACAUAGUAGAACAAGCAUAACAUAUCAUUAAGUUAGCAAGAAUAGGGAGACUUAGAAUGCUCCGGGGCUUGCCUUUCUCAAACGUGCUCGGCUUGUGGUCUGGGCACUCCUGCAGCUCUUCUCCGGGCUCUGGUCCUCCCAGAAGUUCCUGCUCCUGGGUCUCCUCCUGCUCCUCGGGUCCCACCUCGUUCUCCUGCGAGCCUGUAUGAUGCAUGUGUUCUCAUGAGUGGAGUGCGAGAUGCCCGGGGUGCAAUGCUUAUGCAAGUGAUUACCCGAUGACCAUGACAUGGUGCAUAGAUGACAUAGGUGGUUAUUUCUAAAAGGUAGUCAACAUCAUCCAAGAACAUGUACUCAAAUUAAGCAACUAUUGCAUUCUCUUCUACAGUUGCCUCCAUGGUUAACCAGCAAGCUAACAUGAUGCUUCAAAGAUACACCAAACACCCUUUUAUUCUAUUUAAUUUAUGCACAACAAUUCAUAAUUUAUUUAAUCAUUAUUGGAUCUACAAAAGUAGCAUAUGUUUCUGUAAAUCAAUAAAUGCCACAAAAAUUACAGCAGAUCACCAGUCAACCAUAAAGUCUACCAUAAAUUUUUCAUAAUAUUUGGACACUUAUUUUGGGCUACAAAAAUUACAAGGUUAUUCAAUAUAAUUAGGUAUAAAUACCCUACUGUUGACCAAGUGUCAAACAACCGAUUUCAAAAUUUUAUAAAUUACUUAUCAACAUAAGAAACACCCACAAAAAUUUCCAGAUUAAUUGCAUGAUCCAAUUAUUUAUUAAAAAUCAUAAACCACUGCCAUGCAAGCAUUUAAAUCACCAUAAAUUAAUUUCAUCAGCAAAUAAUAUGUGACAUAUUUUUCCCAGAGACUAAUCCUCCAUGCAAAGCCAACAAAAUAAGUUUCACAUUUUUCUAAGUUAUAUUUUAAUUACUAUGCAUUUCCCAAUUUUCAACAAAAACAUGGAUUAAAUAUAUUUGUACAGAAAAGUUGUUCCAACAUAACAUGCAACCAUACCAAACUGUAGAACUAGAAUUAUAGAACACACCACAAUUUAUUUCAUCAUUUUUGGAGCCAUAUAUCUCAAGAUAUGGAUUUUAUACUAUUUAAACCAUUUUCUGGAAAACCUUUUAAAACGAAAAUCGAGUUAAAACGCUAAGGGCACCAGGAUUCAAACCCGCAGAGCCACUGAUAGGCGGGUCCCGUGGGUCAGCCGAACCCACUUGUCGGCCACCCCGACUGCCCGCGGCCAAAGACUCACCGGAAUCUCACCGCCGGUGAGGUCUCCAGCGACACCAAGGGGCUCUACGGCUUCGCGGAUGCGAGACGAAUCAAACCAUGCCCUUUUUGGCGCCUACCAAGCAGCGGAAUCACCUCACCAUCGAGAAUGGCGGAUGCGGCGGCGCGGCUCGCCGUGGUCCGGCCACCUCGCGACGGUAGAGCGCGCGCUAACAACUGGAACAGGUGCGCAAAGCCAAGGCAAAGCUAACGUGCCUAAAAUGCAGGAAAUGGCGGAGAGGGAGAGCCGCGCGGACCGAGGGGUCGCCGGAGCUCCGACUCACUCCGGUGAGCUCUACCGGACGCGCGGGACUCACCGAGCGCGAUUGAGCGCGAGCACGGGGUGCGGAAGGAUGAGGCGGAGGUGUUGGUGCUCGCGGAGAGGAGGGAGAAGGUCGGAGCUGGCUAGGAGAUGUCGGCGGCGAUGGUGCGCGGCGGAGCGGUAGCUGCUGCGCGCGAGCGAGAGAGAGGGCGAGAGCGCGAGCGGAGAGGCGCAAAUGGUAGCGGGGACACAGGCGGACGCUGCCGGGUGCUCCUGGUGGCCGACCGGGGCGCGUCGAGGCUGCCGCAUGCUCGCCACGCUGCGGCCGAGCUCUGCCGGCGCGCCACGGCGGCACAGCGCGGCCGUCCGCGCGCGGGCACGGCACGGGCGCGGGGAAGGGGGCGAGCGCGGACGGGCUGGGCCGGCUUCGGCAAGUGGGCCAGAAGUGAGGCCGCGGCCUCCUAGCGCCCCCCUUUCCUUUUUCUAUUUUUUUUUUGAAAUUCUUUUCUCAAAUCUUUUUCUAAAUUUAUUUGGACUAUCUUAAAACCCUUUUCACCUUUUGCUCCCAAAACAAAAGUUGUUCUAAAUAAAAAGUUCUACAACUUUGUUUCAAGUUGUAUUUCCAAUUUCCCAAUAGAAUCUGAAUUACCACUUAAAACUAGUUCUAGGUUUUCAUAUAAAUUCAUUUUAGGGAAUUAUGUAUAAAAUCCAUUUCUCAAUUCCUAUAGCUCCAAAAAUUUCACAAAAUUACUCUUAAUUCUUCUAACACAUAUUUCAACCUAAUUUGGGCAUUUCAAGAAACUUAGAAGCAAGCAUAAUAUUUUUACCAUAUUUAAUUCACAUAAAAUAAAGCACAUAAAAUCACACUUGAAUGAAUAACAUGCCUAUGUGAUGCUAUGCUUGAUGAGAAUGAUUAUGGAUGGUUUAUGAGACUAAGUAUAUGCUUAACACCUAGGGUGUUACAGCCCCUCCCCCCUUAGAGAAAUCUCGUCCCGAGAUUUUGGGUUACUAACCAUUUCUUAUGAAAUUUUGGAUAAACUGUUUUUAGGUAAUCCUUGGUUUCCCAGGUGGCAUCUCUAUCAUCAUGAUGACUCCACACCACCCUAUAUGUUUUGACAACUCUGUUCCGAGUUACCUGCUCCUUGGUAUCUAUGAUGCCCACUGGCUGCUCUUUAUAUUCCAAGUCUGCUUUUAGUUUGAUUCCUCGUGGUUCAAUCCUUUGCUCGAGUACUUUCAAACAUUUCCUCAACUGGGAUACAUGAAAAACUGGAAAGAUUGAGCUCAACUCUUCAGGUAACUGAACCUUGUAGGCCACAGGGCCUUUCCGCUCUAGUAUCUGAUACGGCCCCACAUAACUAGGCGCAAGCUUGCUUCUAACUCGAAAGCGUUGAACUUUCAUCGGUGUAACCUUGAGGUAUAUGUAGUCUCCCACUUUAAACUCAAGGGGUCUUCUUCUUUUGCCAGCAUAGCUUUUCUGUCGUGAUUGUGCCACUCUCAUGUGUUGUUGUAUGAUGUGCACCUUCUUCUCAGCUUCGUUCACGAAGUCGAUACCAUAGUUUCUUCUUUCACCGGGUUCGACCCAGUUUAACGGAGUCCUGCAUCUUCGACCAUACAAAGCUUCGAACAGAGCCAUCUUGAUACUCUCCUGGUAGCUAUUGUUAUAUGAAAAUUCAGCCAAGGCCAACCAUGAUUCCCAUGAUCCCUUGGAUGAUAACACACAAGCCCUUAGCAUAUCUUGGAGCACUUGAUUGAGGCUUUCCGUUUGACACGAGGUUUGGGGAUGAUAUGCGGUGCUUCUUAUCAGACUAGUCCCCAAACUCUUAUGCAUUCGCUCCCAAAAAUGAGCGGUGAAUUGCGGUCCUCUAUCUGAUAUGAUGGUCUUGGGAAUACCAUGUAUCCUGACGAUCUCAGCCAUGUAUAUAUCAGCAUACUCAGGAGGUCUGUACGUGUUUUUAACUGGAAUGAAAUGAGCUGACUUGGUCAAUCGAUCUAUGAUUAACGAAAUCGAGUCAUUCCCCUUUCGGGUUGUCGGCAAACCUGUGAUAAAGUCCAUGCUAACCUCUUCCCACUUCCACUCCGAAACCGACAAUGGUUGCAACAGACCUGCAGGUUUCAUAUGUAUAGCCUUGACUCUUCAACAUGUGUCACAACGGGCCACAUAUGCUGCUAUUUCUUUCUUCAUUUUGGUCCACCAAAAGUGAGACCUCAGGUCUUGAUACAUCUUGCUACUGCCAGGAUGGAUAGAAAGUUUUGAGAGAUGCGCUUCAUCCAUGAUGCGAUUCUUUAGCUCUCGAUUUUUCAGAACUACCAACCGGUGCGGAAACCACAAUACCCCUUUCUCAUCAACUCGGAACUGAGUCUUUGGGUCGUCUUUGAUCUUCUCUUUGAUGUGGAAAAUACCCUUAUUUGUUUUUUGACCUUCGAUGACCUGACUUUCAAGUGAACGACUGAGCUGUAUGUGACAUAAGACUUCAGGAUGCAUGAGGUUGAAACCAUCUUCAAAUAAUAGUUGAACUACUUGAUAGUGUGGUUUGCGACUUAAGGCGUCUGCUACCACAUUAGCCUUGCCUGGAUGAUAGUGGACCUCCAGAUCGUAAUCCUUGAUCAGCUCUAACCAUCUUUGCUGCCACAUAUUUAGCUUGGACUGAGUGAAGAUGUACUUUUGACUUUUAUGAUCUGUGUAGAUAUGACACUUGUUUCCUAGCAGAUAGUGCCUCCAGAUCUUCAGAGCGUGCACUACUGCUGCUAGCUCGAGGUCAUGAGUCAGGUAGUUGACUUCAUGCUUCCUCAACUGUCGUGAAGCCUAAGCUACAACUCUGCCUUCUUGCAUCAACACACAUCCUAAACCACUUUUUGAUGCGUCACAAAACACAUCAAAAGGCUUCUCAAUAUUGGGUUGCGCUAGAACGGGAGCGGUGGUCAGCAACUUUCGCAAACUGCGAAGGCUAUUUCACACCCUUCCGUCCAGACAAACUUAUGAUCCUUUUGUAGCAAACUAGUCAUUGGCUUAGCAAUCUUGGAGAAGUCGGGUAUGAAACGACGAUAAUACCCAGCCAGACCAAGAAAACUCCGAACUUCCGAGACAGAAGUUGGUGCCUUCCAGUCCAUGACUUCCUGUACCUUUGACGGAUCCACAGCAAUCCCUUCUUCAGACAGAAUGUGCCCUAGGAAAGGAACUUUCUUCAGCCAGAACUCGCACUUGCUGAACUUUGCAUACAACUGAUGCUCUCAUAAUCGCGUUAGCACGACUUAGAUGCUCGGCGUGAUCUUGCUCAUUCUCUAAAUAGACCAGAAUGUCAUCGAUGAACACCACAACAAACUUGUCUAACUAUGGCAUAAAGACCGAGUUCAUCAGAUACAUAAAGUAUUCAGGAGCAUUUGUCAACCCAAAGGACAUGACAAGAUAUUCAUACAACCCAUAUCUGGUGGAGAAAGCAGUCUUUGGUAUAUCUUGCGGACGGAUCUUGAUUUGGUGAUACCCGGACCUCAAAUCUAUCUUGGAAAAUACUUUUGCCUUGGACAACUGAUCAAACAAGAUAUCAAUCCUUGGCAGUGGAUACUUAUUCUUAAUCGUUACCGCAUUGAGUGGACGAUAGUGCACGCACAUGCGCAGCGAUUGAUCCUUCUUUUUCACAAACAACGCCGGACAACCCCAUUCCGACGAACUUGGCCGAUGAACCCUUUAUCCAGUAACUCCUUUAGUUGAUUCUUCAAUUCAGCGAGCUCAUUAGGCGGCAUCCGGUACAGUCUUCUAGAGAUUGGUGCGGUACCUGGUAUCAACUCUAAUGCAAAUUCCACUUCCCUAUCCGGGGGAAGUCUGGGCAACUCUUUGGGAAAAACAUCAGGGAACUCACAGACCACGGUAUAUGUUCUAGAGGAACCACCUGUACUGCACACGAGAGACUGGCGAAGUCUAACCGUCGGGGUAGCCUGACCUGAAGCAUACCCUCCCACUGCGGGUCUUUAAGGGAGAGUGUUCUAUGUCCAGCAUCUAUAACUGCACCCCAGUCAUUCAUCUUAUUCAUUCCAAUGAUAACAUCCAAAACCAGCCCUCGCAUGACCACAAGGUUUACACAAAACCUUCCGCCACUGAUAUCCAAGGUAACCCCCGUUACUGCUUUGUUAGUCAACACAUCAGCCCCUGCUGAACUGAUGCGAUAACCAUAACCCAACUCGGUAACUGGUUGGUCAUGUUUUUGUGCAAAUGCUUGGCUCAUGAAUGAAUGCGAUGAUCCAGAAUCAAACAAAACCACUGCAAGAUGUUGGUUGAUAGGAAACAUACCAGCUGUUACCGGUUCUCCUUCCGGGAUCUCCUCUAUCGAGGUAUGGUGCACACGGGCUGGCUAGGUUGCCUGUUGCUUCUUGGGGUAGGGGCAUUCCUUAGCAAAGUGCCCCAUCAUGUGGUAGUUGUAGCACGGCCCCUUGGUCAUGUUGUUGGCGGCAGGUGCUGCAGCUUGAAUUGCCUUUGGCUUGGCAGGAGUUAUUGCCACCAUGUAUGGUUUCUACUGUGUUGGAUGCCCUAUGUUCCUUCUCUGCAGCGGUCGGAACCAAGCACCUAGGGCAGGAGGACGAUACUGCUGACGUUCUGCCACUAGUGCCCUGGACUGAGAUGAUCCAACUUCAAAAGCCCUCUUGCGAGAUUUGGAUGCACUAUAGUUGUUAUUAUUGUUCUCCUAGGUCAGACAGUCACUGAUGUAGGCAUUGAAGGUAGCCCGGGUUCCUGUACCCAUGGUCUUCAACAUCUUUGGGCUCAAGCCUCUCUGGAAACUAGCGAUCUCCUUCACCUCUGUGUUCACAAACUCGGGAGCAAAACGAGCAAGAUUGUUAAAAGCGUGCAGAUACUCCUUCACAGACUUCGUUCCCUGGGACAGCCUCAUGAACUCCCCAACCAUCAUUUCCACCACACCUGGAGGAAUAUAAUUCCCCCGAAAAGCAGUGGUGAAGCGGUUCUAGGUGAUCGGGGUCCCCUCUGGGUAGGUGGUGCGAUGAUGGGACCACAUAUCCGAGCAGGCCCCAGCAACUGAUGCGCCUCGUACUCGGCCUUGAGCUCUUCGGUCCUCCAAAGAAGACGGAACUUUUGCUCCAUAGUGUUAUUCCAUUCGUCUGCCUCAAGUGGUUCCAAGGCCUCCUUGAAGACUGGUGGUUUAGUAUCCAUGAGGUCCUUGAAAGAGCUGUACUGAUUGGCUUCAUGGCCGCCCUGGUUAUCCCCACGGCGAGUGUUGUCAGCGAUAUUACGCAGGGCUUCUUCCAUGUUGCGCUGCAUCUGCUUCAUGUUGCAUUGGCUCCCCAGAAACUGUGCGAAAAACACAUCAGCGGUGUACGGAGGAGGGGAUGGUGGUGGCGGUGAUGGUGCUCUCUCCUCAUUCCUUUGAGCCCCAACUCCGGAAGUACCUGCUCCAAGACCGGGGUUGCUGUUACCCCCACCACGGGUUUGCACCAUCUGCAUGUGUCAAUGAUAAGCAGUCGUUAGGAGCUGUUAUCGACGGGUAGACAUAUGCAGAAUCAUGCCGUACUGAAUUUACUGAGGAAAUAAAUUUGCACAAUAAAUAGAGGCACAACAAUUCAUCAUCCACAUACAACAUCGCUAAAGGAUUACUUAACAUUCGAGCAACAAGGUUCGCAUAGAUCCAAAAUUGCCAACAUACAUACACUGGACUUUCAGCGUCAUCGCAUAAUGUUUUACACAUCCAAGAUCCACAGACUACAAGACAUGCCAUGCAACAACAAUAGCAAAAGAAGGACUAGCUCUAUAGCUCUAGCAUCUACUCGCUAUGGUCACUGUCCAUGCCGGAGCCUUCUUCGUCCUCAUCUCCACUAGCGGCUGCCUCCAACUCUGGAUCCUCAUCCAUCUCGUCCUCUGAGUCUAACUCAGCUGCUCCAGGCAGGUGGCGAGGGUCGAGCUGGUUAUGCAGCUGGUGGAUCUCCUCAUGCAGGUUCUCAUUGUACUCCUCAGCAUUAGCUAGCUGCUGCUCAAGCUCUAGUUGUCGGGCCCUCAGGGUGUCCUCCUCGUGCCAGGCUUCAUUCCUCUGACCAAGCACAUGAACUAGCAUUUGCUCGCAGUACCUGUGAGCGGUGGUCAUCCUGUCCCUCUGCUCUCUAACUACGAGCAGGUCCUAAUUCAGCUCACUGUUCUUCUAGACUACCUGAUCCCUCUCCAAAGUCACACGGGCUAACUUUGCCUACAGCCUCUCAACCUCAGUGUCAAACUCGCACUGUAGCUGGCGCUUCUCAUCCUGAACUAUGAGAUGGGACCCAGACAAGCGUCCCAAACAACGCUCCAGACCCCCAUAGGUCUUCAUCAAGGCGAACAUAGCACUCAUAGUUGCGCUGUCAAUGUGCUGAUCCUCAUCCGCACUCCUCUCUAGAGCGUUCACCUCGGACUGAUCCCACACCGUAGUGUAGGGGUCACCCUGGGGAAACACCCCAGCGAAGGCGUGGGCCAGCUCCUGUGGGAACCUCUCCAUGAUGUCCCUCAGAACUGCAAAAGCUACUCUGCUGGCACCCUGGAAAGGCGUGGUACCUUGAGACUCAAACACCCAGCCGCCCCAGGUGGGGUCACCUCCACUGGUAGGGACCACUGCCUCGACCCCCACCAAGGUCCCGUCACCAAGCUGCUCCUUGUUCCAACAGUAGCGAGGUUCCCUUCCUUCGGGAUACCCCAUCGAACUGAGCACCCUCCAAAGCAAGGUGGGCAUCCCAAACUCCUCUAGGAACUUGCUCUUAUGACGCGAGCUCCUAGGUACCAACUGAUGGCGAGGGGCCCGCCCACCAGUGGACUUGCAAGCGGUGAGCCUAGUGCGCGCCAUCUACUGAAAAUAGAAUACCUUGGGUAAGAUUGAGGAUUAUCUUUUAUUAUCUUAAUUGAAAUUGGGAUAGAUUUAAUUAAUGGGAGGAAGUAAGCAAUGAUAUGGAAUGAACAUGAUGCAUGGACGAACUUACGAUCUCACAAACUUAGAAACAAGAGUUAACACUAAUCGGUUUAUGCGGUGGCACACAACGUUCUCUCAUAACGUAACUAGCGUUCUAGGCGAGAACGUGGUUAGCGUACUCUGUCACUGGCCUCUGCUACCUCAGCUUCUCUGUCACUGGCCUUCCUCUUCUUGGUCAUAACCCUCUUCCCCUUGCCCUUCUCUGCAGCUGUCAGACGAUGGGGCCUGUCAUCUCCCCCAUCGCCACCUAGUGUGCCACCACUGCUGGCUGUUGGACCAUUGACGUUCUUGCAACAUGCCAUUGCAAGAAACUAAACCUAAAAAACUGCCAACAACUGAUAGACUGACACUCGAGAGGCUUGGCCUCAAACCGUACUCGCGGGCUUGGCCCCGAGUUCAACUGACACUGACAACUAACAAGCAGUAACCAACGUGCUGCAAGAGAUGGAUUAGAUAGGGUAUAUAAGCACACAUAAUAGCUAGAGACAAGAAAACCCUAUAGAUCGCAAGAUAUAGAUAACAAUGGAUCGAGAUCGAGGAUUGUCGGAGAGAACAAACCAAUUUCACAAGAUGCUACAUGGGUAGAACGAAUGAAAUCGUCAUAAAAAACAAUAAUUUAAUCCAUUCACACAUAGAAUCGAGCACCUUGUGGGCAAAAGUUAAAGCACUCACCCCAAAAGUCUAGAACCCUGUGCGAGAACGGGUUUGAGCGCAGAGGAGAAAGGGAAUAGGCACAGGUGCGAGAUCUGAUGUAGGGAGGAUGAAGAUCGCUGGAGAAAGCUCGAAUCCUGUGGCGGCGGUUAUUUUCUCGGUGAGUUAGGGCUUGGUUCUGCAGCUGGCGAAUCGAGAGAAAGAAAAGAACUCGGUUGGAGAAAACCUACAGGCUUGGGGUUAUAUCCGCUGACUGCGGGGCACCGGACGCUCUUAAGUUGUCACCGGACGCGUCCGAUGCCCACCGGUCUUAAACACAAAGAGCUCCACAAAACGUCCGAGCAUCGAACGAUGGCCACCGGAUGCUCGCCUAGCGUCCGGUGCCACAGGGCACCCCUUGGUGAGUCACCGGACGCACGUCACCGGACACGCUCAGCGCACUGUGCACGAUUCCGGUGAGUGCAGACCUGGACAACCACCACACCAAACGCACUGGGGGUGCGUCUGAUGCAGCGUCCGGUGCACCAUUAACCCAAAGUUUCAACAGAGAACUCGCCUGACUUUCAACCAACCAAUUUCCAACUUCAAGAAGACUCAAAUAAACACAAAUUGGAACUGGUAUGAGUGACCUCUGUAACAGAACCGCCCAAAUUAUAAGAGAUUGAGCCUAAAAGUGACCAUCUGCACAGUCAAACCAUCGAGCUUAAGCCCAUCUCGGUAGUCCGUGAAAUCUCGAAGGAUUUCAAACCAUAAAUCGUACGUACAACCAAGAUCGUAAUAAGUUCAGCGGUCACCAUUCACAAUUACAUCCAGUUCACGUCAUUUAUCAAAUACAUCAGAGUUACUUAAAGUUAUUACAACCCAAGUUCUCAAGUAGCGGAAGCUUCAUAGUUUGAAAGUAACACACACACAUUCAGUCCGAUAUAGUGCCAUAGUUGAUCAUUCCCACAAAAGCAAAAGAGAAGGUAGAGUGACCAUCGCCCUUGGUCUAGUCAUCACCCAUUGUUGGGUACAAGCAGAGAAUGCAAUAACCAUAGUACAUCUGCCCAUCUGCAAAACAACAUGGAAAUGGAACCCUGAGUAUGAGAUUGUACUCAGCUAGACUAACUCGUCAUAGACCAAGACUCUUCAAGGAUCAUGUAGGCUGUAUGGUGGGAUAGCUGAGACUUUUUGCAUAAAAGCAUUAUUCCACUAAAAUAUAGCCUAAUAACCUUUCUUUUUUUAUUAGCUCAAGUUCAAUAUUAUCAUCACCUAUUAUCUAGGUUUGCACCUGUACUAUUGCAAACAAGUGUGGUGAUAUGAUGGUACCUCAUCAUAGCAUUCAUAAACCAUUUAUCUUCAUAACCUAAGUGUUCCAUAGUCCUUACUACGAGGACGAAGCUCAUGUCAAGUGCUCACUAUCCAGGAGCGAUGGCAAUUUGAAUCGAUUUCUAACCAGCUGACGAGUUUAUUCCUCCACACAACCCACACUCACUGAUCAAGUGAGCUACAGAUCAUCGUAUUGCACUAUCCAGGACCAAUUCGCGGGUUCGACAGGCACCGCCCGUACCCGAGGACCGUUCCGGUGACCGAGGUAUCCAAGGUAUACCAAGGUUGCGCGCCGCGCCCUCGUCGUUCUCCUCAACCAUCACCAAUACAGCGCGUACAUCGGGCCAAUUCCCGGCCCGGAUAGUGCUCAGGCUUAAUGGUUGGAACGACUUAUCCUUCCAGCUAAGUGUGGGGCAUGCGUUCAACAUGACAAGAGGGCCGUCAACGAUCGGUCCUUAAUCGACAUAGGCAGGGGCACUACGGUCAACUUCACCAUAAGACCCUGCCCGGCCUCAAAUUCAUUCCCACACUUGGUUACUUUUCCUCAAAGCAUUAUCAGCUAAACAACCAGGUGCCCACCUAUAUCUCGCAGGUGACAGGAAAUCACCCGACUUCUACCGUACUAAGCGAGCUAAGCAACAGACCCGAGCCUAUCUACAUAGGACAAGGUAGAUAAACAAGUGGUGAUAUCAAGGAGUAUAUAUGCAUCAACGGUAUCAAGCAAUCUCUAUCACUUAAAUGCAACAUAGUAGAACAAGCAUAAUAUAUCAUUUAAGUUAGCGAGAAUAGGGAGACUUAGAAUGCUCCGGGGCUUGCCUUUCUCAAACAUGCUCGGCUUGUAGUCUGGGUACUCCUGCAGCUCUUCUCUGCGCUAUGGUCCUCCCAGAAGUUCCUGCUCCUGGGUCUCCUCCUGCUCCUCGGGUCCCACCUCGUUCUCCUACGAGCCUGUAUGAUGCAUGUGUGCUCAUGAGUGGAGUGCGAGAUGCCCGGGGUGCAAUGCUUAUGCAAGUGGUUACCCGAUGACCAUGACAUGGUGCAUAGAUGACAUAGGUGGUUAUUUCUACAAUGUAGUCAACAUCAUCCAAGAACAUGUACUCAAAUUAAGCAUCUAUUGCAUUCUCUUCUACAAUUGCCUCCAUGGUUAACAAGCAGGCUAACAUGAUGCUUUAAAGAUACACCAAACACCCUUUUAUUCUAUUUAAUUUAUGCACAACAAUGCAUAAUUUAUUUAAUCAUUAUUGGAUCUACAAAAGUAGCAUAUGUUUCUGUACAUUAAUAAAUCAAUAAAUGCCACAAAAAUUACAGCAGAUCACUAGUCAACCAUAAAGUCUACCAUGAAUUUUUUAUAAUAUUUGGACACUUAUUUUGGGCUACAAAAAUUACAAGGUUAUUCAAUAUAAUUAGGUACAAAUACCCUACUGUUGACCAAGUGUCAAACAACAGAUUUCAAAAUUUUAUAAAUUACUUAUCAACAUAAGAAACACCCACAAAAAUUUCCAGAUUAAUUGCAUGAUCUAAUUAUUUAUUAAAAAUCAUAAACCACUACCAUGCAAGCAUUUAAAUCACCAUAAAUUAAUUUCUUCAGCUAAUAAUAUGUGACAUAUUUUUCCCAGAGACUAAUCCUCCAUGCAAAGCCAACAAAACAAGUUUCAUAUUUUUCUAAGUUAUAUUUUAAUUACUAUGAAUUUCCCAAUUUUCAACAAUAACAUGGAUUAAAUAUAUUUGUACAGAAAAGUUGUUCCAACAUAACAUGCAACCAUACCAAACUGUAGUAGAACACACCACAAUUUAUUUCAUCAUUUUUGGAGCCAUAUAUCUCAAGAUAUGGAUUUUAUGCCAUUUAAACCAUUUUCUAGAAAACCUUUUAAAACGAAAAUCGAGUUAAAACGCUAAGGGCACCCGGAUUCAAACCUGCAGAUCCACUGACAGGCGGGUCCCGUGGGUCAGCCAACCCCACUUGUCGGCCACCCCGAGUGCCCGCGGCCAAAGACUCGCCGGAAUCUCACCGCCGGUGAGGUCUCCGGCGACACCAAGGGGCUCUACGGCUUCGCGGAUGCGAGACGAAUCCAACCAUGCCCUUUUUGGCGCCUUCCAAGCAGCGGAACCACCUCGCCAUCGAGAAUGGCGGACGCGGUGGCGCUGCUCGCCGUGGUCCGGCCACCUCGCGGCGGUAGAGUGCGCGCUAACGGCUGGAACAGGUGCGCAAAGCCAAGGCGAAGCUAACGCGCCUAAAAACGCAGGAAAUGGCGGAGUAGAGAGGGAGAACCGCGUGGACCGAGGGGUCACCGGAGCUCCAACUCACUACGGUGAGCUCUACCGGACAUGCGGGACUCACCGAGCGCGAUUGAGCGCGAGCACGCUGUGCGGUAGGACGAGGCAGAGCCGUUGGUGGUCGCGGAGAGGAGGGAGAAGGUCGGAGCUGGCCGGUAGAGAAGCUCCGAGCGUCGGCGGCGAUGGCGCGCGGCGACAGCGCGAGCGGAGAGGCGCAAAUGGCAGCGGGGACGGAGGCGGAUGCGGCCGGGCGCUCCUGGUGGCCGACCGGGGCGUGUCUAGGCUGCCGCAUGCUCGCCACGCGGCGACCGAGCUCUGCCGGCGCGCCACGGCGGCACGGCGCGGCCGUCCGCGCGCAGGCACGGCGCGGGCGCGGGGAAGGGGGCGAGCGCAGGCGGGCUGGGCCGGCUUCGGCCAGUGGGCCAGAAGUGAGGCCGCGGCCAGCUAGCGCCCCCUUUCCUUUUUCUUUUUUUUUUUGAAAUUGUUUUCUCAAAUCUUUUUCUAAAUUCAUUUGGACUAUUUUAAAACCCUUUUCACCUUUUGCUGCCAAAACAAAAGUUGUUCUAAAUAAAAAGUUCUACAACUUUGUUUCAAGUUGUAUUUCCAAAUUCCCAAUAGAAUUUGAAUUACCACUUAAAACUAGUUCUAUGUUUUCAAAUAAAUUCAUUUUGGGGAAUAUUUUGUAUAAAAUCCAUUUCUCAAUUCGUAUAGCUCCAAAAAUUUCACAAAAUUACUCUUAAUUCUUCUAACACAUAUUUCAACCUAAUUUGGACAUUUCAAGAAACUUCGAAGCAAGCAUACUAUUUUUACCAUAUUUAAUUCACAUAAAAUAAAGCACAUAAAAUCACACUUUAAUGAAUGACAUGCUAAUGUGAUGCUAUGCUUGAUGAGAAUGCUUAUGGAUGGUUUAUGAGACUAAGUGUAUGCUUAACACCUAGGGUGUUACAGCCUCUCUCAAACCCUCAAAGUUUUCACAAAUAUUCACCCUUAGGCAUAGUAGUUUUUAUGAAAAUAGUCAAGUGAAAGCACCAAGGAGCAUCGUGUGGCCAUAAAGCUAGUGGUUUAAAUCAUGAUGAGCUUUGAAUGCUGCCCCUAUCUAUGGACGAACACAACUGAUGCUCAAAGCAAAAAAUAAAAAGAAACGGUAAACCAACAAGCAUGCUUGAUGUCAUCCACCGGCAUGUUCUUCAUGCCAUCCCUCAAUGGUUCACCACCUACAUCAUCAAGAUUAUCACUUGCUCCUUGGGAUCCAUUAGUUUCGUCAAAUUCAACAUCAAAUGUUUCUUCAACCAUGUUUGUGGCAUGGUUAAAGACCCUAUAUGCCUUGGACUUUGAUGAAUAGCCAACCAAGUAGCCAAUGCCACAUCUCCUUUGGAACUUGCCCAAGUGUUGGCGAUUCUUGUAGAUGUAGCACUGCANNNNNNNNNNNNNNNNNNNNNNNNNNNNNNNNNNNNNNNNNNNNNNNNNNNNNNNNNNNNNNNNNNNNNNNNNNNNNNNNNNNNNNNNNNNNNNNNNNNNAUAUGGUGUCUUCUCUAGAAACUUGUGAGGAAAGAGCCGGUUUGAUGCAUAGCAUGCGGUGAUCAAUGUCUCCGAAGUGUUGUACUCAUCAAGCAUUGUUCUUCCCAAGGUGAUCAAUGUCCGGUUCUUUCUUUCUACUACCCCAUUUUGUUGUGGUGUGUAUGUUGAGGAGAACUCAUGCUUGAUCCCAACUUCAUCACAAUACUCUUCAAUGUUGGUGUUGUCAAAUUCUUUACCAUUAUCACUUCUUAUCUUCUUGAUCUUCACAUCAAAUUGAUUUUGAGCAUUCUUUGCAAAUUUUUUGAAGAUUGAUGCAACUUCGGCCUUGUCUUGCAAGAAGAAUGUCCAAGUGUACUGGGAGUAAUCAUCAACUAUGACCAAGAAAUAUUUGUUGCCUCCAAGACUAACAUAUGUGGUUAGUCCAAAUAAAUCCAUGUGGAGUAGCUCAAGCACUCUUGAAGUAGAGAGACAGGUUUUUGUUGGAUGAGCGUUUGCAACUUGCUUGCCGGCUUGACAUGAACUACAUCGCUUGUCCUUCUCAAAAGUCACAUCCUUCAAGCCUCUAUUCAAUUCUUUCUUCAACCACUUCUUGAGUGUGCCCAUUCCAACACGUGCUAACCUUCUAUGCCACAACCACCCAAGUGAGGUCUUGGUGAAUAAGCAAGUCUUCACAUCAACUUCAUCGGAUGAGAAAUCAACUACAUAGAAGUUGUUGUGUUGGAAGCCUUUGAAUACCAUUUCAUUAUCAUCCUCCUUGGUCACUAUUACUUCCUUUUUCUUGAAUAGGCAUCGAAAGCCAAGAUCACAAAGUUGUCCAACCGAGAGCAAUUUGAAACUUAAUGAUUGCACAUAGAGCACAUUGGUGAUGGCUUUGUCAUUAGAUAUUGCAACCUUUCCUAGAACCUUGACCUUGCCUUUUGAAUUGUCACCAAAUGUGAUCUUCUCUUGGUUCUCAACAUCUUCAUCAAGUGAGGUGAACAUCCGGGGAUCUCCGGUCAUAUGUUGAGUGCAACCACAAUCAAUUACCCAAUGUGAUGCACCGGUCUUGUCGUUCACCUACACAAAAGAGAUCAAGCUUGAGAUUUAGGGACCCACAUUUGUUUAGGGCCCUUGACCUUCUUUACUAGUUGCUUUGGCACCCAAAUCUUCUUUGGCCUUAGCUUGUUGGGCGGCCCCAUGAAGCUAACCUUGACCUUGCCACUCUUGUCUUUCCUUACAUUGUAGUGAGCAUUGAGGGCAAAUGGUCUAGCAUGCUUGUGCAAGGGUGGUGGUAGUGGUGCCUCACACUCAUGAGCAAAGUGUCCCUCUUGUAGUGACUUGAUGAGCUUGGUUUUAUGAGCCUUGUAGCCAAUCCCACUCUUGUCCAUCUUCAUGAUGGUGUUCAUGAAAAGCUCACUUUGAUGGUCUUUCUCUUUGGUGAACUUGGCUAACCCCUUGGUUGGGUGUUCUUUCUCUUUCUUGAGCCUGUUGUUCUCUUGAGUUAGCUUCUUGAUGAUUGGGUCAUUGUUGCUCUCUAGCUCUUCCAAGAUGAAAGACUCAUCUUCUUCUUGCUUGUCAUACAACAACCCAAGCUUGAGAUAUUGGUUCUCUUCUUUGAGCAACUUGUUCUCAUAUGCAAGCUUCUUAUCUUGAUCAAGUGACUCAAUCACUAUGGUGUUGUGUUUGACUUGCUCUUGCAACUCUUUCUUGAGCUUGGCAUUUCUUCCUUGAUCUUGAUAGUGUACUCAUAGCUCUCGGCCACUACCACUUUCUUGCCCUUGCAACAAACACAUUUGCUAGUGCUCUCCACAAGUAAGUCAUCACAAGAUGUGGCUACAUCAAGCUUAACAACAUUGUUAGUAGCAACAUGUGUUUCAUUGAUUGCAAGAUCAUAAGCUAUCUCAAGGUUGUCAUAGUUUGCUUUUAGAGUUGUGAAUUCUUCCUUCAAGGCUCUAUGUCUAGUGAUAAGCUCAUCAUGAACACUCUCAAGUUUAUCAUGUUUUUCUUUGAGCUCUUUUAGAGAAAGUUUGAGCUCCUUGAGCUUAUUAGUAGUCAUGAUAUCAUUUUGAUCUCUAAGCUCAUCACUAGAUUUAAGCUUUGCUAGAAGUGAUUCAUUUUCAUGUUCAAGUUUGUCAUUUUCACUUCUAGUUUUUCUUAUGACCUUAGUGUAUUUAUUUAGCAAUUGCACAAGUUCAUCAUAAGAGGGUGAUUCAUAUUCACUAUCACUCUCACUACUCUCAUCCUCACUUUGUACCUUCCGGUCACCCUUGGUGAUGAAGCAUCAAUGGCAAUAAGAGGUGUGUAGAGGAUGUAGAUGGUGGUGCAGAUGAUGGUGAUGAAGCAUCAAUGGCAAUAGCGGUAACCUUCUUAUCAACACUUUCAUUGCUGGAGGAGUCACCACUUGUGCUUUCAAUGUUGGUGAGCCAAUCACCAACAAUGUAAGCCUUGCCAUUCUUCUUCUUGUGGUACUCCUUCUUCUUGCCACCUUUCUUCUUGUAUUGCUUCUUGUCGUUCUUCUCAUCAUCACUUUAAUCAUCUUGCUCUUUGUUCUUCUUCAUGUACUUGUUCAUCUUGGGCUUGAGACAUUGGUGAGCAAGAUGACCAAGAUCACCACAAUUGUAGCAAUCCAUAUAAGAGAUGGGCUUCCUCUUGCUACUUGUGAAGAACUUCUUCUUCUUGGAGUCAAAGUUGACUCCAUUCUUGUUGAGCUUUUUCAACAUCUUGGUGGUUCUUCUCACCAAGAGGGCAAUGGAUACAUCAUCAUCACUUGAAGUUGAUGACUCAACUUCAAUCUUCUUGGCUUUGCCCUUGUGAGAAGCUUUGAGGGCCAAGUUCUUCUUCUCCUUCUUGGCCGAUGAAAAGCUAUCUUGGGGGUUCAUGUGCAUCUACAUCUCAUGAGCGUUGAUCUUCCCCAAGAUGGACGUUGUUGUGGCGGAGGAGAGAUUGCCUUGGUGAAACACGGUUACUAUGUGCCCAUAUUUCUCAAUGGGAAGAAAACAUAGUAUCUUCCUCGCCACAUCUGCAGAACUCAUUUGAUUGAGCCCAAGUCCAUUUAGCUCCUCUACAAUGACAUUCAAGCGAGAAUAGAUUUCAUUAGCAUUUUCUUUUGGAAGCAUUUCAAAUGUAUUAAGCUUGUUCAUCACAAGAUGAAAGUGUUCCUCACGCUCACUCUUGGAUCUCUCAUGGAGCACACAAAGUUCCUUCCAUAACUCACGGGUGGUUUUGUGGUUCCUUACGCGGUUAAACACCUCUUUGCAAAGACCUCUAAAGAUGUGGUUUUUGGCCUUUGUAUUCCACUUCUCAUUCUCAUGCUCUUGUGGAGUAAGAGCGGUGUCUUUUGCCGGAGGGGUAAACCCUUCGGUCGCGACUUUUAGGCACUUAGUGUCACAUGCCUCAAGGUAUGACUUCAUCCGUAUUUUCCAAUACGGGAAGUCAUCGCCAUCAAACAUGGGUGGCGGUCCAUCCCCGUUAGACAUCUUUUCUCUAGGCGGUGAAGCCUAAAUAAUGAGCACUAGGCUCUGAUACCAAUUGAAAGGAUUAAGAUGCCCAAGAGGGGGGGUUCAAUUGGGCUUCUCUAAAAAUUUAUUCAACCUAUAAGCUCUAGUUUAUCCCCUUGUGCCUAGUGUGACUAGAGAGCUACCGGAUAAAAGUUUAGCAACCUAGUUCCAAUCCUAUUCUAGCAUGGGAAUUCUAGGAAUGUAAAAACUCAAUGUAAUUACACAAAGUAAAUACUAGAAAGUGAAGGAGGAGAGCGAGAAAGUGCUCGGUGAUGUUUUGCUGAGGUAUCAGAGAGUCGCCACUCUUUACUAGUCCUAGUUGGAGCACCUGCGCAAGGGUCUUGCUCCCCGUUGGUCCGUGCAAGGACCAAGUGCUCUAUACAGGCUGAUUCUUCGACACUCCAUCACGGUGAAUUGCCCACAACCGCUCACAAACUUGACACGAGCCACCCACAAGAACUUCGGGUGGUCUUCGUGCCUCCAAUCACUACCGAACCGUCUAGGUGAUAGCGAUCACCAAGAGUAGGAAGCAAAGAACUCUCACUUGACCCAAACAUGGCACUCGAGAGUGGUGGAUGCACACUUGACUCGUGGAACUCAACUAGAGAAGGAUUCUCAAAAGAAAUCUCUCAAAUCUCAAUCCUCUCUAGGCUCUUGCUUCUCUCUUGCACCACAAGGUGAUUCUUGUUGGGUAUUUUAAACGCAAAUAGAAAAAUCAGCAAGCGCACGGAUACCGAUGUAGCCUUCACCCGGGAGUAUUCCAGAGUAUCUAUUUUCCACACGAAACGUGAGUGUACUAAUUAAGAAUCAAGAUCGCCCAAGGAUAACUAUAUAAUUGUUUUCGGUGGAAAGAGAGGAAGUUUCCUGAGAGUUCUCUAGUUGAUCUAAGAAUCAAGAAUUACUUCAAGAUUAUCUAUAUCGGGACAUCAGAGCACUAACCACGGAAAGAGAUGAGAAGGGGGCUAGGAAGGUCUGACUACGGUCCUACAAACAUCGAUCCGAACGAGGUGGAAUACGUCGACCGUUAGGGCUGUCACUACCCUAAGGCUACCACAACAAUCCGUAGGAUUGGGUGCAAUUCCAGGUAAUCGCAAGACUAAACACCACGUCUAAUCUAUUAAUUACUACUCUAGCGUUAUAAAGACUAGAGCACUUGAUACAAGCGGGAAUCCAACAAAUAACUUGAAUGUAAAUAAAAGUAAUUAAAGAACUCAGGAAUUAUAAAUUGAAGAACUUGGAGAACGAUGAAGAACGAACCAGUUGCUGCAAAAGUACAAUGUUGAGGAAGAUCCGACAGAUCCGGCUCCUCCUCCGCUCUCCUCCUCUCUCUCCCUAUUUUCUAGAUUACAACUAGAACUAACUAGAACUAGAACUAGAGGAACUAGAAUUAGAACUAGAUUGUAACAGAACCGACCAAAUUAUAAGAGAUUAAGCCUAAUAGUGACCAUUUGCAUAGUCGAACUAUCACGCUUAAGCCCAUAUAAUCCCGGUAGUCCGUGAAAUCUCGAAGGAUUUCAAACCACACAUCACAUAUACAGCCAAGAUCGUAAUAAGUUUAGCGGUCGCCAUCCACAAGCACAUCCAGAUUACAACAUUCAUAAAAUACAUCGGAGUGCUUAAAGUUAUUACAAACCAAGUUCUUCAAGUAGCGGAAGCUUCAUAGUUUGAAAUUACAACACACACGAUAAGUCUGAUACAGUGCCAUAGUUCGGUCAUUCCCACAAAAGCAAAAGAAGAGACGGAGUGACCAUCGCCCUUGGUCUAGUCAUCACCCAUAGCUGGGUACAGACAGAGGAUGCAAUAACCAUAGUACAUUUGACCAUCUGCAAAACAACAUGGGAAUAGAACCCUGAGUACGAGAAGGUACUCAGCUAGACUUACCCGUCAUAAACUUAAAAUAAAGACUCAUCGAGGAUCAUGAAGGCUAUUUGGUGGGGUAGCUGACAACCAUUUUGCAAAGACCGCAAGGUUUUAUUACCCAAACCUACAUAAAUCUUUUCUUCUUUUAGUCUGCUCAAGUUGAAAGUAUCAUUAUCUAUUAUCUAGGUUUGCUCCUGUGCUAUUACAAGCAAGUAUGAGACUAUGAUAGUACCUCAUCACAGCAGUCAUAAACCCGUUUCAUUAUAACCCAAGUGUUCCAUAGUCCUUACUACGAGGACGAAGCUCAUGUCAAGUGCUCACUAUCCAGGAGCGAUGGCGAUUCGAAUCGAUUUCUAACCAGCUGGCGAGGUAUUCCCCACACAAACCACACUCACUGAUCAAGUGAGCUACAGAUCACCGUAUUACACUAUCUAGGACCAAUUCGCGGGUUCGGCAGGCACCGCCAGUACCCGAGGACCGUUCCGGCGACCGAGGUAUCCAAGGUAUACCAAGGUUGCGCGCCGCGCCCUCGUCGUUCUCCUCAACCAUCACCAAUACAGCGCAUGGCGGCUCGAUUCCCGGCCCGGAUAGUGUUCAGGCUUCGCGGUCGGAACGACUUAUCCUUCCAGCUAAGUGUGGGGCAUGCGUUCAACAUGACAAGAGGGCCGUCAACGAUCGGUCCUUAAUCGACACAGGCAGGGGCACCAUGGUCAACCCACCAUAAGACCCCGCCCGGUCUCCAAAUUCGUUCCACACUUGGUUAUUCUUUUCCCCGAGCAACCAAUGCUUAAUCAAGCAGGUAUCCACCUAUAUCUCGCAGGUGACAGGGAAUCACCCGACGUCUACCGAACUAAGCAAGCUAAGCAUAGACUCCGUGCCUAUCUACAUAGGACAAGGUAGUUGAAUGAGUAGGAAUAACAAGGAGUACUCAUGCAGCAACGGUAUCAGGCAACUCCUAUCACUUAAUAUGCAAUACAGUAGAACAAGUAUAACACUUUAUAUAAGUUAGCGAGAAAAGGGAGACUUAGAAUGCUCCGGGGCUUGCCUUUCUCAAACGUGCUGGGUCGGUGAUCCGGACACUCCUGCAAUUCCUCUCCGGGUUCCUGUGCUUCCGGAGGUUCCUGCUCCUGAAGCUCCUCGGGUUCCUCGGUUCCCACCUCGUUCUCCUGCGAGCCUGUAUGAUGCAUACAUGCUCAUGAGUGGAGUGCGAGAUGCCCGAGUGGAUGCUUACAUGAGGGAGUACCAAAGGAGUCAUGUUAUGAUGCAUAGGUAAUGCACUUGAUCAUGCUUAUUACAAGGUAGUCAACAUCAUCCAAGAAUAAACAAUUGAAUCAAACAUCUAUUACAUUCUCUUCUAUAAUUAUUUUUCAAAUGAAAUCAGCAACCUACAUGAUGCUUCAAAGAUACACCAAACCCAACUUAGUCCAUUCAACCCACAUACACAACCAUUCAUAAUUUUCUUUAUUCAUUUCUAAGCCCAUUAAAAAUCACAUGCAAUUCUGUUCAUCAAUAAAUUCCAGAAAAAUUACAGGAGACUACUAGCUAAUCAUAAAGUCUACUGUAAAUUUUUCAUAAUUUUUCGUUACUUAUUUUGAGCCACAAAAAUCACAAGAUUAAUGGAUAAGGCAAGUAUAAUCACCCUACUGUGAUAUAAGUGUCAAACAACAGAUUUCAUAUUUUUACAAUUUAUCUAAUAUCAUAAGAAAUACCCACAAAAUUUUCCAGAUUUAUUGCAUGACCCAUUUAAUUAUUAAAAAUCAUAAAGCACUGCCAUGCAAGCAUUUAAAUUACCAUAAAUUCAUUUAUACACCAAAUAAUAUGUAACAAUAUUUUCUCAGUGAUUAAACACACAUGCAGAGCCAGCAAAACAAGUUUCACAUUUUUCUGAGCCAUAUUUCAUUUACUAUGCAUUUUCCAAGUUUAACAAAAUCAUGGAUAAAAUAUAUUCACACAGAAAAGUUGCUCCAACAUGACAUGCAAUUACAUCAAACUGUAGAUCUGGAAAUAUAGAGCACACCAAAAUUUAUUUCAUUCAAUUUGGAGCUGUAGAACUCAAGAUAUAAAUUUUACAAUCUUUAAAUCAAUUUCUGGAAAACACUUUUUCAAGAAAACCGACGAAAAACGCUACGCACACCCAGAUCUACACCCACCGGGGUACCCCUGCGACUGACAGUGGGUCCCCGACCCCACCAGUCAGCGAGACCGAGAGGGAGCUCACCUCCGACGAGCGGAUCUCGCCGGCGGUGAGGUCUCCGGCCACGGGGUGAGCACCAACGUGCUCCCCGCAGCAAGACGCACCCAACGGUACCCUUGGAUCGACCAGAGGGCGGCCGGAACACCUCCGGCGAGCAUGCAUGGCGGCACGGCGGCGCUGCUCGCCGUGGCCAGGCUGCUCCGGCGCGGUAGAGCGUGCGCAAACGCCUCUCCGAGCUUCCUCACCUUCCUACCGACCUAGCGCAACAGAGAACGAGCGAAAAGACGCAGGGAAACGCUAGAUCCGCCGCGGCGGAGUACUCCGGCGAGCUCGGGGUAACUCCGGCGAGCGAUUCACGGCGCUCGACGGACUCUCACCUCGGUAGAACGUUCGCACGAGCUUACCCUAGCGACGGCGAGUGCCCUGGUGCUCUCGGCGUCGAGCUUGAGGCUCUGGUGUGGCCGGCGACGAGCGGCGGAGCUCUCUCCGGCAAUGGCGCGCGGAGGAGCGGCUGCUGCUGCGCGGUGCGAGUGGAGGAGGAAGGAGAAGGAGGGCGCGGGGGACAGAACGGGUGAAAUGGUCUGGGAGCCUGCGCCGGCGUCCCGACCAGGGGGGGUUGGAGGCCGGCCGCGGUGCGUCCAACGCCGGCGUACGGCCGCCACGUGGCCGGCGCCGGGUGGAGCGAGGCGCGUCCGCGCGCGGGAGGGAGAGGGAGAGGGGAGGCAGGCCGGGUCGCUUGCUGGGCCGAAAGGGAAGCGGGGUUGGCCCAGCAGCGCCUGCCCCUUUCUCUUUUUUUUUUGAAUUUCUUUUCUCCAAAUUCUUUCUAAAUUCAUUUGGACCAAUUUAAAAUCAUUUUCACCUCUUGCUCCCAAAAACAAAGUUGUUCCAAAUUAAAAACUCUACAACUUUGCUUUGACAAGCAAGACCAAAUUCCAAACAAAAUUUGAAUUACAAGUUAAAACUCAGCUCUAGGUUUUAAAUAAAUUCAUUUUGGAAAAGUUUGUAUAAACUCCAUUUCUCAAAUUCCAUAGCUCCAAAAAUUGCACAAAAAUGUUCUUAAUUCUUCUUACACAUAAAGCAACCUAAUUUGAAUAUUUCACAAUUUUAGAAACAAGCAUCACAUUUUUAACAUAAUUAAAGCACAUGAAAUGAAGCACAUAAAAUCAUAAUUUGAAAAGAGUGUCAUGCUCAUGAUGCUUAUGCUUGAUGGAAAUGCUUAUGCAUGACUUUGGUGUGACUAAGUGCAUGCUUAACACCUAGGGUGUUACAGCCCUUCCCCCCUUAGGGAAAUCUCGUCCUGAGAUUUUGGGUUACUAACCAUUUCUUAUGAAACUUUGGGUAAACUGUUUUUAAGUAAUCCUCUGUUUCCCAGGUGGCAUCCCUAUCGUCAUGAUGACUCCAUACCACCUUAUAUGUUCUGACAAUUCUGUUUCGGGUUACUCGCUCCUUGGUAUCCACGAUUCCCACUGGCUGCUCUUUAUACUCUAAGUCUACUUUUAUUUUGAUCCCUCGGGGUUCAAUUCUUUGCUCAGGCACUUUCAAACAUUUCCGUAGUUGCGACACAUGGAAGACCGGAAAGAUCGAGCUCAUCUCUUCAGGUAACUGAAUCUUAUAGGCCACUGGGCCUUUCCUCUCUAGCACUUGGUACGGUCCCACAUAUCUGGGUGCAAGCUUGCUUCGAACUCGGAAACGUUGAACUUUCUUCAUUGGCGUAACCUUGAGGUACACAUAGUCACCUAUGUUGAAUUCAAGUGGCCUUCUUCUCUUAUCAGCAUAACUCUUCUGUCGUGACUGUGCGGCUUCCAUAUGUUGUUGUAUAAUCUGCACCUUUUUCUCGGCAUCAUUCACAAAGUCGAUACCAUAGUAUCUCCUUUCACCAGGUUCCACCCAGUUUAACGGAGUUUGACAUCUCCGCCCAUACAAAGCUUCGAACGGGGCCAUCUUGAUGCUCUCUUGAUAACUAUUAUUGUGUGAGAACUCAGCCAGAGGUAACCAUGAUUCCCACGAUCCCCUGGAUGAUAGCACACAGGCUCUUAGCAUAUCUUCUAACACUUGAUUUAGCCUCUCGGUUUGACCUGAAGUCUGGGGAUGAUACGCCGUGCUUCUUAUCAGACUGGUCCCCAAGCUCUUAUGCAUGCGCUCCCAGAAGUGAGCAGUGAACUGCGGUCCCCUAUCCGAUAUGAUAGUUUUGGGAAUACCAUGCAAUUUGAUGAUCUCAGCCAUAUAUAUAUAUCAGCAUACUCAGGAGGUCUGUAUGUGUUCUUGACUGGAAUGAAAUGAGCCGACUUGGUUAAUCGAUCUAUGAUUACCCAAAUCGAGUCAUUCCCCUUCCUGGUUGUCGGUAAGCCGGUGAUAAAGUCCAUACUGACCUCUUCCCAUUUCCACUUCGGAACUGAUAACGGUUGUAACAGACCUGCAGGUUUCAUAUGGAUGGCCUUAACUCUGCAACACGUGUCACAACGGGCCACAUAAGCGGCUAUUUCUUUCUUCAUCUUGGUCCACCAAAAGUGGGGCCUUAGAUCUUGAUACAUUUUGCUGCUGCCAGGAUGAAUAGAAAGCUUAGAGAGAUGGGCUUCAUCCAUGAUGCGAUUUUUCAACUCCCGAUCUUUCGGGACCACUAACCGCUGUUGAAACCACAGUACCCCCUUCUCAUCAACCCGAAACUGAGUCUUUGGGUCAUCUUUGAUCUUCUCUUUGAUGUGGAAAAUACCCUUGUCUGUUUUCUGACCUUCAAUGACUUGACUCUCGAGUGAACAACUGAGUUGUAUAUGACAUAAGACCUCGGGAUGCAUAAGAUUGAACCCAUCUUCAAACAAUAGUUGAACCAUUUGAUAGUGCGGUUUGCGACUCAAAGCAUCUGCGACCACAUUAGCUUUGCUUGGAUGAUAGUGAACUUCCAGGUCAUAAUCCUUGAUUAGCUCUAACCACCGUCGUUGCCUCAUAUUCAGCUCGGACUGAGUGAAGAUGUACUUCAAACUCUUGUGAUCGGUGUAAAUGUGACACUUAUUUCCUAGCAGAUAAUGUCUCCAGAUCUUCAAAGCAUGUACCACUGCUGCUAACUCAAGGUCGUGCGUUGGAUAGUUGACUUCAUGCUUUCUCAACUGUCGGGAAGCAUAAGCUAUCACCCUGCCAUCUUGCAUCAACACACACCCCAGGCCACUCUUCGAUGCGUCACAAAACACAUCAAAAGGCUUCUCUAUAUUCGGUUGUGCCAGAACGGGAGCAGUGGUUAGCAACUUUCGCAAGGUGCGGAAGGCUAACUCACACCCUUCCGUCCAGACGAACUUAUGAUCCUUUUGUAGCAAACUUGUCAUUGGCUUAGCAAUCUUGGAGAAGUCAGGUAUGAAACGACGAUAAUACCCGGCCAGACCAAGAAAACUUCUAACUUCCAAGACAGAAGUUGGUGCCUUCCAGUCCAUGACUUCCUGCACUUUUGAUGGAUCUACGGCAAUCCCUUCUUCAGACAAAAUGUGCCCUAGGAACGGAACUUUCUUCAACCAGAACUCACACUUGCUGAACUUGGCAUAUAACUGAUGCUCUCGUAAUCGUGUCAGCACGAUCCUCAGAUGUUCGGCGUGAUCUUGCUCAUUUUCUGAAUAUACCAGAAUAUCAUCGAUAAACACCACAACAAACUUAUCCAAUUCUGGCAUAAAGACUGAAUUCAUCAGAUACAUAAAGUAUGCAGGAGCAUUUGUCAACCCAAAGGACAUGACAAGAUACUCGUACAACCCAUAUCUGGUGGAAAAAGCAGUCUUCGGGAUAUCUUGCGGACGAAUCUUGAUUUGGUGAUACCCAGAUCUCAAAUCUAUCUUAGAGAACACUCUUGCCUUGGAUAACUGAUCAAAUAGGAUAUCAAUCCUUGGCAAGGGAUACUUAUUUUUGAUUGUCACUGCAUUGAGUGGACGAUAGUCCACGCACAUGCGCAACGACUGAUCCUUCUUUUUCACAAACAACGCUGGACAACCCCAUUCCGACGAGCUGGGCCGGAUGAACCCUUUUUCUAGUAACUCCUUCAGUUGUUUCUUCAACUCUGCGAGUUCGUUUGGUGGCAUCCGGUAUGGCCUUCUAGAUAUUGGUGCUGUACCUGGUAUCAACUCGAUUACAAACUCUACCUCCCUAUCUGGGGGAAGUCCUUGUAACUCCUCGGGAAACACAUCGGGGAACUCACAGACCACUGGGAUCUGUGGUAAAGGGACCACGUGCGUAGCACAGGAGAUGCUAGCAAAGUCAAGACGACGGGGCAGCGGUACUUGAAAAGAGUUACUGCCCUGUGGUUCUCUGAGAGAUAACAUCCUCUUUCCAGUAUCUAUGACCGCAUCCCAUUCUCUCAUCCAUUUCAUGCCCAUGAUAACAUCCAAAACUAACCCAGGCAUGACCACUAGAUUUACCCGAAAGACUCGGCCACUUAUCUCCAGGGUUGCCCCUCGGACCACUCUAUUGGUCAACACAUCUGCCCCUGCUGAGCUGAUGCGGUAGCCAUAGCCCAGAUCUGUAACUGGUUGAUUAUGCUUUUGUGCAAAUGCUUGACUCAUGAAAGAAUGCGACGAUCCAGAAUCAAACAAAACAACUGCAAGAUGUUGGUUGACAGAAAACAUACCAGCUGUUACCGGUUCUCCUUCCGGGAUUUCCUCAAUCGAGGUAUGAUGCACACGAGCUGGAUAUGUUGGCUGCUGCCUCUUGGGGUAGGGACAUUCCUUAGCAAAGUGCCCCAUCUUGUGGCAGUUAUAGCACGGACCCUUGGGCGCAUUGUUGACGGCAGGUGCUGCAGCUUGAAUUGCCUUUGGCUUGGCAGGAGCUAUCGCCACCUUGUACGGCUUCUGCUGUGUUGGAUGCCCGGUGUUCCUUCUCUGCGGUGGUCGGAACCUAGCACCCGGGGCAGGAGGACGAUACUGCUGUCGCCCUGCCACUGGUGCCCUGGACUGGGAUGAUCCUGCCUCAAAAGCCCUUUUACGUGACUUGGAUGCACUGUAGUUGUUGUUAUUGUUCUCUUGGGUCAGGCAGUCACUGAUAUAGGCAUUGAAAGUAGCCCUGGCCCCUGUACCCAUGGUCUUCAGCAUCUUUGGAUUCAAGCCCCUCUGGAAACUAGCAAUCUUCUUGGCCUCCGUGUUCACAAACUCAGGGGCAUAGCGAGCGAAAUUAUUGAAGGCAUGUAGAUACUCUUUCACAGAUUUCGUCCCUUGGGACAGCCUCAUGAACUCCCCAACCUUCAUUGCUGUAACAUCUCUGAUGUUACGGUUACUAAAAACGGAUCAUGUCAUCAUAAGCAUUGUAAAGCAUAAUUGUUAAAGCACAUUUGUAUGCAUCAACUUAAAACAAGUUUAUUUUUAUUGCUUGAGCUUAGGGAGGUAGAGUGUGCUUAUGUGGUGUGUUGAUGCUUGUGUGGUUGCUAAACCCUAGGGUGGAAAUUUUCCGAAAAGCUAAGGGGGGAAAAACCCUGAUUUUCUGAAAUUUUCCUAGAUUUGCCCCCUUUUGCAUAAGUCAAAAACUAAGCAAAAUUUGAGGUUGAGUUCAAAAGCAAAGUUGUAGCUCUUGGCAAGAUGUACAACUUUGGUGUUUUGAGUUUUUGAAGUUUCAAUACAAAAUUCAAAGUAAUUUUGAAAAUACAGAUUUCCGAAAAGUGUCCCCUUUUCCAACUUAAGCCCCCAAUUCAAAAUCCAUUUGGAAUUUUGAAAAGUGGUCAACAUGAAAGUUGUAGAGCACAAAAAGUUGAGCAACUUUCAUGUUGGGAGUUUUUCAAGUUGUUUAGGAAAAACAAAAGUAAUUUUGGAAAUCCUACUUUGCCCCCAAUUCAAAAAUUUGAAUUUCAUCGAUUUGAGUUGAAAUUCCAAACUGUUUAGCCAAAUUGGCUAUCUUCCACUCGGAAUCAGCUAUGGCCACCAAAAGAUGAUUUGUAGUUUACAAAAUUUUGUACAACUUUUGUUUUGGUGGAAAUUUGACUUUAGUUCAAGUUUUGGUCGAAUUUCGCAAGAAGACAAACUGUGGAUGAGGACUGCUACAGUGAUCGGCAGGGGGGGGUGCUCUGCCGCCGGGGCAGAGCCGCCUCCGCGCACGCCGCCACGCAGCUGGCCACGCAGCUGCUUGCUGCUGUGCUUCGCGUGGACGUCCUCAUCCGCGAACCGCCUUCUGUCGUGGGGAUAAAGCCCCGAGUGGCCGGAGUCCCCUCUUUCUUUUCUUGAACCCCGACGCCGACGAGUUUCCUGCGCCGACCAAAUUCGCCUCACCCGUUGCCAUUCCAAGCCAUUUGAGCACCCCAGCAGCUCCGCCUUGAGCCCCGCCACCGAUUGCACCCCCAAACACACGCUCUACUCUACCGUAGCUCCCACCCGAGCCGUUUCCCUUCUCAACUCCGGCCGAGCGCCACCGCAAGCACGUCAUCGUGGCCAGCGUCAACCAGAGCCUCUCUGCUGCCGCUUCUUGCUCGGUUGAAGUCGUGGUGAGCCCCUGGUGCUUUUGCGCUGCUCAAGUCACGCUCUACUCGCUCGUAGUGGCCGGCGUUUGCUCGGCCGAGACGGCCGUUCGCCGUGCCCGUGGUCACAGGGGUUAGGAUAGAGGAGAGUGGGAGAAAAGGGUGCCCCUGGGUGCGCGGGAGGCCGAGGAAGCUAACGCGUCUCACCGCAGAGGCCGAGAGCUCGCCAACGGCUCACUGGAGCUCGCCGGAGCCGCGGCGCUAGGAAGGAGACGGAGCUGACGGGCGGGACCCGCCCGUCAGCGACCGCGUGAGAGAGAGAGGGAGAGGGCGCUGAGCGCGGGAGAGCUCGCGGGCCGUCUUGGGCCGGGUCCGAGCAGGCCGCCAGCACUGCACAGUGCACUUUUCUUUUUCCUUUUUGUUUAAAAAUAUUUGAUAUUUGAAUUUAAAUAUUGAAUUGUGUAGUGGUCCAAAAAUAGUGAAACUUUUUGGGUAGGUUCCAGAAAAUGUAUAGAGCCUAGGAAAAAUAUUAGAAUUUAUUUCUCUGAUAGUUUGCAUGUCUAUAAAAAUUGGCUCUUUAAUUAGUGAAUAAAACUUCUAGGAAUUUUAGUAAUUUAUUAGGAGGUCCAAAAAUCACCAAAAAUUGUGGAGAGCCUCUGAGUGGUAUUCCCUGGCUCCACACAAAAUUUGGUGGCAUUUGGAUAAUAUUUGAUUAAAACAUUAAUAAAUCCUUAUUUAGCACUUAAAUAAUAAUUCCAAAAUAAUUAAAUAGUGAUUGUUUAGAUCCUCAUAAUUAGGGUUGAGUGAUUUUGGGAUUGUGUGAUAACCUGAGGUCGUUAACCCUAAUGACCUUUGACAUUUUAUUAUUAUUUAGCCUUAAUGCUUAAUUACUGUCAUUAAUAGUUAAUUAAGAAUUAAUUAAGGUAAUUAGGAUUAAUAAUUACUAAUUUAAAAUAAAUAUGAAUUAAAUAAAGUCUUAGUUUACAGAUGCAACCUUUUGGGUAAAAACAUUAAGAUAUUAAGCAACUUUAUUUAGUGAUAAUUCUGUAUUGCAUCAAGAAGGCGAGUUGUACUCGAUUCGGUCCUUCUUGCAUAAUUGUCAUACACCUAUCAUGAGCAUUCAUCAUUUUGCGUAUAGUGUCCGUGACCGAAGGAGCGCCCGUUGAACCGAACCCCGAGGUCGGUGCUCCGUUCGAGGAAGUCGGAUCCGAGACUUGGGAAGUCUCCGAGGGUCCCUCUCUACCCUGCAACCAAGGCAAGCCCCAGAUGCAUUACCCCUUCUUGAAUGUUUUAAAUCUUUUAUCACUUAUGAAUUGAAAAUGCUGCAUUAGAUAGUUGAGAACUGGGUGAACCUACUUGCUGCAUUUACCACCUUGAUAUUUUUUAUCUUGUCCUUGGCACUUGUUUUACUUUAAAAACUGCGUAGGGAUGCUUAGCCCUGCUACUAGAUAGGUUUUCAAGCAAAGUUUGAAGGGUUGUUGUGGAAUACACUUAUGAUCAAUGAUGUUUCAAUUUGAGACCGGUCGGUGGACUUGCUUUAAGAAUGGAGUCUUAAAGUAGUGUCUCCAACUGUGUCGAUUAAGGACCGUUCCGUUGAUGGCCUGCUGGGUUGAGAAUUUAUAGUACUAACCACUUGCCCUCGGUAAGCCCGGUCUUGUGAUCCCUCGACGCGAACAGCUACUCGCGCACUGGGAGUGGAAAGAUGGCGAGAGUAGUGUGUACCCACCUUACGGAUCUGAGAUGACCGGAAAACAUCUAGAUCGGCUGUAGGAUGGUGGAGUACUGUGCUCUCGGGUGCCGCGAACCUGGUCAAAUCUGGGGAGAGCCUGACUUGGGUUGGUAUAUGCAAGAUUUGGUUCUACAUAUGUCGGGUGGUUAGGAACUCCAGCUGGAUUGCUAAGCGAUUCGAAUCGUCGUUGCUCCCCGAUUGGGAGACUCAAUUCCUUCGACCCUCAUCGUAGUUAAAUAAGCAACUGAAUGAUAAAAUGAGAAAGGGGAAAAUGUCUCAUGAGGUUCGGAUCCCAAUUCCCGGACUCAUAGCGACAUGAAGCUAUGGCCAUCGAUAAAUAAUACUUGACGUUAGGAUUAGGAACUCACGGAUUCGUCUGUGGGGUACAACUAGUUAAACUAUCCUCGAACUCCUCGGCCUCUGCGAGGGAGGAAUUCGUGGGUAAAACUUGAAAAUAAGGAUGCACUACUAGUAAGCUUUUUACGCAAAACACUUUGGCUCCUUGCUCAGCCACCCCUUGUCUACCCUAAGCCUGCAUCCCUAAGUUCUCCUCUUUUCCCAUCGGGUAAGUCUUGUUGAGUACUCCCGUACUCAGGGUUUCAAUACCCCUGUUGCAGGUGAAGCGCAGGAGCCGACUUGCUUCGGACCCUGUUGUGUGACCGUCGUCGAGGUUGACGACGAAGAAGAGUGAGCGUGACCCAUGGGCAGGGUCUGUAAAUUUGUACUGUCUGUACUAAAGUUUCAGUUGCUCCGCUGGACCAGGCUUGUAAUAACACUCUACUAUUUGGAAGAACUCCUUUUGUAAAUUAAGUUAUGUAAUACUUCCGCUGUUUUACUCUGAAAUAUUAUUUUAGUCUUGUGUCGUUGGAGUUACUGCUUUAUCUUCGCAACGAAUGAUCCUGGUGUUAAGGUGGCCACUUGCUAUCCUGUAAGGGCGAGAAGAAGCAGUUCUCGUUGCUUGACCAUUGCUAGUGGUCAGAACGAGCCAGCUUGAUACGCCACAGGUAGCAGUGGAAUGAGCGUCCAGCGAUGCUCAUCGGACUUCUAAGGUGGGAGGACUCCCGGCAUCACCGUCAGAGGUCCUUAGGACAAUGGCAGGUGCCGGUGGGCCCAAACACUUAGGGGGUUCUGCCACAGCUGGUAUCAGAGCAUUCGUUGCUAAGAUGACUGCUGUAACUAUUGAAAAACUUCAAAAUUCGUUUGGAUCUAAUACUAUGAACCUGCCUAUUUUGAGUCCAAGUGCUUAGUCCUAACCUGCCCCUGUCUAUAGGCUUUCUUAGAAUUUUUGGAAGUGGUAUGGAGGAGCAACAUAAAGUAUUGCCCUAUGUUGUAAAAGUUUAAAGUAAUAACGUUACGAAUUGUUAGUAGGAAUCGUAAGUUCGUGCAUGCAUCAUGAUGUAUUAACUGGUUAAGUUCCUUCCUCCUUGUUUGGGUUGGGUGAAUAGAAUCAAUCCUAUUCUUGCUAACCUUUAAGGUCUCUCUUACUAAUCUAAACUUACCCUCUACAGGAUGGCUCGUCAGAAGCAGACCCCGCGUAAGCGGACCGGUCCAAAAGGAGUUCCCCGACAUCAGCUAGCUCCACGCAGUGAUCAAGCCAGUAGUAGCCGUUCGCCGCCUCAGCAGGAGGUGGACAGGUUGUCCGCCGAGUUGACUGAGGUGAUGAGAGAGAGAAUGUACAAUGUUAUGGAGAUUGGCAAACUUAAAGCUCAACUGGCCAAAGAAAAACAAGCUACAGAGAACUGUGAGGCUAUGUUGUCCCGGAUGGUGGAGGAGCGGAAUGCAGCCAUUGCCCGAGAGGAAGAAGCUAGGAGCACACAUAGGCAUGAGCUAACUAGGAUGAACGCAAAGUUGGGCAAGGCAAGGUAUCUUAAGGAUUUGUAUGUGAAGAUGGCGGCCACGGUCACCGCACAGCGGGAUGUCGCGUGGCAACGAGAGGACCAGCUCCAGCUGGAGAAACUGGAGCUGGCACAUCACUUAGAUACAGUCAAUGACCUAGCUAUGCAAUAUCGUGAUAUUGCAUUUGAUCUAUAUCAUCAACUCCACCCACCUCCCGGCGAAGGGGAAAUGGAUACGGAUGGCGAGUUGGCAGACGAUGGGGAACCCGACCCCGGCCUCAGUGAUGAAGAGGAGUCCGACUCCGAUGACCACAACCCAGGGGGUAAUCAGGAUGAUGGCAAUGACGACCCGGGCUACAGCUCUGGCCACACCGAUUAGUUCGAUGAAACCGAGGGCAACGUCGUUGUAGGAGUUCUAGCUUGCCGUAGCGGGGUUCGGGUUUGUAAUAUAAGUUUUCUUUCGGUUUGAGAAGUUGUACCUGUUUACUCUUGGUAUGUUGAACUAAUGUUUAAUAAGUGAAUUGAAGAAUGUAAGAUAUGUUCUGUGUUAUGAAUUUCACGUGGUAACAGGUAUCUACAACUCUUGUAACAGAUGCCGAUGCGUACUCGCGGAUCUGAGGGAGCUGGGACAUCCCAGGGAGGGGAUGAUAUCCCCAACCCUCCACCUGCUCCACCUUCUUUGGCUGACGCCAUUGCUGUUCUGCUAAGUGCCACAACUGACAACGCUCGCUUACUGCGCGAGCUAGCACAGCGUCAACCACACCCUGCUCCAAACUUCAGGGCACCGCGCAACGGGGACGGAGAGACUCGGUAUGUGGACUUUACCGAGACCAGGCCCCCGGUGUUCGCUAAGGCCGAUGAGCCUUUAAAAGCGGAUGACUGGCUCCGAACCAUGGAGCAUAAGUUCAGUUUGAUUCAGUGUUCAGAAACUCAGAAGCCCCUGUUUGCAGCCCAGCAGCUUCGGGGAGCUGCAGGUGCCUGGUGGGAGAACUUCUUAGCUAUUCAAGCUCCCGGUCACCAGGUUACCUGGACUGAGUUUAGGGACGCGUUUCGCGCCCACUACAUCCCCGAAGGGCUCAUGGCCAUGAAGGCCGAAGAGUUUCUCGCCUUGCAGCAAGGCGAUAAAAGUGUUAUGGAGUAUGUGGCAAGAUUUAAUCAUCUCUCUCAAUAUGCCACGGACCAUGUGAACACUGACAGGAAGAAGAAAGCCUGUUUCAUGCGUGGUCUAAAUACUAAACUUCAGACCAUGAUGACCACCUGCCAAAAUGUUACCUUCUAUGAGGCGGUAAAUAUUGCCAUCGCCUCUGAGGAAAAGAAUAGAAAACACAAGGAAGCCAAGAAGAAGGCUGCUUCCUCCUCUUUCUCUGGUCGCGGUCAAAAGCGCCAGAAGAUCAUUUAUCAUCCACAGGGCCACGGACGCUUCCCAGCGCCGUCACCGUAUCGUGGUCCUUUCUCCCCUCCACAGUACAGACCAGGGCAGCAGGUAUACUCUCGACCUACUGCCAUCACUCUUGCACCACGUCAGCCGAACACCCCAGGUGUUCGCCCCACUGCUCUGCCCAGCCACAAUUACCCUUGCUUCAAUUGUGGUAAGCCUGGGCAUUUCUCUAAAGAGUGCCCUUUUCCCCGCCAAACCAACCCUACCUUUCAAAGGCCACCUAUGGGCCAACCCCAGCCGAGUCAGUUCAGGACUGGGACUCAAAAAGGGCAACAGGUACAGAAAGGUAGACCGGUAAAGAAGACAGGGCAAGUCUUCCAUACUGAAGUGGAAACGAUUCCACAGGGCGAACCAGUGAUGAUGGGUACGUUUCCUAUUGCGAAACAUCCUGCUUUAAUGCUCUUUGAUUCUGGUGCAUCUCAUACAUUCAUUAAUCGCACCUUUGUGUUAAAGCAUGGUAUACCCAUUGGGGAAACACAAGAUCAUUUUUAUAUACAGUCGCCAGGAGGACGGCUGAUGUCUAAAGAAAUGGUUCACCAAGUACCCAUCGAAUUUGGUGGGCACAAUUUUCCUACUAGCAUGAUUGUUCUUAAGGACCAAGAAAUUGAUGUCAUCUUGGGCAUGAACUGGAUGGCACAACGAGGGGUUGUGCUGGAUACUCUGCAUCGAACCAUUAAAAUCCCAUUGCCCAAUGAGAAUUCUUAUUUGCUAAUUUAGUUAGUUACUCCCAAACGGACAAUGGGGCAAGUUCAUGCCGCGAAUGUGUCUGAAGUUAAAGAUAUCCCGGUAGUUCGAGAUUUUCCGGAUGUAUUUCCUGAAGACUUACCAGGUCUACCUCCGGACCGGGAUGUACAAUUCAGUAUAGAAUUGAAACCAGGAACAGCCCCAAUAUCUCGAAGGGCCUACAGAAUGGCACCGAAAGAGCUGGCCGAAUUAAAAACCCAAUUACAAGAGUUGUUGCAGAAGGGUUUUAUUCAGCCCAGUUCUUCUCCAUGGGGUUGCCCAGCCUUGUUUGUGAAAAAGAAAGAUCAAACAUUAAGGCUGUGUGUCGACUAUCGUCCCCUAAAUGAGGUGACGAUUAAGAACAAGUACCCAUUGCCCCGCAUUGACUUAUUGUUUGACCAGCUAGCUGGGGCCAAAGUAUUCUCAAAAAUUGACUUGAGAUCAGGGUACCACCAAAUUAAAAUUAGGCCGGAAGAUGUGCCCAAGACAGCUUUUACAACCCGUUACGGGCUAUAUGAAUACUUGGUGAUGUCCUUUGGGUUGACCAAUGCACCGGCCCAUUUCAUGUACCUGAUGAACUCUGUCUUCAUGCCAGAACUAGAUAAAUUUGUUGUAGUUUUUAUUGACGACAUUUUGAUUUACUCCAAAACUAAGAAAGAACAUGCUGAACAUUUGAGGGUCGUGCUGACUCGUCUCAGGGAACAUCAGCUAUACGCCAAGUUCAGCAAAUGUGAGUUCUGGCUGGACAAAGUCCAUUUCCUGGGUCAUGUAUUAUCAGCGGAGGGAGUCGCUGUAGACCCAGGCAAGGUAGAAGAUGUGUUGAAUUGGAAACCCCCGACUACGGUACAUGAGGUCCGUAGUUUUCUGGGUAUGGCGGGAUAUUACCGUCGUUUUAUCCCGGACUUUUCCAGAGUCGCCAAACCAAUCACAACCUUGCUCAAAAAUCAAACUAAGUUUGUUUGGUCACCCCAAUGUGAGCAAGCCUUUCAGACUCUGAAACGGUUGUUGACAACUGCACCUGUCUUAGCCCAGCCAGAAAUUGAAAAACCCUUUGAUGUAUAUUGUGAUGCAUCAGGGAUCGGAAUAGGCUGUGUGCUAAUGCAGGAGGGUCGCGUAAUUGCAUAUGCUUCCAGACAACUCAAACCCCAUGAAGGGAAUUACCCGACCCAUGAUCUUGAACUAGCCGCCGUGGUACAUGCAUUAAAGAUCUGGCGUCAUUAUCUGUUGGGGAACACAUGUCAUCUAUAUACCGAUCAUAAAAGCUUGAAGUAUAUUUUUACUCAAGCUGAGCUUAAUAUGCGCCAGCGAAGGUGGCUAGAAUUAAUUAAAGAUUACGACCUUGAGGUGCAUUAUCACCCUGGCAAGGCAAAUGUAGUAGCUGAUGCCCUCAGUCGUAAGGCUCACUGCAAUUGCGUAACAGUGAUGCCUAGAGACAUAACUUUGUGCCAAGAGCUAGAGAACUUGGGAAUAGAAAUGAUUUCCCAAGGAAGCCUUACCAAUCUAAAGAUCGAUUUCAAUCUCGAAGCUCAAAUCAUAAAGGCACAAAAAGAAAACAAAGGCAUGAGACAUCUUAAAGAGAAGAUUUCUAAUAGACCACCCACAGACUUUAAGGUGGAUGAUGCAGGAGUAAUUUGGUUCAAGAACCGGUUAGUGGUUCCAAAGGUACCUGAGCUACGUCAACAAAUCCUAGAUGAAGCUCAUACCACGAGGUAUUCUAUUCAUCCGGGAAGCAAUAAGAUGUAUCAGGACCUAAGGCAAAGGUUUUGGUGGACAAAAAUGAAGAUAGAGAUAGCUCGCUAUGUGGCCCAAUGUGACACCUGUCGAAAGGUCAAAGCCAUUCAUCUCAAGUCCGCUGGGGAGUUGCAACCUUUGCCUAUCCCCGCAUGGAAAUGGGAUGACAUAAGUAUGGAUUUCAUAGUAGGAUUGCCCAAGACGGCCAAGGGCUUUGAUUCAAUUUGGGUCAUAGUAGAUCGUCUCACCAAAACAGCACAUUUUCUUCCUGUAAAGCUAUUGUAUCCUGCCUCCACCUAUGCUAAGAUUUAUUUCGACCGUAUCCUAAGUCUGCUGGGGUACCAAAGACGAUAGUGUCAGAUAGAGGCACACAAUUUGUCUCCCAAUUCUGGAAAUGUUUACACGAGUCCCUGGGCACUAAACUUUUAUACAGCACAGCCUACCACCCUCAAACCGGUGGACAAACUGAAAGGGUGAAUCAAACCCUAGAAGAUCUAUUAAGAUCUUGUGCCCUGAAUUUUCCAGAUAAGUGGGAUGACUGCUUGCCUCUAGCAGAAUUUUCCUACAAUAAUAGCUAUCAAGAAAGUAUCAAAAUGGCUCCCUUUGAGGCACUGUAUGGUCGCCGAUGUCGAACACCGUUACACUGGUCGGAACCUGGAGAAAGAUGGUUCUUCGGAGUUGACUUGGUGAAAGAGACUGAGAACAAAGUGAAACAAAUCCAGAAUAACUUGAAAGUUGCUCAGUCCCGACAGAAAAGUUACGCUGAUAAAAGACGUCGACCAUUAAAGUUCGCCAAAGGUGAUCAUGUGUAUUUGAAAGUAUCCCCAAUGAAAGGAGUAAAUCGUUUUGGUGUUAAAGGCAAGUUAGCGCCUCGUUACAUUGGUCCAUUUCCAAUCAUUGACCGAUGUGGACAGGUCACUUACCGCCUUAAACUGCCCGAACGAUUAUCCGGGGUGCAUAAUGUGUUCCAUGUGUCUCAACUGAAAAAGUGUCUUCGGGUACCAGACCGAGUUCAGGAUAUUGAAGAUGUAGAACUUGAACCAGAUCUAACUUAUUCGGAAUAUCCUAUCCGAGUACUGGAUCAGAAAGAUAGAGUUACUCGAAGAACAACCACCAAAUGGUACAAGGUACAAUGGAACCAGCACUCUGAAGAGGAAGCCACCUGGGAAUCUGAAGAUUACUUGCUAGAGAAUUUUCCUGAAUUCCACGCUUCCCUUCAGGACAACACGUGAUAAAUAGAGAAUGUAUGCUAGUGAAGGAAAAGAGUCACCAGAGCCAUGCACUCAAUGUACAUAUAUACUUAUAAUAAAGUAUUUUCCCCAACUUCUUGCCUUAUGGAAAAGUUGAAGAUGAAAGAGUUUUGACAAAUUUCCUUUUCCAUUACUUACCCUAAGGUUUUAAAUCUCGGGGACGAGAUUUCUUUAAGGGGGAAGGGCUGUAACAUCUCUGAUGUUACGGUUACUAAAAACGGAUCAUGUCAUCAUAAGCAUUGUAAAGCAUAAUUGUUAAAGCACAUUUGUAUGCAUCAACUUAAAACAAGUUUAUUUUUAUUGCUUGAGCUUAGGGAGGUAGAGUGUGCUUAUGUGGUGUGUUGAUGCUUGUGUGGUUGCUAAACCCUAGGGUGGAAAUUUUCCGAAAAGCUAAGGGGGGAAAAACCCUGAUUUCUGGAUCCUAGAUUUGCCCCCUUUUGCAUAAGUCAAAAACUAAGCAAAAUUUGAGGUUGAGUUCAAAAGCAAAGUUGUAGCUCUUGGCAAGAUGUACAACUUUGGUGUUUUGAGUUUUUGAAGUUUCAAUACAAAAUUCAAAGUAAUUUUGAAAAUACAGAUUUCCGAAAAGUGUCCCCUUUUCCAACUUAAGCCCCCAAUUCAAAAUCCAUUUGGAAUUUUGAAAAGUAGUCAACAUGAAAGUUGUAGAGCACAAAAAGUUGAGCAACUUUCAUGUUGGGAGUUUUUCAAGUUGUUUAGGAAAAACAAAAGUAAUUUUGGAAAUCCUAUUUUGCCCCAAUUCAAAAAUUUGAAUUUCAUCGAUUUGAGUUGAAAUUCCAAACUGUUUAGCCAAAUUGGCUAUCUUCCACUCGGAAUCAGCUAUGGCCACCAAAAGAUGAUUUGUAGUUUACAAAAUUUUGUACAACUUUCGUUUUGGUGGAAAUUUGACUUUAGUUCAAGUUUUGGUCGAAUUUCGCAAGAAGACAAACUGUGGAUGAGGACUGCUACAGUGAUCGGCAGGGGGGGGGGGUGCUCUGCCGCCGGGGCAGAGCCGCCUCCGCGCACGCCGCCACGCAGCUGGCCACGCAGCUGCUUGCUGCUGUGCUUCGCGUGGACGUCCUCAUCCGCGAACCGCCUUCUGUCGUGGGGAUAAAGCCCCGAGUGGCCGGAGUCCCCUCUUUCUUUUCUUGAACCCCGACGCCGACGAGUUUCCUGCGCCGACCAAAUUCGCCUCACCCGUUGCCAUUCCAAGCCAUUUGAGCACCCCAGCAGCUCCGCCUUGAGCCCCGCCACCGAUUGCACCCCCAAACACACGCUCUACUCUACCGUAGCUCCCACCCGAGCCGUUUCCCUUCUCAACUCCGGCCGAGCGCCACCGCAAGCACGUCAUCGUGGCCAGCGUCAACCAGAGCCUCUCUGCUGCCGCUUCUUGCUCGGUUGAAGUCGUGGUGAGCCCCUGGUGCUUUUGCGCUGCUCAAGUCACGCUCUACUCGCUCGUAGUGGCCGGCGUUUGCUCGGCCGAGACGGCCGUUCGCCGUGCCCGUGGUCACAGGGGUUAGGAUAGAGGAGAGUGGGAGAAAAGGGUGCCCCUGGGUGCGCGGGAGGCCGAGGAAGCUAACGCGUCUCACCGCAGAGGCCGAGAGCUCGCCAACGGCUCACUGGAGCUCGCCGGAGCCGCGGCGCUAGGAAGGAGACGGAGCUGACGGGCGGGACCCGCCCGUCAGCGACCGCGUGAGAGAGAGAGGGAGAGGGCGCUGAGCGCGGGAGAGCUCGCGGGCCGUCUUGGGCCGGGUCCGAGCAGGCCGCCAGCACUGCACAGUGCACUUUUCUUUUUCCUUUUUGUUUAAAAAUAUUUGAUAUUUGAAUUUAAAUAUUGAAUUGUGUAGUGGUCCAAAAAUAGUGAAACUUUUUGGGUAGGUUCCAGAAAAUGUAUAGAGCCUAGGAAAAAUAUUAGAAUUUAUUUCUCUGAUAGUUUGCAUGUCUAUAAAAAUUGGCUCUUUAAUUAGUGAAUAAAACUUCUAGGAAUUUUAGUAAUUUAUUAGGAGGUCCAAAAAUCACCAAAAAUUGUGGAGAGCCUCUGAGUGGUAUUCCCUGGCUCCACACAAAAUUUGGUGGCAUUUGGAUAAUAUUUGAUUAAAACAUUAAUAAAUCCUUAUUUAGCACUUAAAUAAUAAUUCCAAAAUAAUUAAAUAGUGAUUGUUUAGAUCCUCAUAAUUAGGGUUGAGUGAUUUUGGGAUUGUGUGAUAACCUGAGGUCGUUAACCCUAAUGACCUUUGACAUUUUAUUAUUAUUUAGCCUUAAUGCUUAAUUACUGUCAUUAAUAGUUAAUUAAGAAUUAAUUAAGGUAAUUAGGAUUAAUAAUUACUAAUUUAAAAUAAAUAUGAAUUAAAUAAAGUCUUAGUUUACAGAUGCAACCUUUUGGGUAAAAACAUUAAGAUAUUAAGCAACUUUAUUUAGUGAUAAUUCUGUAUUGCAUCAAGAAGGCGAGUUGUACUCGAUUCGGUCCUUCUUGCAUAAUUGUCAUACACCUAUCAUGAGCAUUCAUCAUUUUGCGUAUAGUGUCCGUGACCGAAGGAGCGCCCGUUGAACCGAACCCCGAGGUCGGUGCUCCGUUCGAGGAAGUCGGAUCCGAGACUUGGGAAGUCUCCGAGGGUCCCUCUCUACCCUGCAACCAAGGCAAGCCCCGGAUGCAUUACCCCUCCUUGAAUGUUUUAAAUCUUUUAUCACUUAUGAAUUGAAAAUGCUGCAUUAGAUAGUUGAGAACUGGGUGAACCUACUUGCUGCAUUUACCACCUUGAUAUUUGUUAUCUUGUCCUUGGCACCUGUUUUACUUUAAAAACUGCGUAGGGAUGCUUAGCCCUGCUACUAGAUAGGUUUUCAAGCAAAGUUUGAAGGGUUGUUGUGGAAUACACUUAUGAUCAAUGAUGUUUCAAUUUGAGACCGGUCGGUGGACUUGCUUUAAGAAUGGAGUCUUAAAGUAGUGUCUCCAACUGUGUCGAUUAAGGACCGUUCCGUUGAUGGCCUGCUGGGUUGAGAAUUUAUAGUACUAACCACUUGCCCUCGGUAAGCCCGGUCUUGUGAUCCCUCGACGCGAACAGCUACUCGCGCACUGGGAGUGGAAAGAUGGCGAGAGUAGUGUGUACCCACCUUACGGAUCUGAGAUGACCGGAAAACAUCUAGAUCGGCUGUAGGAUGGUGGAGUACUGUGCUCUCGGGUGCCGCGAACCUGGUCAAAUCUGGGGAGAGCCUGACUUGGGUUGGUAUAUGCAAGAUUUGGUUCUACAUAUGUCGGGUGGUUAGGAACUCCAGCUGGAUUGCUAAGCGAUUCGAAUCGUCGUUGCUCCCCGAUUGGGAGACUCAAUUCCUUCGACCCUCAUCGUAGUUAAAUAAGCAACUGAAUGAUAAAAUGAGAAAGGGGAAAAUGUCUCAUGAGGUUCGGAUCCCAAUUCCCGGACUCAUAGCGACAUGAAGCUAUGGCCAUCGAUAAAUAAUACUUGACGUUAGGAUUAGGAACUCACGGAUUCGUCUGUGGGGUACAACUAGUUAAACUAUCCUCGAACUCCUCGGCCUCUGCGAGGGAGGAAUUCGUGGGUAAAACUUGAAAAUAAGGAUGCACUACUAGUAAGCUUUUUACGCAAAACACUUUAGCUCCUUGCUCAGCCACCCCUUGUCUACCCUAAGCCUGCAUCCCUAAGUUCUCCUCUUUUCCCAUCGGGUAAGUCUUGUUGAGUACUCCCGUACUAAGGGUUUCAAUACUCCUGUUGCAGGUGAAGCGCAGGAGCCGACUUGCUUCGGACCCUGUUGUGUGACCGUCGUCGAGGUUGACGACGAAGAAGAGUGAGCGUGACCCAUGGGCAGGGUCUGUAAAUUUGUACUGUCUGUACUAAAGUUUCAGUUGCUCCGCUGGACCAGGCUUGAGAUAACACUCUACUAUUUGGAAGAACUCCUUUUGUAAAUUAAGUUAUGUAAUACUUCCGCUGUUUUACUCUGAAAUAUUAUUUUAGUCUUGUGUCGUUGGAGUUACUGCUUUAUCUUCGCAAUGAAUGAUCCUGGUGUUAAGGUGGCCACUUGCUAUCCUGUAAGGGCGAGAAGAAGCAGUUCUCGUUGCUUGACCAUUGCUAGUGGUCAGAACGAGCCAGCUUGAUACGCCACAGGUAGCAGUGGAAUGAGCGUCCAGCGAUGCUCAUCGGACUUCUAAGGUGGGAGGACUCCCGGCAUCACCGUCAGAGGUCCUUAGGACAAUGGCAGGUGCCGGUGGGCCCAAACACUUAGGGGGUUCUGCCACAAUUUCAACCACACCAGGAGGAAUGUAAUUUCCCCAGAAAGCGGUGGUGAAGCGGUUCCAGGUGAUUGGUGUCCCCUCUGGGUAGGUGGUACGGUGAUGGGACCACCAAAUCCCAGCGGGUCCUUGCAACUGAUGUGCCGCAUACUCAGCCUUGAGUUCUUCCGUCAUUCGGAGAAGACGAAACUUCUGCUCCAUAGUGUUGAUCCACUCAUCUGCUUCGAGCGGUUCCAAGGCCUCCUUAAAGAUUGGUGGCUUGGUAUCCAUGAAGUCCUUGAACGAACUGUACUGGUUGACCUCCCGACCACCCUGAUUAUCUCCACGAUGGGUGUUGUCAGCUAUGUUGCGCAAAGCUUCUUCCAUGUUGCGCUGCAUCUGUUCCAUGUUGCGUCGGCUUCCCAGAAACUGCGCGAAAAACACAUCCGCAGUGUACGGGGGAGGCGGUGGUGGUGGCGGUGUUGGUGCUCUGUCCUCAUUCCGUUGAGCCCCACCUCCGGAUGUACCUGCUCCAAGGCCCGGAUUGCUGUUACCCCCGCCACGUGUUUGUACCAUCUGCAUACGCCAAUGAUAAGCAAUCGUUAGGAGUUGCCAUCAACCGGUAGAAAAUGUGUAAAAUCGUGCCAUACUGAAUUUACUGAGGGAAUAAAUUCACACAAUAAACAAAGGCACAACAACUCAUCAUCCACGCACAACAUCACUAACAGAUUACUUAACAUUCACGCAACAAGGUUCGUGUUCAUCCAACUUGCCAGCAUACAUACACUGGACUUUCAGCAUCAACUCAUAAAGUCUUACACAGCCCAGAUCCAAAAGUACAUGACAUGCCACGCAACAUACAUCACAAAAGAGGAAAGACUAGCUCUAGAGCCCUAGCAUCUACUCGCUGUGGUCACUGUCCAUGCCAGAGCCAUCCUCAUCUUCAUCACCACUAGCAGCUGCUCCCAUCUCGGGAUCCGCGUCCAUCUCGUCCUCAGAGUCUAGCUCCGCUGCUCUAGGCAGGUGGUGAGGGUGGAGCUGGUUAUGCAGCUGGUGGAUCUCCUCAUGCAAGUUCUCAUUGUACUCCUCGGCAUUAGCUAGCUGCUGCUCUAGCUCUAGCUGUCGGGCCCUCAAAGUGUCCUCCUCGUGCCAGGCUUCAUUCCUCUGUCCAAGCACAUGGACUAGCAUGCGCUCGCAGUUCCUGUGAGCAGUAGUCACCCUGUCCUUCUGCUCCCGUACUGCAAGCAGGUCCUGACUCAGCUCACUGUUCUUCUGGACUGUCUGGUCUCUCUCUCUGGUCACACGAGCCAACUCUGCCUGUAGCCUCUCAACCUCAGAGUCAAACUCACGCUGCAACUAACGCUUCUCAUCCUGGACGGUGAGAAGAGACCCGGACAAGCGACCCAAACAACGCUCCAGGCCUCCAUAGGUCUUCAUCAACGCGUACAUGGCACUCAUAGCUACACUGUCACUGUGCUGGUCCUCAUCCGCACUCCUCUCUAGAGCAUUCACCUCGGACUGAUCCCACACCGAAGUGUAAGGGUCACCCCCGGGAAACACCCCAGCGAAGGCGUGGGCCAGCUCCUGUGGAAACCUCUCCAUGAGGUCCCUCAAAACUGCGAAAGCUGCCCUACUGGCACCGUGGAAAGGCGUGACACCUCGGGUCUCGUACACCCAGCCGCCCCAAGCAGGGUCUCCUCCACUGGUAGGGACAACUGCCUCGAUCCCCACCAGGGUCUCAUCCCCAAGCAGCUCCUUAUCCCAAUAGUAGCGAGGCUCCCUUCCUUCGGGAUACCCCAUCGAACUGAGCACCCUCCAAAGCAAAGUGGGCAUCCCAAACUUCUCUAGGAACUUGCUCUUAUGUCGCGAGCUCCUAGCUGCCAACGGACGGCGAGGGGCCCGCCCACCAGUGGACUUGCGAGCGGUGAGCCUAGUGCGUGCCAUCUGCUGCAAAUGGAAUACCGUGGGUAAGAGCGAGGAUUACCUUUAAUUAUUUUAUUUAGAAUUGGGACAGAUUAAAUUAAGGGGGAAAGUAAGCAAUGAUAUGAAAUGAACAUGAUGCAUGCACGAACUUACGAUCUCACAAACUUAGAAAACAAAGGUUAACACUAGGCGGUAUAUGCGGUGGCACACAACGUUCUCCCAUAACGUAACUAGCGUUCUAAGCGAGAACUUGGUUAGGGUACCUGUAGAAAACUCAUUUCAGCCCACCCAGAGUAUGAUCGUGCAGAACAAAAUUUAAAACUAUACACUUCACAUACACAGACACCCGUCCAUGCAUGCGAUGUGUCACUACCCACAUCAUCGCCCUAAUGACGGCAUCGCCUCUCAGGACGGAAUUCCCAGCAUGCGGUACUGUUCCCAAGACACACCAACAUGUGUGCAUGACACAGUACCUGACAACACUUCCCUAGACCGGCAGUGUAUCCGAUCAUGCUCUCACAACUCCCACUUACCAUGGCGUAGAGGAAGAAUUGAUCCAUACAUUACCACUCAAAUGAAUGGCACUCAUACUAUUGCACGCCGUAUGAGCGACGAAAUAAAAAUAUGAUGCAUUAACCCCCAAGUCAGUACUUAGCUAGCCACCUUAGAGUCCUUAACUGGGCAUAAAGGAUAUGACCAUGGCACACUAGAUAAUUUUCCCAAAACUUAGUUUAACACCUUGAUCAUUAUUAAUUAAUUAAUAAAAUCUUUUACUAAACCGGUUUAGACUUUUGUUUAAAACAUACUUAUGAACAGUAACUCGCUAAACCUUGCUCCGAUGCCAGCUGUAACAGAACCGACCAAAUUAUAAGAGAUUAAGCCUAAUAGUGACCAUUUGCAUAGUCGAACUAUCACGCUUAAGCCCAUAUAAUCCCGGUAGUCCGUGAAAUCUCGAAGGAUUUCAAACCACACAUCACAUAUACAGCCAAGAUCGUAAUAAGUUUAGCGGUCGCCAUCCACAAGCACAUCCAGAUUACAACAUUCAUAAAAUACAUCGGAGUGCUUAAAGUUAUUACAAACCAAGUUCUUCAAGUAGCGGAAGCUUCAUAGUUUGAAAUUACAACACACACGAUAAGUCUGAUACAGUGCCAUAGUUCGGUCAUUCCCACAAAAGCAAAAGAAGAGACGGAGUGACCAUCGCCCUUGGUCUAGUCAUCACCCAUAGCUGGGUACAGACAAAGGAUGCAAUAACCAUAGUACAUUUGACCAUCUGCAAAACAACAUGGGAAUAGAACCCUGAGUACGAGAAGGUACUCAGCUAGACUUACCCGUCAUAAACUUAAAAUAAAGACUCAUCAAGGAUCAUGAAGGCUAUUUGGUGGGGUAGCUGACAACCAUUUUGCAAAGACCGCAAGGUUUUAUUACCCAAACCUACAUAAAUCUUUUCUUCUUUUAGUCUGCUCAAGUUGAAAGUAUCAUUAUCUAUUAUCUAGGUUUGCUCCUGUGCUAUUACAAGCAAGUAUGAGACUAUGAUAGUACCUCAUCACAGCAGUCAUAAACCCGUUUCAUUAUAACCCAAGUGUUCCAUAGUCCUUACUACGAGGACGAAGCUCAUGUCAAGUGCUCACUAUCCAGGAGCGAUGGCGAUUCGAAUCGAUUUCUAACCAGCUGGCGAGGUAUUCCCCACACAAACCACACUCACUGAUCAAGUGAGCUACAGAUCACCGUAUUACACUAUCUAGGACCAAUUCGCGGGUUCGGCAGGCAUCGCCAGUACCCGAGGACCGUUCCGGCGACCGAGGUAUCCAAGGUAUACCAAGGUUGCGCGCCGCGCCCUCGUCGUUCUCCUCAACCAUCACCAAUACAGCGCAUGGCGGCUCGAUUCCCGGCCUGGAUAGUGUUCAGGCUUCGCGGUCGGAACGACUUAUCCUUCCAGCUAAGUGUGGGGCAUGCGUUCAACAUGACAAGAGGGCCGUCAACGAUCGGUCCUUAAUCGACACAGGCAGGGGCACCAUGGUCAACCCACCAUAAGACCCCGCCCGGUCUCCAAAUUCGUUCCACACUUGGUUAUUCUUUUCCCCGAGCAACCAAUGCUUAAUCAAGCAGGUAUCCACCUAUAUCUCGCAGGUGACAGGGAAUCACCCGACUUCUACCGAACUAAGCAAGCUAAGCAUAGACUCCGUGCCUAUCUACAUAGGACAAGGUAGUUGAAUGAGUAGGAAUAACAAGGAGUACUCAUGCAGCAACGGUAUCAGGCAACUCCUAUCACUUAAUAUGCAAUACAGUAGAACAAGUAUAACACUUUAUAUAAGUUAGCGAGAAAAGGGAGACUUAGAAUGCUCCGGGGCUUGCCUUUCUCAAACGUGCUGGGUCGGUGAUCCGGACACUCCUGCAAUUCCUCUCCGGGUUCCUAUGCUUCCGGAGGUUCCUCCUCCUGAAGCUCCUCGGGUUCCUCGGUUCCCACCUCAUUCUCCUGCGAGCCUGUAUGAUGCAUACAUGCUCAUGAGUGGAGUGCGAGAUGCCCGAGUGGAUGCUUACAUGAGGGAGUACCAAAGGAGUCAUGUUAUGAUGCAUAGGUAAUGCACUUGGUCAUGCUUAUUACAAGGUAGUCAACAUCAUCCAAGAAUAAACAAUUGAAUCAAACAUCUAUUACAUUCUCUUCUAUAAUUAUUUUUCAAAUGAAAUCAGCAACCUACAUGAUGCUUCAAAGAUACACCAAACCCAACUUAGUCCAUUCAACCCACAUACACAACCAUUCAUAAUUUUCUUUAUUCAUUUCUAAGCCCAUUAAAAAUCACAUGCAAUUCUGUUCAUCAAUAAAUUCCAGAAAAAUUACAGGAGACUACUAGCUAAUCAUAAAGUCUACUGUAAAUUUUUCAUAAUUUUUCGUUACUUAUUUUGAGCCACAAAAAUCACAAGAUUAAUGGAUAAGGCAAGUAUAAUCACCCUACUGUGAUAUAAGUGUCAAACAACAGAUUUCAUAUUUUUACAAUUUAUCUAAUAUCAUAAGAAAUACCCACAAAAUUUUCCAGAUUUAUUGCAUGACCAUUUAAUUAUUAAAAAUCAUAAAGCACUGCUAUGCAAGCAUUUAAAUUACCAUAAAUUCAUUUAUACACCAAAUAAUAUGUAACAAUAUUUUCUCAGUGAUUAAACACACAUGCAGAGCCAGCAAAACAAGUUUCACAUUUUUCUGAGCCAUAUUUCAUUUACUAUGCAUUUUCCAAGUUUAACAAAAUCAUGGAUAAAAUAUAUUCACACAGAAAAGUUGCUCCAACAUGACAUGCAAUUACAUCAAACUGUAGAUCUGGAAAUAUAGAGCACACCAAAAUUUAUUUCAUUCAAUUUGGAGCUGCAGAACUCAAGAUAUAAAUUUUACAAUCUUUAAAUCAAUUUCUGGAAAACACUUUUUCAAGAAAACCGACGAAAAACGCUACGCACACCCAGAUCUACACCCACCGGGGUACCCCUGCGACUGACAGUGGGUCCCUGACCCCACCAGUCAGCGAGACCGAGAGGGAGCUCACCUCCGACGAGCGGAUCUCGCCGGCGGUGAGGUCUCCGGCCACGGGGUGAGCACCAACGUGCUCCCCGCAGCAAGACGCACCCAACGGUACCCUUGGAUCGACCAGAGGGCGGCCGGAACACCUCCGGCGAGCAUGCAUGGCGGCAAGGCGGCGCUGCUCGCCGUGGCCAGGCUGCUCCGGCGCGGUAGAGCGUGCGCAAAUGCCUCUCCGAGCUUCCUCACCUUCCUACCGACCUAGCGCAACAGAGAACGAGCGAAAAGACGCAGGGAAACGCUAGAUCCGCCGCGGCGGAGUACUCCGGCGAGCUCGGGGUAACUCCGGCGAGCGAUUCACGGCGCUCGACGGACUCUCACCUCGGUAGAACGUUCGCACGAGCUUACCCUAGCGACGGCGAGUGCCCUGGUGCUCUCGGCGUCGAGCUUGAGGCUCUGGUGUGGCCGGCGACGAGCGGCGGAGCUCUCUCCGGCAAUGGCGCGCGGAGGAGCGGCUGCUGCUGCGCGGUGCGAGCGGAGGAGGAAGGAGAAGGAGGGCGCGGGGGACAGAACGGGCGAAAUGGUCUGGGAGCCUGCGCCGGCGUCCCGACCAGGGGGGGUUGGAGGCCGGCCGCGGCGCGUCCAACGCCGGCGUACGGCCGCCACGUGGCCGGCGCCGGGUGGAGCGAGGCGCGUCCGCGCGCGGGAGGGAGAGGGAGAGGGGAGGCAGGCCGGGUCGCUUGCUGGGCCGAAAGGGAAGCGGGGUUGGCCCAGCAGCGCCUGCCCCUUUCUCUUUUUUUUUGAAUUUCUUUUCUCCAAAUUCUUUCUAAAUUCAUUUGGACCAAUUUAAAAUCAUUUUCACCUCUUGCUCCCAAAAACAAAGUUGUUCCAAAUUAAAAACUCUACAACUUUGCUUUGACAAGCAAGACCAAAUUCCAAACAAAAUUUGAAUUACAAGUUAAAACUCAGCUCUAGGUUUUAAAUAAAUUCAUUUUGGAAAAGUUUGUAUAAACUCCAUUUCUCAAAUUCCAUAGCUCCACAAAUUGCACAAAAAUGUUCUUAAUUCUUCUUCCACAUAAAGCAACCUAAUUUGAAUAUUUCACAAUUUUAGAAACAAGCAUCACAUUUUUAACAUAAUUAAAGCACAUGAAAUGAAGCACAUAAAAUCAUAAUUUGAAAAGAGUGUCAUGCUCAUGAUGCUUAUGCUUGAUGGAAAUGCUUAUGCAUGACUUUGGUGAGACUAAGUGCAUGCUUAACACCUUGGGUGUUACAUAGAUGAACUAGAACUAGAUCUAGAUGAACUAGAUGUAGAGCUAGAAGAACUAGAGGGAUCCUCUCUACUUGGAUGAAGAAUUGAAACCCUAACUUUGAUUCUGUAGAAGAGGUAUGAUCUCCAAGGGCCAGGGGGUCUUGUUUUAUAGUCCCUUCAAGUGAAUCUGGGUCAUUGGAUCAAACCGACAUUGAUUGAAUGGUUAUCCUUGAUCCUUUAGGUCGGUGGAGCAAUAUCCCAAAAGAGAGUUCUGAUUGGACUCUAUGUGAGGGCGGGCGCCCUGUCCCUGAGUCCUCUCGGCCUCCGCUUUGGUCCCGUGGCUUCUGGAGUCUUCUAGAUGAUAGAAAAUUGUGCGGCACGUUAAUAUCUCUAUGUAAACCCGACGUGUGGGCCUUUCUUCCGUAUUUCCUAAUAACCCCCUGCAGAAAUAGACAAACACCAAAACUCGUGGAAUUCUGUUAGAUAAAACCCUAAGUCUAGGUGUUCGUUGCAUUUGGAUCCUUUUCCAUGAUUAAUCGAUGGUUAAAUAUGAGCAUUAAGGACCGUCAACAAGCUCCCCCAAGCUUAACCUUUGCUUGUCCUUGAACAAAGAUGGGCUCAGAGUUUCUGCAGUGGUUUCAUGCCUUAAAGAUACACAUGCGUUCAAAUAAGAUCUUAUCUCUGGGUUAGGGUAAACUGUUAAGAUUUAAACUUACUCAUUUUACCUUCCACCAUGGGGCUUGCAACCGUCACUUGUGUCUUGAGCAAUUAAAUGAUAGAACGGUCUAGUCAAGCGCCAUGUCUCUUGUUCUUUGAUUAAAUAUAGCUCUGGAGUUUUUUUUUGCAGAUUUUUAAAUAAAACUCAGAGAUUCCUUGUAUGACUCUCUCUAGUCUCUGUUUUGUGGUAUUUCUGGAUCCUUACCAAGGCAGUAAUGGUAUAUGCCUUCUCUCAAAGUAUGUGGUAUUUUUGGUAUGAGGCAUAGUGACAUUGCCUUCUCUCUCACCCUACUCUAAUAAGGCUUUUGAUAUCUAGAGCUCAUAGGUGGGAGACAGCUAAUACAUACUUACAAGACAUUUAUUGCAUAGUCAAACCAUGGAUCUAGAAGAACAAGUCAAUAAGUCAAAUCAAGAUGUGCAUGUGUGGCGAAUGAAUGGUGUAUGGUGAUGAUGGUGAUAACAAUGGUGAAAGUCUAAUUCUACUUGUGCUCUUUUGAGGGAAUACAUACAUUUCUUGCUCUUUGAAGCUUUUUGAGAGGAAUGAGAUUAUAUUUUAUUUUUUUCUUUUCUCUCAGGUGGGUAUCUUCUACCCCUAAUUCUACUAUCGGACACUUGUCCAUUUUUACCUCUCGUCUCACUUUUUCUUUUCUUUCGAGGUUCCGGGCACUUGCCCCUUUUUAUUUCCUCGUAUCUCUUUUUUUUCUCUCUUUUUUUUAGAGCACUCAUCUCUUGAAAUAAUGUAGCAAGUGGUAGUAGCCAAGAUAACAUGAGCAUUUAUUUCACAGUGGAAAACAGACAUGUUUUUGGCUAUUCUCUCCCAGAUUAGGAGUAGAAUAUUUUUGGGUGGUUCUGGAGAUGGAAAUGGGUGGAUAUAUGUGGAUGCGUACUUCCGGGGUAGAAGCAGCAUGUAUGAGUGAACGUGCAAGUGAAUCUUGGUUUAACCACAUGACAAGCUCCUAAGGUCUACACAGCUUGACCACACUCAAUGCUCAUAAGCAGUAAAAAGUAAAUAUGUGGCUCAAAGUCUAGCAAGCAUGUAUAUAUGGCUGUGGUAGGAAUUUAAACUCUCAUCAUAUAGAAACUCAUCAUGUGUUAUUUUAAAGAUUUUCAAAGAUAAAAUUCUCCAGUUUUCUAGCAUCUCUAGGAACAGAUAAACAGCAGCUCAACCUUCCGAUAUCAUAUCCGUUAACGACUUAGACUUUAGAUCAAGUACUCUUCCCACAAGUUCAGGUUUAGAGCAAAUCUUAAUUAAUAACAGUCAUGCCUAAACUUGAGAGAGAUUUCAAUUUUUAGAACUAGUCAUGGCAGAGCAACUAUUCAUCAUUUCCAUGUGAGAGCUUAUCAUGAGGGUUCAUAGCAAACUUUAUUUAUUUAUUUAUUUAGCAAACUAAGUAAAGAUAUAUAUAUAAGCACAAAAUCUUUAUUUGGGUUUUCAUGAUUAUGCAUCUUUUUAUUAUUUGAGUAAAGUAUAAACGCAAGUAGAAACACUUAGCUGGAUGAAUGGGGGUGCUCUCCCCAAGCUGGAUCUUAACGUAAUUUCUUCUGAUGUAGCUAGCAGGUGGCGGAGACGCAUUUGAAUGUCGGCAGCACCUUGAUAGCGAUUAGGAUGUCCUCGGUCUACUAGUCUUCUUUGAUCCUUGAAUUCUGUGGAGCUCAAAUAGACAACAAAGCUUUGUGGAACUAGUUAAGUGUUGGCAUAAAUAUCUAGCCUUUAUCAUGUUGAGCAUCCUCAAUAAAUGUUACUCUCUUUUGUAGGAUCAUAAAUUUAUUUUUAUAUUUUCUUUUUUUAUAGGACAAGAACAUAUUUAUUUUAUGUUUAUGCCACCACAGUGAAUGUACUUAUGGGUUUUAUGCCAUGAGCAUACUCACAUGGGGCUUAAUAUUUUUAACAUUUUUAUUUUCUUUUCAAGAUAGCAUGAACCUGAUUAACUAAGCCAACUAUUUUAAAUAAUUGAAAGGAAAAAGAUAACUACCAAGUUCACCUCUUGGCAAGGCGUUUGGUGUCUUUAAGUCAUUCGAACGGGACUCCAUUUUCUAAGUCAUCCUGGGAUUUGCUAGAUGGUGUAGUCGGUGGUUCCAGCGGUGCCUGCUCUUCAUGUAUAACUAUCUUCUCUCUACACACCUCACUCGGUGCUACGGUCUCCUCAGGACAGUUCUGUUCAAGUUGUAUGUCUUUAGAUAUUACCACUUCUCCUUCGUAGUCUCCCAUCCGUCCUUGAUGAUUUGCCUCCUCUGGUUACGGUUACGUCGUCUUCUUCUUGUCCUGACCUGCUUAGAGUCUUCAACUAUAUAGUUAGGGUCAGUAAAACAGUGGCGUACCUUCUCAGAUGGGAAGUGCAUGUGGACUACUCUGGUUCCAAUGUAGAUGAUUGCUUUAACGGUGCUGAGGAACGGUCUCCUAAGGAUGAUGGGUGGAUCGUACUUGUCUUCUCCCAUGACAAUAACAUUUCAAAAUGUCUGAUCUGCCAUCUUGAGCUGAAUGUAUGUUGGUUGUAGGGGCAUGGUUCCAUGCAGGAGAUGGGUCAUCCUUUUUGGUCAAGAACGGUGACUUAAGUCGACGGUCUUGACCUCCUUGAACUGCAGUGACCAUCUUAGCUGACUCGGUCCACAUUUGCUUGUUCCUAUUCCUCCUGAUGGUCCUUUCCUUGUUUCAUGUUAGGAUUGCUCUAAGAUUUGUGUAGUCUUGUUCUUGAAGGAAAACAUCUCCUUCCUCCCUUUGAUGUAGAAACUGAUCUUGGCAGCACUAGCAUAGAUGACAGCUCCUCAGGUGUUCAGGAGUGGCCUCCCUAACAUAGAUGACAGCUCCUCAGGUGUUCAGGAAUGGCCUCCCUAGGAUGGGUGCCCUCUCAUCAGUACCAGUCUCUAUCACCACGAAGUCUGCUGGAGCGUACAAGGAACCAACUCAGACGCGGAGGUUCUUCAAUAUUUCCUUUGGGAAACCUGGGCAUGAUGUUGAUACUGUAGCCAAAGUCGCAGAGUGCUUCUGGGAAGUCCACCAUGCUGAUGGAGAUCGGGAUGACGGAGCGUCCUGGAUUGUCUUUCUUGACCGACAGAAGAUCAGUAAUUACUUCCACGAGUUACUCCAGUAGUUACAUCCUCAAGCAUCUCAGGGUAGUGAUUGCCUGAGUGUCCAGUCUCUCCAGUGUGUUUGUGCUUGUAGAUCUAGGUUCUUCACUUGAUGGAGUCUGGGAGUUGUAAAAGUCCUUCAUAUUUUGCUCGAAGUGUACCUGCUCAUAGAGACAAGGCAGAGAUCAAGUGCAUGGGCUCUGUUGGUGGAAAACACCAACAGAACCAAAAGUGUAUUUGUUCUUCUCUAACCUUAAGCGUAGUGAGUAAGACAAAGUUGAUGUAUAAUAAGAUCAUGAGUGUAGCAUUUAAAACUUUUGUCAGAUCAGGUUGUUCAACCUAAUGGAAAGAUAAUCUAUAAAUACUUAUGUUUUUAUAUCUUCCAAAGAUUGAAUGUGCAACAUUUUAGUUUAUAUGAUUAGGAGUGUGGAAUCACAAAUGUAGUACUAUAAACAAAGAUUAAAGGACUAAACAUGCUUAAUUAAUUGGGUUGGUUAAUUUAGAGUUAUAAAUCAUACAUGCUUGUCUCUUUAUUCAUGUGAACGCUAGAACCAAGGAGAAACUUAUAAAAGUGAUAGUCAAGUACCUUAAGAUGUUACCUUACUUGAAGAGUGAUGGUACAAUAUCACCUUGUGGAAGCUUUCCUUUCUUAGCGGUUGUGCAUCGUGUUUGUGGCACCCUCCAUGGAUCAUCUCUUGUGAGCUAUGCCUUUCUUGUGCAAAUUGUUAACCUUCAUGCAUCUCUCUCUUUGUCUCCAAUGUGAUUUUAUCUCAGGACUUCCCAGGUCAAUAUUGAACGUUUUCCUACAGGGGUUAGUCCAACAAAAUAUCCAAUAUCUACUAUAGCAUACUAUUGGCUUAAAGAACAACCUAGACACCAUGUCUAAUUUGAUUUAGGAGGGCAUUUUAACCUAAGCAUCAUGCUUAAUUUAAACUCCCUUGGAAGUAAGAUCAUCAGCCCUAAACUAAGCACCAUGCUUAAUUAAGAGAUAAAUGAAACUACUCCAAACCUAGACAUAUACUAAAACAAAUAAAGGUAGCAUGAGCAUUUCUAGAGUUCUACUCAAAUGGAGAUGAAGUAGUGUGAUUAGUAUUUAACAAAUUGAGCAUGUCUCAAAGGUAGGGACAACCAACAUAGCAACAUGGCAAAGGAUGUUUUUAUAUAAAGUACUCCCCCAAGCUUGAAUUUUGCAAAAUUCAAGUUUGGGUGAAUUUAAUUCAAUGUUGUAUGAUGAUUAGUUGGACAUACCUUGUGCUUGUCAUUCAUCCGAUCUUCUUGCUCCAAUCCUGGAAAGGUCAGUGACAAGAAUACCCGAAGGAAUAUUUUUACAAUUAUCCUUAUAUGCUCAAUACACAAGUUAAUGUUGCAAAUAAUUAAAAGCUCAUGUUACAAUCUGAUCAGUGCUUGUUUUAGGACACUAAGCUUGUCCUUGGGAAACCAUCAAUUUAUGUCAGUGAAGUGGUUUCCCCUCCAACGCUGACCUAUAUCAAGAUCAACUCAACGAGAUCUACAAUAUUUAUUAUAGACAUAUGCAUCGACAACCGCCCUUUUAAAGUUUUUAUAAAUAGAAAGGAUGAGGGGGUUCGAGAUCUCGAAUGUGGUGAUGUUGGAAAAACCAAUGGAUUGAGAAGAUGUUGCAUAUGAGCAUGGAGUAAAUGAAGUGGCUAUGAAAUAAAUUCCAUGCUCAUUAAUGCUUAGAGUGAAAUCCAUGUGGUAUGGUGAAAAUGAUAAGGUGAGUGUGGUAAAAAAAGAAAAGAAAAAUGAUACACGGAUGACUUGGUUCGAAACUAGCACAGCUACCGUUCCCCGGCAACAGCGCCAGAAAGCUUGUUGGGUAUUUUAAACGCAAACAGAAAAAUCAGCAAGCGCACGGAUACCGAUGUAGCCUUCACCCGGGAGUAUUCCAGAGUAUCGAUUUUCCACAGGAAACGUGAGUGUACUAAUUAAGAAUCAAGAUCGCCCAAGGAUAACUAUAUAAUUGUUUUUGGUGGGAAGAGAGGAAGUUUCCUGAGAGUUCUCUAGUUGAUCUAAGAAUCAAGAAUUACUUCAAGAUUAUCUAUAUCGGGACAUCAGAGCACUAACCACAGAAAGAGAUGAGAAGGGGGCUAGGAAGGUCUAACUACGGUCCUACAAACACCGAUCCGAACGAGGUGGAAUACGUCGACCGUUAGGGCUGUCACUACCCUAAGGCUACCACAACAAUCCGCAGGAUUGGGUGCAAUUCCAGGUAAUCGCAAGACUAAACACCACGUCUAAUCUAUUAAUUACUACUCUAGCGUUAUAAAGACUAGAGCACUUGAUACAAGCGGGAAUCCAACAAAUAACUUAAAUGUAAAUAAAAGUAAUUAAAGAACUCAGGAAUUAUGAUUUGAAGAACUUGGAGAACGAUGAAGAACGAACCAGUUGCUGCAAAAGUACAAUGUUGAGGAAGAUCCGACAUAUCCGGCUCCUCCUCCGCUCUCCUCUUUUCUCUCCCUAUUUUCUAGAUUACAACUAGAACUAACUAGAACUAGAACUAGAGGAACUAGAACUAGAACUAGAUGAACUAGAACUAGAUCUAGAUGAACUAGAGGUAGAGCUAGAAGAACUAGAGGGAUCCUCUCUACUUGGACGAAGAAUUGAAACCCUAACUUUGAUUCUGUAGAAGAGGUAUGAUCUCCAGGGGCCAGGGGGUCUGGUUUUAUAGUCCCUUCAAGUGAAUCUGGGCCGUUGGAUCAAACCAACAUUGAUUGAACGGUUAUCCUUGAUCCUUUAGGUCGGUAGAGCAAUAUCCCGAAAGAGAGUCCUGAUUGGACUCUAUGUGAGGGCGGGCACCCAGGAGAGGAGGGGGGGCGCCCUGUCCCUGAGUCCUCUCGGCCUCCGCUUCGGUCCCGUGGCUUCUGGAGUGUUGUAGAUGAUAGAAAAUUGUGCGGCACGUUAAUAUCUCUAUGUAAACCCGACAUGUGGGCCUUUCUUCCGUAUUUCCUGAUAACCCCCUGUAGAAAUAGACAAACACCAAAACUCGUGGAAUUCUAUCAGAUAAAACCCUAAGUCUAGGUGUUGGUUGCAUUUGGAUCCUUUUCCAUGAUUAAUUGAUGGUUAAAUAUGAGCAUUAAGGACCGUCAACAAUUCUCAACUGAUCAAAUGGGCAAGAGACCUCCAAUGGACGAGGUGGAGGAGUAUAAAUACUACCCAUCAAGUCCAAGGGCCGGCCAACCGUUAUACACUAAAAAUGGGAGCACCGGACGCUUGUUAUAUUGCACCGGACGCACUGCACUGAGCGUCUGGUGACCUCAUAACGGCUAACUGUACCUCUUCUGAUACAGCACCGGACGCUACCUCUUAGAGUCUGGUGACACCGUCCGGUGUGAGGGUGAAACUUACACCCUCCCUAAGGUUAGGACCGGACGCUACCCGAUGAGUUCGGUGCCCUGGUCUUCUUUAGACCUCCCUGGGUGUAGGACCGGACGCUACCCGGUGAGUCCGGUGCUAGCAUUUGGUGCCUAACCCUUGGCACCCAGUCACUGACUCAAGUCUACCGCACCGGACGCACUCACAUAGCAUUUGGUGCUACGUCUGGUGCCUACUUAGGCACCCAAACUUCGUCGAAACGCGAUCUUUCCAAAACGAAGUUUGUUCCUCUCGAUCUACUAUCUCUGAGCUGCCUAGUGCUAGGUUUACCAAGUGUGCACCGCACCUAAACCUAAAGCCUUGCCUAGGUCAAGCUACUAACUCAUUGCCCCUCUUAAUAGAUGGUCAAAGGAAAAUAAAGUCCUAAACUACUGUAAGUGCCCUUCUUCACCAUAUGGCACUUAGACCUAGUCUAGUCUUGACGAUGUCCAACCAUACUUUGAAAACCGAAACGAUUUCCACUAUUAGUUAGGCAUGAAUGUCCAUAUCCAUCGAGUACCUAUUACCAUGACCUAACACUAAUGACUUUGCCUCUGCAAAACACACGUUAGUCAUAGUAAUCAACAUUGUCAUUAAUCACCAAAACUCAUUAGAGGCCUAGAUGCUUUUCAAUUUUGUGUACGUAUGGAGGCACCCUGACAUGCCGAGUCGUGUGGUAGUCGCAGGUGACAGCUGUGUUGGUUCCUCUGUAGUCCACCCCCCGUACGUAGGACUAGCAGAGCGCAGUCAUGAAGGAGGUGACGAUUGUGUCUUAAAACCCUCAUUAGUUGAUGCUCCUUAUGAUGUUUUCUGAGUUUAUCACACUAUAGAUGAAAAUGUGUAGCAUGGCGUAGGCUGUAGACUUUAUAGUAGUAAUUACAUAGCUUUCUUUUAUUUGAAUAUCAUGAUUGUCUUGCUAUAUUAGUGAGUCUUUAUUCUGUAUCUCUGGAAUACCAUUACUUCAUUACUCAAUUAUCAUUUAUCAUAUUUUAUCGAUUAUUUAUCGCUAAAGCAUUAGUACUAUUGGUUAUGAUACAUUUGCAUAAUUAUUUUCUUAGUUCAUACAAGAUCACCUAAGUCUCAUAAAUAGAAUUCUACUUCAUCCUUUAGGCAUAAAAUAAAUCAACGAUACUCGGAAUACUUCCUGGGUGAAAUGCUGUCACGAGAGAAUUAUCUGUGCGCUUGCGGAUAUAUUCUAUUUAGAGUUAUUGUGUGUAGAAAUUUUUUAUCCUUGGAUUUGGCAUCAUGUUAGGGAUGACAACUUCAUAUGAAGUGAUGCUAAAAGCACCAACAUACACCUAGCCACCCCAGGCGGGGUCACUGCCACUGGUAGGAACCACUGCCUCGAUCCCCACUAGGGUCCCAUAACCAAGCUGCUCUAGGCUCCAAUAGUAGCAAGGUUCCCUUCCUUCAGUAUACCCCAUUAACUGAGCACCCUCUAAAGUAGGGUAGGCAUACCAAAUUUUCCCAAGAACUUGCUCUUAUGACGCGAGCCCCUAGGUGCCAACUGAUGGCGAGGAACCCGCCCUCCAGUGGACUUGCGAGCGGUGAGCCUAGUGUAUGCCAUCUGCUGAAAAUGGAAUACCUUGGGUAAGACUGAGGAUUAUCUUUUUUCAUUUUUAUUAAAAAUGGGAUAGAUUUAUAUUGGGGAAGGAACUAAAUAAUGAUAUGAAAUGAACAUGAUGCAUGCACAAAACAUACGAUAUCACAAAUCUAGAAACAAGAGUUAAUACUAAUUGGUAUAUACGGUGGCAUACAACGUUCUCACAUAACGUAACUAGCGCUCUAUGCGACAACGUGGUUAGUGUACCUGCAGAAAACUCAUUUCAGCCCAACCAUAGUAUGAAACAUGCAGAACAAAAAUUUAAAGCAAUGCAUCCCACACAUACCCCACCUUUGUAUGUGACAUGCUGCUACCCACAUCAUCGCCCUAGUGACGGCAUCGCCCCUCAGGACGGAAUCACCCACCAUGCAGUACUCUUUCCAAGCACCCAAGUUAGGUGUGCAUGGCACAGCACACUAAAGCACUUCCCUAGACCGGCAGUGUAUCCGAUAAUGCUCUCACAGCUCUCACUUACCGAGGCGUGGACGAAAAAUGAUCCAUACAUUACCACUCAAGCGAAUGGAACUCAUACUAUUGCACGUCGUAUGAGCGAUGAAAUAGAAAUAUGAUGCACAACCCCAAAAUCAGUACUUAACUAGCCACCUUAGAGUCGUUAACUAGGCAUAAAGGAUAUGACCACUGGCACCCUUUAUAAUUUUCCAAAUACUUGUUUAACACCUUGAUCAUCAUUAAUAGGGAAUUAGUUUUUAUUAAACCGUUUAAAUUUGCUUUAAAACGUACUUAUGAACAGUAAUCCGCUAAACCUUGCUCCGAUUCCAGCUGUAACAGAACAGCCAAAUUAUAAGAGAUUAAGCGUGACAGUGACCUCUUGUGUAGUCAAACCAUCAGGCUUAAGCCCAUAUAAUCCUGGUAGUUCAUGAAAUCUCGAGGGAUUUCAAAACACAUUUCACACAUACAGCCAGAAUUGUAAUAAGUUUAGCGGUCACCAUCCACAAGUACAUCCAGCUCACAUCAUUUAGGAAUUACAUCAGAGUUCAAACAUAGUUAUUACAAACCAAGUUCAACUAUAACGGAAGCAUUUUAGUUUGAAAGUACACACACACUUAGUUUGUUACAGUGCCAUAGUCUGAUCAUUCCCACAAAAGCAAAAGAGGAGGUAGAGUGACCAUUGCCCUUGGUCUAGUCAUCACGCAUUACUGGGUACAAGUAGUUGAUGCAAUACCCAUAGUACAUCUGCCCAUCUACAAAACAACAUGGGAAUUGAACCUUGAGUACGAGAAUGUACACAGCUAGACUUACCGGUCAUGAACCAAAAAUAAAAGACUCUUCAAGGAUCAUGAAGGCUAUAUAGUGGGAUAGCUAGACCCUUUUCGCAUAAAAAGCUUUAUCCAUCUAGGAGUAUAUCCUAAAACCCUUUUGCUUUUAUUUAGCUCAAGUUAGGUAUUAUUACCUACCAUCUAGGUUAGCACCUGUACUAUUACAAAUAGUUGUUUCAAUAUGAUAGUACCAUAUCAUAGCAUUCACAAUCAUCAUAUACCAUAACCAAAGUGUUUCAUAGUCCUUACUAUGAGUAUAGGGCUCAUGUCCAGGAGCAAUGGCGAUUCGAAAUGAUUUUUGACCAGCUGGCGAGUUAUUCCCCACACAAACCACACUCACUGAUCAAGUGAGCUACAGAUCACCGUAUUACACUAUCCAGGACCAAUUCGUCGGUUCGGCAAGCACCGCUAGUACCCAAGGACCGUUCCGGCGAACGAGGUAUCCAAGGCAUACCAAGGUUGUGCGUCGCGCCCUCGUUGUUCUCCUCAACCAUCACCAAUACAGCGCAAGGUGGCUCGACUCCUAGCUCAGAUAGUGUUCAGGCUUCGUGGUUGGAAUGACUUAUCCUUCCAGCUAAGUGUGGGGCAUGCGUUCAACAUGACAAGAGGGCCGUUAAUGAUUAGUCCUUAAUUGAUACAAGCAGGGGCACUAUGAUCAACACCCUAUUGAUGGUCCUUAAUGCCUAUUUUAUACCAUCAACUAUUUCUCAAUAUAACAUGAUAUCAACCAUAAAGCAUAGUUAUAGGGUUUGAUUCUAACGAGUUCCAUGAGUUUUGGUGUUCUCACUUGUUUUGUUGGAAUAUGCAAUUUUCCAUCAAUAAAAGUAUGUCAAAUGAUGAUUUGGACUACACCAUUGUGAUGGGCUCAUCGAGAUGAUAGAAAUUGACAUAUCAUUUGCUAUAUUUGGAGUCCGGAGUGAAAAGAUAUUAAUUUUACAAGUAAAGGAGUAUUACCACUAAUGGGCCCCACGCCCAAAAAAGGCCCAUGACGUGAGAAGAGGCUCAUAUGGCAUGAUAGAGGCCCAAGAAAGGUGCCCUAAGCUGCUCCCUUGAGUGAGCUCACAUGAGGGAUGAUUGGAAAGCCCAAGUUGAUGUAUAAUAGCCCAACAGAGCAAACGGUGGAAGAAAUAGUCCCACAUCGCCUGUCCAAAAGAGGUGGGAGGCUUUUCUAGACUAUAAAUAAAGAGGCAGACCCCCUCCCUAAGGGCACCACAUUAUGGAGGUAUAGAGGCGUCCCUCGAUUGUAUAACCUCUCACCUCUAGAGAAUUAGGGCUAGACAUUCCAAUGUAGUAGAUUAGUUCUAGUUGAGAGUUAGGGAGAGCAGCACUAUGCCCGGGUUCUGAAGGAGUCUGCUGGAGGAGUCUUUAGAGGAGUCAUCAGAGUUCUGGUAUAUCUUUGUAUCUUUUCUUGUAAGACUUAUGCUUUAAUAUAUUAUCUUCUCUAUUUACUUUUAUGCAUUACAUUUGAUUGGGUAGUAUAGUUGUUACACUUUAGCAUAGGAUCUCCGCCGCAUCGGGUGCUCUAGUUAUUAAUUGUGACUAGAGUAGUAAUUUGUAGUAGAGACAUGGUGUCUAGACUAUAGGUUACCUAAGAUUGCACCCAGUUCUAUAGAUAGUUGUGGUAGCCCUACGUGGUGACAGCCCUGAUGGCCGACGUAUUCCACCAUGUUUGGAUUGGUGUUUGUAGGACCGUAGUUGGAGCUUCCUAGUCCCCUUCUCAUCUUUCCGUAACUAGUGUUCCAAUGUCCCAAAGUGUUAUUGUGUGAUUGCUUUACCUACCAUGAAUUAGUUAUUAUAGAACCCUAGUAAUAGAGAAGUAUUUAGGAACCUUAAACUCUCCCAUUGUCCUCUCACUUUAGCUAUCUACUCUUUUAUCAUAUAAUUCUCUGGUGUGUGUCAUAUAUGCAUAAUUCCUAUCAUCGAUUAUUUACCCCUACUUUAGUCUAGUUGGUGUAUUAGUUAGUAGAUACAUGAUGGUGAACUAUCAAUAUCUUUAUCCAUUGUUUCCCUGUGGUAAAAUAUAAAUAAUGGUACCUGGAAUACUCCCGGUAAAAUGCUACAAUGGUUUCCUGUGCGCUGGUGGAAUCCUUCAUAUUUUAAUUGUGCGUAAGAAACACCAACAAGCAUUUUUGGCGUCGUUGCCGGGGAAGCAAUUGGCGUAAAGAUUCUAAUAAUGAUCUUGAUAUCUGCUAAUUUAGUGUACCACUAGCUUUAUUAGGUUUACCCCUUUGUUCUGUUGAGUGUGGAAUAGACAGGACAUCAGAUGCCACUUCGACCUUGCAACAAGAUUCCACAAGAUUAAAGAACCCAUGGUGUCUAAACAUUUAUGAUCCAUCAACAAUAAAGCCCUGCCAUCUCACAGGUAUGUAUAAACACAUAUAUUGUAACACACCAGUGUUAUGGUUGCAUCCUUUCACAUGCACAACAAGAGCAUCGUCAUCUUCAUAAGCAUACCAUGAUCAUCAAUCACCUUUGGUCAUGUCAUUUUAUGCAUGAGUAUGGUUUAACUUGUUUAAUUAUGCUUUCUAUGCUUAUGUUUAUUUAUACCAUGCUCUUGUUUGUGUCGUAGGCCUUGGUAAAUAGUUCAUCUAUGCUUAACUCAACCUUUGGAUCGGAGCAAUCUUCAUGUUGAGUGUUUAGCCCAAAAGUGAACCUAGGUCAUAGUUAUCCUUGUUUAACCAUGUUUGACCCUCUAGAGUGCUUUUCAAAGAUCCUUUAUGAAGUCCUUGCUAGAUUUCUUGCAUGUUGAUGCACCCUUCAGCAAAGUUGUGGCAAAUUUCCGAAGCAACAAAAGUUCUUUUGGGGUCAAUUCAUGAAAAUGUCCAGAGCAUGCUCAAAAGUGGCCUACAAGGCAGAAAUUGGGGCUGUUUCCAGCACUUAGAAAUUUUCUAAGUCUGGAAUCUAACCAGGUUGCUUGAGGGUGGCUUGGAUGGCUUCCAGUUUGAAAUCUAGGCCGAACAAAGUUAUGAUCCUUUAAGCAAAGCUCAAGUCCUCAUGUAGCUCUACAUCAUGGAGCAGUUAGCCAGCAAAACUAUCGAUUAGAUUAGUAGUUAAUCGAAGUCAAAAAUCGAGUUUCAGUCGGUUUCAGAACUGAAUGGAGGCAGCGUCAGUGGGGAGGAGCUCGCCGGUGACGCCGUGUGUUUGGACCCGUGGCAUCCGUACGUCGCCGUUGGUCCCACUUGUCAGCACCCGACGCGUCCUCCAGGUCGCCAUGACGUCCCCUGUCACGUGGACAGCACCAUUUCUCCCCCUGGUUCUCUCUCUCUCGCUCAUCGUCUUCUCCGCGUCUCCGCCAUCGCUUCGGCGAGCUCGCGAGCCCGUGUCUCGGCGUCUCCAGCCGAGCCACUGCACCCAGCACUUCGCUAGCUUCCCCGCAUCACUGUCGUCACGUUGGCUGCAGCUGCCGAGUCUCGGUAAGCCCACAUUGUCUUCUCCGUUGCGAGCUUACCUCGCCGGAGUUCCGCAUGGUCACCGGUGUCGUGGUCAGGGCUCUCUAGUCUAGCAUUUCUUCUCGUUCUUGUUUCAAAAGCUCCGCCUUGUCAUGCUGAUGCUCGUCAGGGUUCUCUUUUGCUCGGUCUCCGACCAGAGACGCCGGCGGUCGGCCGCGCACCACCGCCGUGCCGCCAUUCACGAGGGCGAGGUCCCUAGGGCGUGGUAGAGUUAAGGUUUCUGGUACCAAUCGUCGUGGAAGAGAGUGAGGAGCACGAUGGUGCCCUUGGCCGUCGCCGAGACCUCGCCGUCGACGAGAUUUCUGGUGGUCAAGCCUCGCCUCUGUUCUCGGGGUCACUGACGUGUGGGGUCCGUUGACCUGUGGGGUCUCCCUGUCAGUCCCUCUCUCCUCUUGUUUGAAUUUAGGGUUUGUGCUGUAUUUGGAAAAAUCAUAACUGGAGUUUGGAAAGUCCUCUUGAGGUGAUUCAAUUUUUUUUGUGCACCUCUGGUAGGCUAGUUUUAAAUAAAAAUAUAAUAUGUCCCAUGUCUAUGUGAAAAAUAAUUGUUAUGAAUUAAUCUUGUUAAUUCUAUGUAAAUGUAUAUGUCUUGAUCUACUACUCCAAAUGCUGUGAAAUUUUUAUGCUGUGCUUUGGAUAGUAUUAGAAUGCUCUGAUAAAUAUUUCAUGAUUUUUGGAGUGUUGUAUCUCUGAUAUGUAAUUUAUGUUAAUACUAUUGCCUAAAUCCAUGUUUAAAUCAUAUUAAAUAUUAUAUGCUUAUGAUGGUGUUCUCCUUUGGUGUCAAGCUUGACCAUAGUAGUAGUAACAUGUAAAUAGUCUGAAAUCUGUUGUUUGACACUAUCAAAGCCCUGUUUCUUAAUUUAUGAAUUAAGCACCUUGUUACAUGUUAAUUAAAUAUCUUAAGUUUGGCAUGUGCAAUUGCUCUUGUAGAUUUUUCUGAGCACUCUUGCUGGUAUCUUUUCAUUAUGUCCUUCUAUAUAAUUAAAUGAGUAAAUGCCUUUUUAUUAAGUGUUUAGUUAUUCACAUGUGGUUUUCUGGUAAUCUUGGGAUAUGUUUGUGCUUAUGAACCACUUGGUUGGUACUAAAUAUGUUUUUGCCUUGACAUCAACUAAUUAAGUAAAGGGUAUAAAGCUGUUCUGGAUAGCAAGGGAGUAAUCUGUUUGUUGUCUAAUGAUAACUUUAGUUUCUGAAAGACUUGUCUAUAUAAAAGAUGUUGUAAACUUUGUAUGCUAGCUGCAGUUUAAAUUUGGGAUCAUUUGGUCCAGGAGUUUAAAAGUUAUGGCUCUUCCAAGUUGAGUUCCAGAACUCGGUGCUCUCUGUCUUUCUAGAACAGAAUCUGGAACUUUGUUUAGUUGACCUGUUUAACUUAUAAAUCAUGCUGUGAUGUCUAAAGAUGAAAUGUAAACAAUUUCAUAAGCUUUCCAGAAUGUUCUCAUUCAUGUUUGUUGGAUCUAUAUAUCUGUGGUUAUGAAUUGUUCUUUGAGCUGCUCUGUAAAUAGUUGUUGCUGUUUAAUUGUGUAAGUUGGUGUGUUCUUGUUAGUUGUGGUGGUACUCUUUUGUGAGCUUAUAAUAGAAGCUUACUCCGUAAAUUAGUGUCCAGUGAAGUUAUAAUAAUGUUACCAAGCAUUCAUCAUCAUCUUGGGUGCACACAUUCCUUACUUAUCAUGCGUGCAAUAGGUGCACCGGAAGUCGCAGCAUCGUUCGAGCUCGAGAGGGUGAAUCCCGAAGGCCCGGAGGUCACCCAGGAGACGGAGGUCCAGCCAGCAGGACAAGAGGAGCCCGAAGAGGCUGUCGAGUGCCCUAGUCACGAGCCCGCUUUGUUCACGAAAGGUAAGCCCCGGAGCAUCUUAAAUCUCCCAAUUAAUUUCAAAGCAUACUUGAAUAUUGUCGACGAAAGCUAGUCGGCAGUCUACCUUGGGGUAUACCCACGGUAGUAGUUUAUCGGCAGACAGCUGCGCAAGCUAAGAACUUGAUGGUGACGCAAGACACAGACAAGGAUUUUAUACAGGUUCGGCCACCGUGUGGGCGUAAUACCUACGUCCUGCGUUUGAUUGUAUUGUUGUGGAUCGAAUUGUGUUGAGUUGAGUUGUCUAAAGGGGGUCCCUUGCCUCUCUUUAUAUAGUCCAGAGGGCAGGGUUGCAGAUUUGGAAACUAAUCCUAGUCGGUUACGAUUGCCAUAGAUAACACGAUAUCAAUUCCUAUUCUAACCGACUAGAAUUUUGCUUGAUCUCCACGUCUUGUUUCCUUGCGCGAAACUUCGAGCAGUUGGAUGAAGCCUCGAACUGUCUCGUGAUGGGCCAAGUCUCCUGGCCCAAGUCUAGCCAUAACGGUAUAGGGGUUGGUACCCCCACAGCUAGUCCCCGAGCUCCAUGUAUUAUGAUGUAACACACCGUCUUGAGCUUCUUCGACCAGCAAGAAAAUCACCCAAACAGUUGCAACAGUAUUUUAACCAACUCAAAAGACAGUUGAUCAACAUCAGCAUCGAUGAAGUAGGUUGUUCGAAGAAUGCAUGGUGCUUUUAAUAAAAAAAGAUUUCUUUCCUGGUGAAGUGUGCCCACUUUACUUUUCCAAAAAGUAUAGUGUUUCAAAAAGCAAGCAUAUUCACCGUAAGGAGAAGUGUGCCCACUUAGUCUCCGAGCCUGGUAGUAGAUGACGUAGGCAUGUGGUGCUAGGAUCUUAAAGAGAGAAAACCACAUAGAAAAUCUGAUACUAAGAUCCAUUACCAUAUGCAUCGUACCGAUGUAGUCUCCGAGCUUGCUAGAAGGUGAAGAAUGAGCAUUAUAACAAGGUCUUGAAAAAUAAAACUAUCCAUUCGAACGCUAUGCGAUCAAAUUUACCAGUCCCCGAGCAUAUCACGCUCAUCUGUGAUUGAGUAGGCUGGUCGACCAGCCCCCGAGCAUAUCAUGCUCAGUGGUCGGUACAGUCCCCAGUCGACAAAUGAGCGGGCUGGUCGGUACAGUCGCUAGUCGACAAAUUAGCGGGUUGGUCGACCAGUCCCCGAGUGUAUCAUGCUCGGUGGUCGGUACAGUCCCCAGACUUUCAAAUGAAUGGACUGGUCGACCAGUCCCCGAGCGUAUCAUGCUCGGUGGUGGGUACAGUCCCAAGACUUUCAAAUGAUCGGGCUAGUCGACCAGUCCCCGAGCGUAUCAUGCUCGGUGGUCGGUACAGUCCCCAGACUUUCAAAUGAUCAGGCUGGUCGACCAGUCCCCGAGCGUAUCAUGCUCGAUGGUCGGUACAGUCCCCAAACUUUCAAAUGAACGGGCUGGUCGACCAGUUCCCGAGCGUAUUAUGCUCGGUGGUCAGUACAGUCCCCAAACUUUCAAACAAACCAAACAAAUUAAUUACUUGGCUUUUGAAAACAUCCUGUCGCCUCACUAAUUUGCGAUGUGACGAGGCACCCUGCUAUCUUGUCAGUCUAUCGCAUAAAAAGGGGUGCCUGCUAACUGCACAGCCGCUCAUCACAUGGAUCAAGAAAGGCAAACCAACAAUCAUUUUAACAAGGCCACUUUCGCCGCAAAAACCGCUCAUUUCCCCAAAAUACGGUAAGUGGAAGAGGUGGUAUUGCCGUUAUAUAUAGCCCGACGUUGUGUCUUUAAACCUUUACCUAGCAGUUGCAUACUAGCAUCCUUCACCACAGAUCCCACGAGACCCAGUUCAAAACUCUCCGCGUAGAAAGAAGGGCUAAGAGCAACUCGAAGAAGAGGGCCGAGAUGAUGGCCAAGGAGUGGAAGAAAUCCCAGAGCACCAUGAGAUCCCUCAAUGACCUCGUCGAAAUGGGGCUUCUGCACGACCAGGAGCUUUGCGGCUGGAGAGCGCCGGAAGGAGAGAGUUACCCGGAUACCCGAGCUAGUGAGAUUGUUGUUUUUGAAGAUUUUUUCAAGAGGGGGUUUGGGGUGCCUGUUCAUCCGUUUCUUCAAGGGUUGCUUCUUUAUUAUGAGAUCGGGAUCUACAAUCUGCACUUGAACUCCAUUCUGCUUGUUGCGACCUUCAUUCACCUGUAUGAGGCGUUUGUUGGUAUUGAGCCGCAUUUUGACCUCUUUCGCUACUUAUUCUGUUUGAGGAAGAAGGGAGCAGUCGGAGGCUCAAAGAUUGCAGGUGGAGUAUACCUCAAUCUCCGUGAUGGCAUGAAGAACUGGUAUCUCAGCUACCCUUGGAACACCUCCCUCACCGAGUGGUACAAGAGGUGGUUCUACAUCAGGGAGGAGCCGGGUAGCGCCAUGUUUUGCGACAUCGGCUACAUCCCCGAGAAGAGGGUUAGCUGGACGGACCGGCCAGAGUACACUAGUCAGGUGUCGGAGUUGAUGACCCUGAUCAACUGGUUGUUGACGGUUCUUAAGUAUCAAUUUUAAUUAUCAGAUAAACAAGAGAAAGGACCAAUAUGCAACCAACACCUAGAAUUAGGGUUUGAUCUGACAGAAAUCCACGAGUUUUGUUGUUUAUCUGUUUCUGCAGGGGGUUAUUAGGAAAUAAGGAAGAAAGGCCCACAUGUCAGGAUUACAUAGAGAUAUCAACACACCGUGCGAUUUUCUACCAUCUAGAAGACUCCAAAAGCCAUGGGAAGAAAGCAGAGGCCGAAAGGGGCCAGGCCCAGGGCGCCCGCCCUGGUGACCUGGGCGCCCACCCCCUGCUGGAAGUCGUUCGGGACUCUCUUCGCACACGAUGUUCCACCGACCUAUUGGAUCAAGAAUAACAUAGUACCACCUCGCCUACCGACCCAAAAACGCAUAGAGGAGGAGGACUAUAUAAGAAGACCCCCUGGCCCCUGGAGAAGACAAGAAAUUAUCAUAGAGAUUGAGGGGUGCCCUCGAAGGAAAACCUCUUCUCUAAAUAAUAUUUCUUUUUAGGCUUAGCAACCAAUGUAAAGUAGAAAUAGAUCUUCUAGUUUCUACUAGACUGAGAGAGAUAGAGUGGAGGUGUAGAUUGGAGGAAGCCCGGCCUGUCGGUGUCUACUCCAAGCUUGUACCUGCGGGAUCAAGUUCUCCUAACCCGAAGCUUGCUCCUAGGAUUCUUCAGUAUUUUGACUUCUAAAUUCUAGUAAGUUCUUGUUUUAUUGUUCUUCUGGUUUAAGAGUUUGCUUUAAUCUCUUCGCGUAGAGUUUAGAGUAAUCAUUGCUGGCAUAAACGUGGUGUUUAGGCUGGGGUACUCAUAGAUAUUCCCUGACUAGCUGGACUGUGGUAGUAGUGAGGAACGUGACAAUUCCGAGUUACCUUUGCAGACCAUAUCUCGUUAGCAGGAAGGAUAGGGUUUAUAGGUGUGGGUUGAACAUCCUUUGUGGUGUCUAGAUUCCGUUAGCCUCCCCAAUAGGACAGUAGAUCAUCCUUACCAAGGUUAGAAGGAGACUACAGUUGCAGUCUUCUCUAUUUAUCACUCACAUCGAGAGACAUUCUUUAUUGCCUAAAGGGUUAGUAGUAAUAGACCGGUUAGUCAGAUGCACUCUUUCUCCUAGUGGUAAAAAAAUAAAUACGAUACUCUAGAUAAUUUCCCGGGUGAAGUGCUCACCGAUAUCCGUGCGCUUGCGGAUCAAUUCCUUAUUGCGUUCCCAAAUAUCAACAAGCAUUUCUUGCGUCGUUGCCGGGGAGAAAGACGGUUUGCUGAGAUAACCUUGAGUCUUACUACUAGCUUGUAUCUAUACUUUUAUCUUUUCUUAUCUUUUAUAUUCUUUAUUUAUUUUAUUUAUUCUUACCUUAUGGAAAAUCAAAAUUCUAAAUCGAUCCAUGAAUCUGCAAUCCCAUCAGUAACUGACCUUUUACCUUGGGAAUCAUCACAGCCUAUCCAAACAUCCCAGUAUAAGUUAAGUUCUAGGUUGAUUGCCAUGAUUCAAAACCUAUCUUUUUCGGGAAAGGAAGACGAAAACCCUUACCUUCAUAUUAGAGAUUUUGAGCAAACAUGUGAUUGUCUUCGCAUUGAAGGCAUAUCUGAUAAAACUUUACGUUGGAAGCUUUUUCCUUUUUCUUUAAGGGGAGAAGCUAGACAAUAGUAUAGUCAGAAGGUAAGUCAACAACAAGGUGAAUGUGGAGUUUUACGAGCCAACUUUUGUCUAGAUUUCUAUUCCCUCGACCGUAUAGCCGACCUUAGACUCGAUGUCCUAUCUUUUAAACAAAAAGAUAAUGAAACUUUGGAAAAAUCCUGGAAACGUUUUUCUGAUCUUUUAGAAUCUGGUCCAAACCUUAAUCUUGAAGACCCUGUUCUUUUAUUUCACUUUUUUCGAGGCCUUCAGAAAAAUCACAAACAAAUGCUACACACAAUAUCUAGAGGUUCUUUCUUUCACAUCCCUACUGAUGAACCUAGAGUGAUCCUAGAUAGAAUCCUAGAAGCUGAGAUGGAUAAUACCCUUCAUGAUGAAACCUACGAAGCCGAAGUAGACACUCUGCCAAAUUCUUCAUCUACUUUAGCUAUCCCAAGUUCUGAGCCACAAGAGGAAGAAAUUCCACCACCGGACUUCAUGCUGGUUAUAGAAUCCGAUCUUUUUGCUGAUUUUGGAAACAUUUCAAACUACCAUUCUAUUGACAAACCUCAAGACGGCCAGUUUAGCAUUUAUUUGCCAAGGGAAUAUCAAUUAAGAGAGCUUAUCUCAGUCAUAAGUAGCGAAUGGUUGGAGGAAUCAGAGCUUUCCUCUGAUGUGAUCCGUUUGGACACACCCUCUAUAACUAUACGUUGUGCUUAUAAUUCUGAUCGAUUUAAUGCUCUCUAUAAUCCUGUUGUGGGGAUCAACAUCAUGUCUGAAUCUUUUGCACUUAAACUAUUUAAAAAUCUUGUCUUAACCCCCCACAACAAAGGUCAUAAAGGAAUCUUUCGGACGAUUAGUCCCCAGUCUUGGAAUUAUUAAUGUCCUACCUCUUACGGUAGAAGGCUCCAUGGUUCAUUUGAACUUCUAUAUCUUUGAUACAUGGGACUUUGACCUGUUGAUAGGACAACCUUUUAGAAGACUCCUUUACGAAGGUCAUACUAGAAAGCUACACAUUUCUUUUGGAAAAACCUUUAAAUUCCCAAUAACAAUUUCACACUCCUUAAACAAUAAGGCCGAAUCAUAUCUUUUGCCUGAUCCUAUGGAGGAGGUAAAGGCUGCAUCUCUAGAGCUUUUUGAAGAAUUAGACUUAGAAGACGAAACUCCAUUCUUCAUAGAAGAAGAAGCCGAACCUUCUGAACCUGAACCCUUAGAUGAGUUUGCAGAAACACCUAGACCCCCCCAUAGAGCUUAAAACUUUACCACCCGGUCUUACCUAUGCUUUCCUAAACAAUAAUCCAGAGUUUCCUGUGAUCAUUAGCGAUAAACUCACUGAGGACCAAACUCUGCGAUUAAUGACUAUUCUUGAGAAACAUCACUCAGUGUUCGGCUACUCACUCCAAGAUCUUAUAGGAAUCAGUCCUAUGAUUUGUACCCAUCGUAUUCCAACAGAUCCUUCUGUUUCACCUUCUCGAGAACCCCAACGUAGACUUAAUAACACUACGAGAGAGGUAGUUAGAAAGGAAGUUAUAAAGUUGCUGCAUGCAGGGAUUAUAUAUCCUGUGCCGCACAGUGAGUGGGUAAGCCCAGUUCAAGUUGUGCCUAAAAAGGGAGGCAUGACUGUUAUUAUGAAUGAAAAGAAUGAGCUAAUUCCACAACGCACCGUCACAGGAUGGCGGAUGUGCAUAGACUAUAGAAAACUAAACAAAGCCACGAGAAAGGAUCACUUUCCUUUACCUUUCAUAGAUGAGAUGCUAGAGUGGUUAGCGAACCAUUCGUUCUUCUAUUUCUUAGAUGGAUAUUCAGGGUAUCACCAAAUCCCGAUCCAUCCUGAUGAUCAAAGCAAAACCACUUUUACAUGCCCAUAUGGAACUUAUGCUUACCGUAGAAUGUCUUUCGGGUUAUGUAAUGCACCAGCUUCUUUUCAAAGAUGCAAGAUGUCUAUAUUUUCUGAUAUGAUUGAAGAGAUUAUGGAAGUUUUCAUGGAUGAUUUCUCUGUUUAUGGAAAAACUUUUGAUAGUUGUCUUGAAAACUUAGACAAGGUUUUGCAAAGAUGUGAAGAAAAGCACUUAGUCCUUAAUUGGGAAAAAUGUCAUUUUAUGGUUAGAGAAGGAAUAGUGCUGGGACACUUAGUGUCUGAAAAAGGUAUUGAGGUAGAUAAAGCUAAAAUUGAAGUAAUUGAACAACUACUUCCACCUGUGAAUAUAAAAGGAAUUCGAAGCUUUCUUGGCCAUGCUGGUUUUUAUCGUAGAUUCAUAAAAGAUUUUUCAUUCAUUGCUAGACCACUUACUCUUUUGCUAGCCAAGGAUGCUCCUUUCGAAUUUGAUGAUGCAUGUCUAACAUCUUUUAAUUUAUUAAAGAAAGCACUCAUCUCUGCACCAAUCAUUCAACCCCCUGAUUGGUCGUUGCCUUUUCAAAUUAUGUGUGAUGCUAGUGAUUAUGCUGUAGGGGCAGUUUUGGGACAAACUAAAAAUAAGAAGCAUCAUGCAAUUGCUUAUGCCAGUAAAACUUUGACUGGAGCUCAACUUAAUUAUGCAACCACUGAAAAAUAGCUUCUGGCUGUUGUCUUUGCCAUUGAUAAAUUUAGAUCUUAUUUAGUUGGAGCUAAAAUAAUUGUUUACACUGAUCAUGCUGCACUAAAAUAUUUGCUCACUAAAAAAGAUGCUAAACCUCGCCUGAUUAGAUGGAUCUUAUUACUCCAAGAAUUUGACUUAGAAAUAAAAGAUAAAAAGGGAGUAGAAAAUUCUGUUGCUGAUCACUUGUAAAGAAUGUAUUUUAAGAGUCCACAAGAAACCUCCAUCAAUGAUUCACUCCGGGACGACAUGCUCUACGGGAUUAACAGGUCUGACCCCUGGUAUGCAGAUAUUGUUAAUUUUAUGGUUGCAGGGUAUGUACCACUAGGAGCAAACAAGAAGAAGCUUAUUCAAGAAAGUUGUUCACAUAUAUGGGAUGAGCCAUACCUCUUCCGAGUAUGCUCUGAUGGCUUACUUAGGAGAUGUGUCACCACUGAGGAAGGAUGGAAGAUCAUCGACAUAUGCCAUUCCUCACCAUAUGGAGGUCACUAUGGAGCAUUCCGUACACAUUCAAAGAUAUGGCAGUGUGGAUUCUACUGGCCUACAAUGUAUGAAGACACGAAGCAAUAUAUCAGAAGAUGUGGGCCAUGUCAAAGGCACGGAAACAUAAAUACAAGGGAUGCAAUGCCACUCACCAACAACCUUCAGAUUGAGCUCUUUAACGUAUGGGGAAUAGACUACAUGGGACCAUUUCCUCCAUCAAAGAAGUGCGAGUACAUCUUGGUGGCAGUUGACUAUGUCUCCAAGUGGGUAGAGGCAUUAUCUUGCAAGCAUGCCGACAACAUCAGUUCAAAGAGGAUGUUUGGAGAAAUUAUAUUUCCAAGAUUUGGAGUCCCCAGAGUAGUGAUAAGUGAUGGAGGAGCACACUUCAUCGACAAACGCUUCAAGCAAUAUCUAUCAAAACAUGGAAUCCGUCACAACGUCGCUACCCCCUAUCAUCCACAGACAAGUGGCCAAGCAGAGACUUCCAACAAACAAAUCAAGAAUAUUCUUCAGAAGACAGUAAAUGAAAUGGGAACGGCGUGGAAAGACAAGUUACCCGAUGCACUCUGGGCAUACCGAACAGCAUACAAGACCCCAAUUGGGAUGUCUCCAUACCAAUUGGUGUAUGGGAAGACUUGCCAUCUACCCGUUGAACUAGAGUUCAAAGCACACUGGGCCAUAAAGAGAUGGAAUAUGGACCUAGAUGUUGCUGGAGAUUAUAGAAGAAUGCAAUUAUUAGAAUUGGAAGAAUGGCGAGAGAAAGCAUAUCACAAUUCGAAGAUCUACAAAGAAAGAGUCAAAAGGUGGCAUGACAAGAGAAUCAAGAAGAAGGAGUUCACACCCGGAGAUAAGGUAUUACUUUUUAAUUCCAGGGUGAAGCUUUUCGGGCAUGGAAAACUCCGGAGCAAAUGGGAAGGACCAUUCAAGGUAAUUAAUUCAUCAUCCCACAGAGCUAUCAGACUUCAAAAUGAUGAAGGUACGUUAUUCAAGGUAAAUGGUCAGCGUCUUAAAUUAUUUUUAGAGCCCAAUAAAGAAUUAGAAGAAAUAGACGUAGUCCAUUUUUACCUUCCCAUGGAGAAUUAGAGCCCAACCUUUUUAGUCUCACGUUUUUGGGUCAUAUAUAUAUUUUUCUAAAUAGUUUGGCAUCUAAUAACACGCCCGAGGAAGUGGACCCACAGAGGGGCCAGAGAGAGGGCCGGCGCCCAGAUCAGGUGGGCGGGCGCCCAGCUCCUGUUCCCCCUCGGUCCCGACUUUCUCUGUUAUGGAAAAUGCACUUAAGGAAAUCAGAAUAAUCCAUCAGAUGGAAAGAUUCGCAAGCACAUCGACAGGAGCAACCCGAACAACCCAUAGAGGUACUUUUUGACCCCUAUAUAAACAGACCCCUGACCUCAGUAUUCAAACACCAAGCCAUCAAGCCUUCUCUUCUUCUUCAAUUAGAGCUUGAUUAGUUCCUUGCUGCUCCAAUGGCCGAGAAGUACCACGAUGAUUGGGAAGUCGUCCCCUUCAACCUCAACAUGAAGCCGGUGGAACACCCCGAUGCCCGUGCUCUCGUCCCGGCCAACACAGAGCGACAACUAGAAGCCAUGCCAUUACGCCAACGCAGCUCCGCCCAAUCCUACCAUGCUCAACCAGUUCUCACCGCACCACCACAACCCCUACUCCUCAAGGGAUCAUCAUCUAAGACGAAGACCACCAUCAAGGUGCCAACCGGCACAAGGAUCCUUCCACCUAGACCCAAUGAGAGAGUCGUUGGAGUCAAGACCAACCGGAGCGGCGAGAUCAGCAGCGUACGCUACACUACGGAGGAGGAAAGGCCUUACUUCGAAGGGAUUAGAGAAGCCAAAGUCCAUUUCAUCCCUCCAAAGGCAGCCCCGAAGCACGCUCUCAAUGCUUUUGAGACACCUCCCAAGCGUCGCAAGACUAUAAUGGAUAUUGAUGAGGACGUUCGCAGACUAGACAGAGUUAUCAUAGACCUCCAGUCCUCGAUUAAUUCCCUCACUAGGCAGCUCUCUAACCACAACACCAUCAUACUAGGCCUUAGGCAGGAAUUAGAGCGCCGCUAAGUUAUCUAGAUUAGAUCUUGAGGCAAUGCAUCUUAGUCAUCUAUCUUUAAAUUCGGUUUAGGUUUACUAUUAUUAUCAGUUUACUACUAUCGUUAGUUUGCUACUAGUUAUUUGUAAUAAAUGCCUCAAGAUUAAUAAAGAAUAUCAUUAUUAUUAUUAUUAUUAUUAUUAUUAUUAUUAUUAUUAUUAUUAUUAUUAUUAUUAUUAUUAUUAUUAUUAUUAUUAUUAUUAUUAUUAUUAUUAUUAUGUCUCGUGUGUCUCUACUUUAUUUUUGUGCAAGAAAGGAGAAAACAAGUAUGGGGGAGAUCCCUCGACAUGCCAAACACACUCCGACUACACCACUCCACGAUUUAGGUACACACUCUGCACACUUUACUUUACACAUACACAUAUCUUGGAUUAUGCAGAAUACUGUUUCCGACAUGACAAAUUAAAAAGAUUAAAAUAUUUCUAAUCAUGAUUAAUCUCAAUCUGUGAUAUUUCCUGAAACUUGCAAUUAUUAUAAAAUCAUUUUAAAACCCUGUGUUACUUAAGACAGUGUGAAAUGUGAGAUGCUAGAGUUUCUUAUUCUUGAUAUCAUUGUUGCUUGGAGAAUUUAUUUCAAAAUCUUUAAAAUUCUAGCUACCAUCCUCAGUGUUUUAUAUGCCUGAUAAAAAACUAAAAAUACUAAUUAUGAUUAUAAAAGCUAUCUACUCUGUAUUGAGUUUGUUCAAAAUGAGUUAGACCCUUGUUGAGAGAUUUAUCAUGCUCCUAAGAUCAAGACAUUUAUUCAGAAAGAUUCACUCUUCUGAAGUAUUAUUGCAUUAGAGGCAUGGGCUAUGCAAAAAUAAAGAUAUUUUGAGGGAAUAAAAAGAAGUAAGUGCUCGACAACCUCGCAGGAAAAAUGGACAAGUGUCCAGCAGUAGAAUUAGGGGUACCUCGGUAUCCAUUAAAAAAAAUGAUAGCCCAUGGUCUCUCUAAUAAGCAAUAUGCCAGCAAGAGUUGACAAAGAUUUUAAUUUCCAAAGUCUUUGAUCUAAGAGUAUGACAUUCCCCUCCUCGGAUCCCGUUUUGAUCAGGCAAUAAAUGCAAAGUAAGUAUGCUUAAGAAUUUUUGCAAAUUAAAACAACCUCAGUGAGAUAUAUAAAAGAUAAUGAGUGAUCUGAGAGAACCUAUGAGGAUAAAAAGGUAUGCUAGCUUUCUUUCAAAAUUAUACAAAAACUCCAAGUAACAGGAUUGAGAAGAAACGAUCUUUACUCUUAGUCAUAUACUUCCCUGAUGACUACAGUACACAGUGGAUUCUAAUACCCUGCGAAUAUAAAGAAUGUUUUAGAAUGUUUUACCCCAAGUAUUGUUCUUAACCAUCCUUUUCUCGAGGACGAGUAAAAGCCUAAGUAUGGGGUAUUUGUUGACGGAUCUUAAGUAUCAAUUUUAAUUAUCAGAUAAACAAGAGAAAGGACCAAUAUGCAACCAACACCUAGAAUUAGGGUUUGAUCUGAUAGAAUUCCACGAGUUUUGUUGUUUAUCUGUUUUUGCAGGGGGUUAUCAGGAAAUAAGGAAGAAAGGCCCACAUGUCGGGAUUACAUAGAGAUAUCAACACACCGCGUGAUUUUCUACCAUCUAGAAGACUCCAGAAGCCACGGGAAGAAAGCAGAAGCCGAAAGGGGCCAGGCCUAGGGCGCCCGCCCCCUGCUGGAAGUCGUUCGGGACUCUCUUCUCACACGAUGUUCCGCCGACCUAUUGGAUCAAGAAUAAAGUAGUACCACCUCGCCUACCGACCUAAAAACGCAUAGAGGAGGGGGACUAUAUAAGGAGACCCCCCUGGCCCCUGGAGAAGACAAGAAAUUAUCAUAGAGAUUGAGGGGUGCCCUCGAAGGAAAACCUCUUCUCUAAAUAAUAUUUCUUUUUAGGCUUAGCAACCAAUGUAAAGUAGAAAUAGAUCUUCUAGUUUCUACUAGAUUGAGAGAGAUAGAGUGGAGGUGUAGAUUGGAGGAAGCCCGGCCUGUCGGUGUCUACUCCAAGCUUGUACCUGCGGGAUCAAGUUCUCCUAACCCGAAGCUUGCUCCUAGGAUUCUUCAGUAUUUUGACUUCUAAAUUCUAGUAAGUUCUUGUUUUAUUGUUCUUCUGGUUUAUGAGUUUGCUUUAAUCUCUUCGCGUAGAGUUUAGAGUAAUCAUUGCUGGCGUAAACGUGGUGUUUAGGCUGGGGUACUCAUAGAUAUUCCCUGACUAGCUAGACUGUGGUAGUAGUGAGGAACGUGACAAUUCUGAGUUACCUUUGCAGACCAUAUCUCGUUAGCAGGAAGGAUAGGGUUUAUAGGUGCGGGUUGAACAUCCUAUGCUGUGUCUAGAUUACGUUAGCCUCCCCAAUAUAACAGUAGAUCAUCCUUACCAAGGUUAGAAGGAGACUACGGUUGCAGUCUUCUCUAUUUAUCACUCACAUCGAGAGACAUUGUUUGUUGCCUAAAGGGUUAGUAGUAAUAGACCGGUUAGUCAGAUGCACUCUUUCUCCUAGUGGUAAAAAAAUAAAUAUGAUACUCUAGAUAAUUUCCCGGGUGAAGUGCUCACCGAUAUUCGUGCGCUUGCGGAUGAAUUCCUUAUUGCGUUCCCAAAUAUCAACACUGGUCACGACUGGACCUGCCAGGAGUGGUCGGGAAAUUCCUGAGCAGACGAGUCAUGCCCUGCCAGAGGAGAAUACACUCGACGUAUGAGUACCAAGGCAGCCAGGACUCGACCAGGAUGCACCAGGACAACUUGGAGAAGCUAGAGAUCCAGCAGAGGGACAAUGAAUUAUUCAACCUGUCUGACAACAGCUUCGUUUGGAGUGACAACCGGAUGCACGCCUACAAGCUGGGUUGACCAGCCCCCAAGGUAACUGAAGUCUUUCUGCAAUGUUCUGAAAGUAUCAUACUUCUUUGCCAAUAGCUUGUUGUACUUUUGUUGUAGAUCGGAGAUGUAACACCCUAGUGUUAUGGUUGCAUCAAUCACAUGCAUAACAUGAUCAUCAUCAUCUACUUAAGCAUAUCAUGAUCAUCAUCUACCUUGAGUCAUGUCAUUUUAUGCUAAAGUGUGUUUUAACUUGCUUAAAUAUACUUCCUACGCUUGUGUUUACUUAUACCAUGCCCAUGUUUGUGUGCUACGCCUUAGUAAAUAGUUUCUCUAUGCUUAACUCAACCUUUGGAACAAUGUUCACGUUGAUCACUUCUCCAAAUCAAGUACUUAAGUCAAACUUCCAUGUAUAGGCCCUAGAAACCUCUUUUUCUUAAGCUUUUAAAAAGUGUUUCAUAAAUUGUUUGCAUGUCAAAACUUUCUACAGCAAAGUUGUAGCACAUUUUAUAAGGAACAAAAGUUGUUUUAUAGACAUCUCAUGAAAAUGGUCACAUCUAGCUCAAAAAUGGCCCACAAGGCAGAUUUGCGGCUGUUUCCAACACUUAGAAAAUUUUCUAAGUCUGGGAUUGCAACAGUUUGCUCGAGGGUGUUUUGUUUAGCUCCCAGUUUGAAAUCUAGGCCAAAUCAAACCUUGAUCUUGUAAGCAAUGUUGGAGUUCUCAUGUAGCUCUACAGCAUGGAGCAAUUAGCCAGCAAAAUCAUCGAAUGGUUUAGGAGAUCAUCGAAGUCCAAAAUCGAGUUUGAGUCAGCUCUGAAACUGAAUCGAGACGGCGUCAGUAGAGGGGAGCUCGCCGGUGACGCCGCGUGUCUGGACUCGUGGCAUCCGUACUUCGCCGUUGGUCCCGCUCGUCAGUCCUCAGCAUGUCCUACAGCUCGCCACGACGCCCCCGGUCGCAUGGACAGCGCCAUUUCCACUUCGGUCCGCCCUCUCUCGCGCUCGUCGUCUUCUCCGCGUUGCCGCCGCUGCUUCUGCGAGCUCGCGAGCUCGCGUCUCAGCACCUCCGGCCCAGCGACUCCGCCCAGAGCUCCGCCAGCUUCCCCACUUCCCCGUCAUCGAGUUGGCUGCGACUGUCGAGCCUCGGGGAGCCCACAUUGUCUUCUCCGUCGCGAGCUUACCUCGCCGGAGCUCCGCCGUGGUCACCGGUGUCGUGGCCAGGGCUCUGUAGUCCACCAUUUCUCCUUGUUCUUGUCCCAAAAGCUCCACUGAGUCAUGCUGAUGCUCGUCCAAGUCCUCUUUCACCUGGUCUCCGACCAGAGACGCUGGCGGUCGGCUGCACACCACCGUCGUGCCGCCAUUCGCGAGGGGCGAGGUACCUAGGUUGCGCUAGAGUUAGGGUUUCUGGUAACAAUCGGUGCGGAAUGGAGUGAGGAGCACGAUGGUGCUCUUGGCCGUCACUGAGACCUCGCCGUCAAUGAGAUCUCCGACGGUCAAGUCGCGCCUCUGCUCUCGGGUCACUGACGUGUGGGGUCCGUUGACCUACGGGGUCCCCCUGUCAGUCUCUCUUUCUCCUUUGUUUGAUUUAGGGUUUGUGCUGUUUUUGCAAAAAUCAUAUCUCUAGUUCUUGUGAUCCAAAAUUUGUGAGAUAAAUUUUGUGAUGUUCCCUGAGAUGGCUAGUUCUUAAUAAAAAUAUAAAAUGUACCAUGCUUUUUGGGAAAAAUAAUUGUUAUGAUUUAAUCUUGAUAUUUAUGUGUAAAUUCAUAUCUGUUGAUAUACUGCUCCUUUUGCUAUGAAAUGUUUAUGCUAUGCUCUGAGUGGUAUUAAAAUUCUAUGAUAAAUAUUUCAUGAUUUUUGGAGUAAUGUAUCUGUGAUAUGUAAUUUAUGUUGGUUCUAUGGCUUGUUUUCUUAAUUAAAUCAUAAUAAAUGAUUUAUGCUUAUGCUGGUAUUCUAUUUUGGUGUCAAGCUUGUUUAUGGUAAUAGUAACAUGUAAAUAAUCUGAAAUCUGUUGUUUGACACAACCUAAGCCAUGUUUCUUAAUUUAUGAAAUAAGCACCUUGAUACAUGUUAAAUACUUAUCUUAAGUUUGGCAUGUUCAAUUGCUCUGAAAUUUUUAUGGUAAUGUGUAGAUGCCAUGUUUGUGUUUCUGUAAUUUUUGUAGAUUUUUCUGAGUACUUUUGCUGGUAGCUUGUAAUUAUGUCCCUUUAUGGAAUUAAAUUAAUAAGUGCCAUGUUAUUGGGUGUUUAGUGGUUAGCAUGUGAUGCUCUGGCAACCUUAGGGUAUACUUGUGCUUGUAAGCCAUUUGGUUGGCACUAAAUAUGUUUUGGCUAUGUCAUCAAAUAAUUAAUUAGAGGGUUAAAAGCUGUUCUGGACAGCAAGGGAGUAAUCUAACCUUUGCUUAAUGAUAACUUGGUUUUCUGGAAGACUUGUCUAAAUCAAAGUUGUUGUAAACUUUAUGAACUAGCUGUGGUUUAAAUUUGGGAUCAUUUGGUGUAAUAGUCUAAAAGUUAUGGCUCUUCCAAGUUGGGUUCCAGAAAUAGGUGUUCUCUGUUUUUCUGGGAAAGAACCUGGAACUUUGUUUAAUUGACCUGUUUAACUUGGGAAUCCUGCUGUGAUGUAUAAAGAUGAAAUAUAGACAAUUUCAUAAGCUUUCCAGAAUUUCCUCAUUCAUGUUUGUUGGAUGUAUAUAGCAACAGUUAUGAUCUGUUUACUGAGCUGUUCUGUUAUGGGAUGCUUGCUGUUUGUAGUUUAACUUGGUAAUCUUUCUCAGUAGUUAAUCAUCUUGUGUGAACUUGUAAUGAGAGUUACUUCGUAAAUGUGUGUCCAGUGAAGUUCUAAUUAUGUUAUCAAGCAUUCAUCCUCAUCUAGGAUGCACACAUUCUUAUUUAUCGUGCAUGCAAUAGGUGCAUCGGAAGUGGCGACCUCAUUCGAGCCCAACCUGGUGAAUCCCGAAGGCCAGGAGAUCAAUCCGGAGGCGGAGGUCCAGCUAGCCGGACACGAGGAGCCCGAAGAGGAGAUCGAGUGCCCUAAUCACGAGCCAGCCUCAUUCGUGAAAGGCAAGCCCCGGAGCAUCUUAAGUCUCCCACUUUAAUUUCGAAAGUUUACUUGAAUAUGUUAUAUCUAUUGAUGCAUUACGUAUAGGAGUUGUGAUGAAACCCUUGCUGCAUUAUCCUUAUUCCUUGUCCAGAUAUCUUACCAUUGUCUGGUCAUAAAGUUAGGAUCGAGUAGCAGCUUAGCCAUGCUUAAAUCGGUAGAUGUCGGGUGAUAUCCUGUCACCUGCGCGAGAUAGGGUUGUGUCGGAUCACGAUUGUCUAUAUGUGCUAUCGUGGAAAGAACCUGAUUAAAAUGACUUAAGCCGGACGGAGUUUUGCAAGGUUGUAGUAACUCCAUCUGUGGUAGCUAAGGACCAAUCGUUGCACGUCCUCUUGUCAUGUUGAACUCAUGCCUAACACUUAGUUGGCCGGAUAACUCAUUCCGACCGUGAUGCCUAGUAGUAUGACUCAGGCCGGAAGACCGGCAAGUAUAAAGUGCGCACUACCGGAGGAAGUGCGGUGUGCGGGGGACCUUUGGCGUAAGACCAAAGGCAGGUGAGUUAAAAGUCCUGACCUCCCUGGCAGAGUGGUAGCCCUGGGAGUGCGGCGCUGAUCGGAGCCGCGAUUCCUGAGUCAUACCAAAGGUGACCCGUUUGCUCUCCGACCGGGGAUGCUUGAUUGAGUGCUAGGAAUAACCCUCCAGCUAGAUAGGAAUCGAUUCGAAUCACUGUCUCUCCCGGAAAGUCAGAACUGGACAGAGCAGCGGCAAGCGUAGCAUUCACUAAAGAACAAUGGUUCGUGAUAAUGAUGAUAGCAAGGAAGAGCAUAUGAUGAACUUGAUAUGGUUAUUAUUGUUUGUAUUAAUCAGAGUGAAGUGCUUUAGUACAGGUGCUAAUCUAGUGCUAGGUUGAUAAAGAUUAAUAUGAUACCCUUACAAAUGGGAUAGUAAUCACUUGAGCUUUUGGCAAAUGUUGAGUCAAGCCAGCUACAUUUUAUAAUAGCCUUUCAUGAUCCUUAGUGUCUUUUAUAGUUUACUAGACGGGUAAGUCUAGCUGAGUACAUCCUCGUACUCAGGGUUUAUUCCCACCUGUUGCAGAUGAUAUCUUUUAUGAUGGCUUCUGCAAGACCUGUCUCCAUCCCGCUGGGGAUGAGGACUAAACUGUUGGGCACGGUUCUCUAACAACUUCGUGCCUGUUGCUUUUGGAUGGAUGGCAUGAGACUCUGGCAAUAACAAGAACUUUGGAAUGUGUGUUGUAAAAUAUUUUGCUUCCGCUACUGCAAACUUGGGUUGUAUUAACUAAUUAACUCCGAUGUGGUGCCGCAUCGAUGGCAAUGAAUGACUAUGUAACAUUCGCUGUGUUAUGUUGAACUAUUAUGAUCUUGGUUUGUUGCAAGUUGGUUUGAAGUCCUUCGUGAUUUCGGUUGACUACCGGGAUUAUAUGGGCUCAAGUAUGGAAACUUGAUUGCUAGUUGAUCGUUUAUGCACUUGAACUCUUAUAAUUUGGCCGGUUCUGUGACAGCUUGUAUUGGAGCAAGUUCAACAUUAUAAAUGUAGCGUUUGUGUAUUUAAAAACAAAAGAGUUUUUAAAUAAAUUGCAAAAACCAAUACUUAAUUAUGCUAGUGGUUGAAUCCUCCUUGCCCAUAUAAGGACUCUAGGUGGCUAUAUAAGUACUGACUUGGGGGGUUUUGUUUAUGCAUCUCCGGCAGUACUCAGGUAUGGAUGUGUGAUGACCGAACUAUGCUACCCUGUGGUCUAAUGGUAGAGGUAGCCUUCAUAUGUGAAUUAGCCACAUAUGUCGCUAGAUUUAAAUUAUGCAACGUCGCACCUAUGCUCUGGUAAGUGUGAGCUGUGAGAGCAUGAUCGUCCAAACGGCAGUCUAGGGGAGUGUUCGCGGUGGUUUUCUGGAGUGGUUACAUGUUAAACCAUGGAACCACGAAAGAAACUUAAUUGGGGAGCAUUUAUUUUUCUCAGGUAGCUGUGGUGUCAUUGUUUACGCAUGUUGGGCAUGUAUAAGCAAUGUGCACUUAGUUUAUUGCUUUCUUGAGUGAAAUAUUGUUAAUUGUUGGGCUGUGAUGAAGUUUUCUGCUGGUACUCUAACAGCGCACGUGUAAAUCGAUGGUUAUCGUAUCGAGAGGCGAAUGUAUGCCACCUUAUAUCCGUUAGAAUAUUAAUUUUCUAAGUUUGUGAGGACGUACAGUUCGCGCAUGCAUCAUAUCGCAUUCAUACAUACAUCUUGCCUACUCCUUCCCUUACAAUAUCGUUCCUUUUAAAUUAAAUAAAUGUUGCUUAAACUAAUCCUCUCUUACCCAUGGUUAUUCCUAUUCCUUUCCACAGAUGGAUGUGCCCGUUUCACCUCUCCCCAGUGACACCUUUUUGAGCGAGUUUGGCACUCCUACACUGCUCUGGAGGGUGCUACAGUCUGUAGGGUGUACUGAGCCACCUCAGUAUUCCUGGUGGGAGGUGGACAUGACAUGACAGGAGGUUUGCAGUGGUUCGCUGUGCAGGGGGUUGUCCCGCCACAUGGGGGCAGGCCUACAUGGACUGGGUGGACCUGCAACUCAGAUGGGCAGACCCCAUGGGAAGCAGCUCAGGUUGCAGCCCAUGCUAUGCUGCUCAACAUAUGUCAGAGGUUUGGCAAUGAGCUGACAGGAGGGCCAGCGGCCUCCAUUCCACAGGCUGACCCAGCAGCAGCAGAGUGGAAGCAGGCUGAUGGAUGUGCAUUGGUCCGAGGACGAGGAGAGCGAGCUAAGAGUUCUAGUCCUGCUAUGAGUGCUAUGAUGGUUGUACUCAAGCUAUUCAGUCCACGAGAGGACACCUAUGCCCAGGUGAUGGUGGCUGUUCGCCACGCCCAGGAGAUGUAACGGAAGGCUGAAAAGCGUGCUCGCAAGUUUUGCAAGCAAGCUAGACUCCUGGAGCAAGCCCAGAAGGACCGCAAUGACUGGGAAGACAUUACGGAGUACCGGAGGCAGCAAUGGGUGAAGGCCAUUAGAGAGAGAGAUCAUAAGCAGGAUCAGAUUAGUCAGUUGACUAGGGAGAGGGAGACAGUGCAGGAGCGCUUGGUGCAGAUCACUCGUGAGAGGGAUACUGCGCUCCGCGUGUCGGAGAACAGGCGUCGGGCUUGGGAGAUGCACCGGAUCCAGUUACUUCAGCGGGAGAAGUAUCUGUAGGAUCAGAUUGAGGCUGGUCUUGUGGAGAUUCACCGUCUCAACAACUUGCUACACCCUAUUCCUCGCCCUACACCUGUGUAUCCAGAGGUGGGACCUCAGGUGAUCGUGGCCGAUGAUGAUGGUAUGGAGGUAGAUGGACCGGCCGCGGCUGCACCACCUUUGCACGAGGACGUAGAGGACGAGGAGCUUGAGCCGGUUAGUGACGAGGAUGGAGAGGCGAUCUUCAACGCUGACUCAGAGGACGAGCUUGGAGUGUAGUGGGUAGUUGGUAGUUAUCCUGUGAGGAUCUUUUGUAGUAUGACUGUCAGCAGUUAUGCUUUUGUAAUCUUGAUGUAAUCCGGAACCUUGAUCUUUGACUUAUGGCCUGUACUGUGAUGGUGUAAUAACUUUAUGGACCCAAUGUUGUUUAACCUUAUCAUGUUCGACCGGAUAUGAUGAUGUUUUCCAUUGUUGUGCAUAUUGCGGAUAUCUGUGUCAUGUGUUGGAUUGGCAAUGUUGUUUUGUGGAAUUGAGUUAUUGUGCCUUUUUCUGUAAAGUUAUUAUCUCGAAUACUUUCAGGCAUGAAUAUAAUUUCUUCUACGACAAAUCUUGUCAUCAUCAAUGCUCACUGACUGUGUCCUUACAGAUGUCUCGUGCCACUCGAGGUGUGGAGCAGCGUGCGAACAUGAAUCCACCCCCUCCUCCUCCACCACCAAAUCUAUCUGAGCUGAUGCAAAUGAUGGUGGAAAAUCAUAGGUUGCUCACUGCAUCAAUCGGAUGGCAAACCAGGGUGGUCAGAAUGCACCGGAUGGGCCAGCACCUAAUCAGUAUAGUAGCUUCAAGGAUUUCAUGGAUACUAAGCCCCCAUCUUUUAGAGAGGCUGAAGAACCCCUUCAAGCUGAGGAGUGGCUGAACACCGUGGAACAAAAGUUAGCUUGCUUCGGCUGACUGAUGGUUUGAAGGCCGAGUAUUCAGCUCACCAACUGCAGGGUCCGGCAGGCAUAUGGUGGAAUCAGUAUCGGGAGGCUCUUCCAGACAACACUGUGCUUGACUGGAAUCUCUUUCGUGAAGCUUUCAUGGGGCAUUUCAUCCCUCCUGGUGUCAUGGAAAUGAAGCAUACCGAGUUUAUGCAGUUAACUCAGGGCAACAAAACCCUCAAAGAGUACUUGCAUGCUUUCAAUCACCUGUCAAUGUAUGCUCCUAAGUUUGUGAGCACUGAGACGAAGAAGAUUGCUAGCUUCAAGAGGGGUCUUGGCCCCAAGCUGUUGAAGACGAUGGGCCGCACCAAGUGUGCAACUUUCAAUGAGUUUGUCAGUGGUGCUCUUACCCAAGAGAACUACAAUACUGUGUACACUGCGACCAAGACUCGCAAGAGGGCUUUUGAGGCCGGGGCAAGGGCAUCUCAGUCCAAGGCUCCAGUGGCAGCUAGGCCCCAGUAUCGUGCUCCAACUCCUAACAAGCGAUAUCGCCCUCCAGCGAAGAAGAAUUAGGCGAAGAUGGGGUUCCGCAAUGGUUACUCCAUUGCUCUUCCUAGGGGCAACACCGGUCCCCGCUAUGCCAAGACUCCACCUGCCAACCGUCCGUGCUAGAACUAUAAUCAGACAGGGCACUGGCAAAGCAACUGUCCUUACCCGCCAAAGAAGGGAAACCAAGGGAACGUCCGUCAGGGGCGUGUUCACUAUACAACUGUGAAAGCAAUCCCUGCUGGUGAGGUAGUUACGGCUGGUAAGUUUCUGGUUAAUCAAUGUGAUGCACUUGUGCUUUUUGAUUCAGGAGCAUCGCAUUCUUUUGUGAGUUUAGACUUUGUGUCUAAGCAUAAUCUCAAGGCAAUUACACUUGAUAAGGGCAGUUAUUGCAUUAGUGCUGCUCGAAAUGAUAUUUCUACCAAUCAAGUGGUUUUGGGGCCAACUCUAGAAAUAGGAGGCCGUCAGUUCCUUGCUGAUCUGGUUGUUCUACCCGGUGUGGGUAUAGGUGUAAUUCUGGGUAUGAAGUGGAUGAGUGGCAACGGAGUUCUUAUCGACACCACCACUCGCGUGGUGAUGUUGAGAGACCCGAAUACCAAAGAGGCGUUCUUAGUGCAACUUCCUCGAGAUAUUCAUAUCCGUAGCACGAUGAAUGCAGUUACGUCUAGGGCCAUCGAGGAUAUUCCGGUAGUGUGUGAGUUCCCGGAUGUAUUCCCUGAUGAUUUGCCCGGGCUUCCUCCAGAUCAGUAUGUGGAGUUCAAAAUUGAAUUGCUUCCAGGUACUGCUCCUAUCUCUAGAAGACCAUAUAGAAUGCCACCAAAUGAGCUAGCUGAGCUUAAGACCCAACUGAAUGAGUUGUUGAAGAAGGGUCUUAUUCGUCCUAGUUCUUCUCCUUGGGGUUGUUCGGCUAUCUUUGUGAAUAAGAAGGAUAAGUCCUUGCGCAUGUGUGUGGAGUAUUGUCCCCUGAAUGCUGUGACCAUCAAGAAUAAAUACCCUCUUCCUCGCAUUGAUAUCAUGUUUGACCAGUUGUCUAAAGCCAAGGUAUUCUCCAAGAUUGAUUUGCAAUCUAGGUACCAUCACAUCAAGAUCCGUCCUGAAGAUGUACCUAAGACAGCUUUCUCGACGAGGUAUGGGUUGUAUGAGUAUCUCGUCAUGUCCUUCGGUCUGACGAAUGCGCCUGCUCACUUCAUGUAUCUGAUGAUUGCCUACUUCAGAAGGAUGAGAAGUUUGUGUGGACGCCGGAGCGCGAAGAAGCAUUUCCAAGUUGAGGACAUUGCUAACAUCAGCUCCUGUCCUAGCUCAACCCGAUAUCGAGAAGCAUUUUGAUGUCUGUUGAUAUUUGGUAACGCAAUAAGGAAAUGAUCCGCAAGCGCACGGAUAUCGGUGAGCAUUUCACCCGGGAGGUUAUCCAGAGUUAUCGUAUUUAUAUUUUUACCACUGGGAGAAAGGGUGCAUCUGACUAACCAAAUCUAUUGCUACUACCCCUUUAGGCUACAAAGAAUGUCUCUCGAUGUGAGUGAUGUAUAGAGAAGACUGCAACCGUAGUCUCGUUCUAACCUUGGUAAGGAUGAUCUACUGUUCUAUUGGGGAGGCUCACGGAAUCUAGACAACACAAAGGAUGUUCGACCCACACCUAUAAACCUACCCGUCCUGCUAACGAGAUGUGAUCUGCAAAGGUAACUCAGAAAUGUCACGUUCCUCGCUACUACCACGGUCCAGCUAGUCAGGGGAUAUCUAUGAGUACCCGAGCCUAAACACCACAUUUACGCUAGCAAGUGAUUACUCUAAUACUCAACCGGAAGAGGAUUAAAGUAAACUCAUAAACCAAAGAACAAUAAAACAAGAACUUACUAGUAUUAGAAGUCGAAUUACUGAAGAAUCUUAGAAGCAAGCCUCGGGUUAGGAGACUUGAUCCCACAGGUACAACUCGGAGUAGACACCGACAGGCCGGCCUUCCUCCGAUCCACACCUCCACUCUAUCUCUCUCAAUGUAGUAGAAACUAGAAGAUCUAUUUCUACUUUACAUUGGUUGCUAAGCCUAAAAAGAAAUAUUAUUUAGAGAAGAGGUUUUCCUUCGAGGGCACCCCUCAAUCUCUAUGAUAAUUUCUUGUCUCCUCCAGGGCCAGAGGGGAUCUCCUUAUAUAGUCCUCCCCUUCUAUGCGUUUUUGGGUCGAUAGGCGAGGUGGUACUAUGUUAUUCUGGAUCCAAUAGGUCGGUGGAACGUCGUGUGCGAAGAGAGUCCGGAACGGAGUCCAGAGGGGGGCGGGCGCCCAGGUCCUCAGGGCGGGCGCCCGGGGCCUGGCCCCUUUCGGGCUCCGCUUCCUUGCCGUGGCUUCUGGAGUCUUCUAGAUGGUAGAAAAUUGCGCGGUGGGUUGAUAUCUCUAUGUAAUCCCGACAUGUGGGCCUUUCUUCCUUAUUUCCUGAUAACCCCCUGCAGAAAUAGACAAACACCAAAACUCGUGGAAUUCUGUCAGAUAAAACCCUAAGUCUAGGUGUUGAUUUCAUUUGGAUCCUUUUCUUUGUUUAUUUGAUAAUUAAAUUUGAUACUUAAGGACCGUCAACAAACUCCCCCAAGCUUACCUCUUGCUCGUCCCUGAGCAAGGAUGAACUCAAGAGUUUCUGUAGUGGUUUCAUUUCUUAGAAGUACACACGCAUUUAAGCAAGAUCUCAUAUCUGAGUUAGAAUAAACUGUUAAGACUUAAAACUUACUUACUUUACCUACACCAUAGGACUUGUAACUGUCACUUCUGUCUUGAGUGGUUAAAAGAUAGAACAGUCUAGCCAAGUGCCAUGUCUCUUAUUCUUGAUCAGCUAUAGCUCUGGGGUUUUUGCAGAUUUUUAAAUAAAACUCAGAAAUUCCUUUUAUGAUUCUCUCAGGUCUCUCUUUUGUGGUAUUUUUGGAUCCUUACCAAGGCAGUGAUGGUAUAUGCUCUUCUCUCAAGAUAUGUAGUAUUUGUGGUAUGAAGCAUAGUGACAUUGUCUUUUCUCUCACCCUACUCUAAUAAGGCUUUAAUAUCUGAAGCUCAUAGGUGGGAGAUAAAGUAUACAUACUUACAAGACAUUUAUUGCAUAGUCAAACCAUGGAUCCAAAGAAACAAAUCAAUAAGCCAAAUCAAGAUGUGCAUGUGUGGCGAAUGAAUGGUGUAUGUUGAUGAUGGUGAUAACAAUGAUGGUGGAAGCCUAAUUCUACUUUGCUCUUUGAGGGGAUACAUACCUUCCUUGCUUUUGAAACUUUAUGAGGAGAAUGAGAUGCCCUUCUUUUUCUUUUCUUUCGAGGUUCCGAGCACUUGCUCCUUUUUAUUUCCUCGUAUCUUUUAUUUUCUUUUUCUCUCUUUUUACUUUUUUUUCCGAGCAUUCAUCUCUUGAGAUAAUAUAGCAAGUGGUAGUAACAAGAUAACUUGAGCAUUUAUUUCACAAGGGGAAACAGAAAUAUUUUUGGUUAUUCUCUCCCGGAUUAGGAGUAGAAUACUUUUGGGUGGUUUUGGAGAUGGAAAUGAGUGGAUAUAUGUGGAUGGUACUUCCGGAGUAGAAGUAGCAUGUAUGAGUGAACGUGCAAGUGAAUCUUGAUUUAACCACAUGACAAGCUCCUAAGGGUCUACACAGCUUGACCACACUCAAUGCUCAUAAGCAGUAAAAAGUAAAUGUGUGGCUCAAAGUCUAGCAAGCAUGUAUAUAUGGCUGUGGUAGGAAUUUAAACUCUCAUCAUACAGGAACUCAUCAUGUGUUAUUUUAAAGAUUUUUCAAAGAUAAAAUUCUCCAGAAUUCUAGCAUCUCUAGGAACAGAUGAACAGCAGCUCAACCUUCCCAUAUCGUAUCCGUUAACAACUUAGACUUCAGAUCAAGUUUUCAUCCCACAAGUUUAGGUCUAGAGCAAGCCUUAAAAAAUAACAGUUAUAUCUAAACUUGAGAGAGAACUUCAAAUUUGCAAAUUAGGCAGAGCAACUAUUCAUCAUAUCCAUGCUUUAUUAGAUACAGAUUAGCAUAGCCACUUUAUUUAUUUAUUAAACACACUAAGCAAAAUAUAUAUAAGCAUAAAAUCUUUAUUUGGUUUUUCAUAGUUAUGUGUAUUUAUAUUCUAAUAUAGUAUGAGUAUAAAGAUAGAUAGAAAUACUUAUCGAGAUAAAUGGGGGUGCUCUCUCCCAAGCUGAAUUUUAACGUAAUUUCUCUUGAUGUAGCUAGCAGGUGGCAGAGGUGUGUUUGAAAGUCAGCAGUAUUUUGACAGCGAUUAGAAUGUCCUCCGUCUGCUAGUCUUCUUGAUUCUUAAAUUCUGUGGAGCUCAAAUAGACAACAAAGCUUGUUGAACUGGUUAAGUGUUAGCAUAAAUAUCUAGCCUUUAUCAUAUUGAGACUCCUUAAUAAAUAUUACUCCCUGUUUUUAUAUUUUUGUUUUUAUAAAGCAGAAAAAUAUUUAUUUUAUUUUUAUGCCACCACAAUGAAUGUACUUAUGGGUUUUAUGCCACUCGUCUACUCACAUGGGGCUUACAGUUUUUUUUUCACAUUUUUAUUUUCUUUCUAGGAUAAUACGAACAUGAUUAACUAAGUAAACUAUUUGAAAUAAUUAAAAGGGGAAGGAUAACUUACAAGUUUACCUCUUGGCAAGGCAUUCGGUGUUUUUAAGUCCUCCGAGCGGGACUCUCCAUUUUCUUAAUCGUCCUGGGAUUCGCUGGAUGACGUAGUCGGUGAUUCCGGUGGCGCCUCCUCUUCGUGUGUAACUAUAUUCUCUCUCCACACCUGACUCGGUGCUAUGGUCUCCUCAGGACAGUUACGUUCAAGUGGUAUGUCUUCAGUCCUUACCACUUCUCCUUCGUAGUCUACCCAUCCGUCCUUGAUGAUUUGCCUCCUCUGGUUGCGGUUGCGAUGUCUUCUUCUUGUCCUAACCUGCUUAGAGUCUUCAACUAUAUAGUUAGGGUCUGUAAAAGAGCGGCAUACCUUCUCAGAGGAGAAGUGUAUGUGGACUUCUCCGGUUCCAAUAUAGAUGAUGGCUUUGAUAGUGCUGAGGAACUGUCUUCCAAGGAUGGUGGGUGGAUCAUAUUCAUCUUCUCCUAUGUCAAUAACUUGAAAGUCAUCUAUAGCUGAAUGUAUAUUGGUUGUAGGGGCAUGGUUUCAUGCAGGAGCUGAUAAGUGACUACGGCCAUUAUGUUGACGUCAGAUCCGGUGUCGUAGAGUGUCUUCUGAAAAGAGUAUCUGUUGAUUGUGCACUCAAUGCUUAGAACACCAGGGUCGUCCUUCUUGAUCAAGAAAGGUGACUUGAGUCGACGAUCUUGACCUCCUUGAGCUGCAGUGACCAUCUUAGCUGACUCGGUCCACAUUUGCUUGUUUCUGUUCCUCCUGUUGGUCCUCUUCCUUGGUUCAUGUCGGGAUUGCUCUGAACCUUGUGUAGUCUUGUUCUUGAAGGAAAGUCUCCUUCUUCCCCUUGAUGUAGAGACUGAUCUUGGCAGCAUUAACGUAGAUGACAGCUCUAGUGUUUAGGAAUGGCCUUCCUAAGAUAAUGGGUGCCCUCUCCUCAGUACUAGUCUCUAUCACCAUGAAGUCUGCUAGAGAAUACAAGGUACCAACUCGGACGCAGAGGUUCUUCAAUAUUUCCUUUGGGAAACUGAGUGUUCGAUCUGCAACCCUGGGCAUAAUGUUGACGCUGGAGCCAAAGUCGCAGAGUGCUUCUGGGAAGUCCACCAUGCCGAUGGAGAUCGGGAUGACGGGACGUCCUAGAUCACCUCUCUGAGUAAUUAGGCCUCUGUUGAUUCCAACCUUGAUGUUGUUGAGGACGGUUGUAGUAAUAGUUGUUAUUGUUGUUGAUGUAGUUCACGUCCUCAAGCAUCUUAGGGCAGUGAUUGCCUGAGCGUCCAGUAUCUCCAGUGUGUUUAUGCUCGUAGAUCCUAGUUCUUCAUUUGGUGGAAUCUGGGAGUUGUAAAACUCCUUCAUAUUAUGCUCGAAGUGUUCCUGCUCAUAGAAACAAGGUAGAGAUCAAGUGCAUGGGCCCUGUUGGUGGAAAACACCAACAGAACCAAAAGUGUAUUUGUUCUUCUCUAACCUUAAGCAUAGUGAGCAAGACAAAGUUGAUGGAUCAUGAGUGUAGCAUUUGUCAGAUCAGAUGGCUCAACCUAAUGGAAAGAUAAUCUAUCUAUAUUUAUGUUUUGUUUAUAUCUUCCAAAGAUUGUAUGUGCAAUACUUUAGCUUAUAUGAUUAGGAGUGUGGGGUCACGAAGGUAGUACUAAGAACAAAGAUUAAAGGACUAAACAUGUUGAAUUAAUUGAGUUGGUUAAUUUGGAGUUAUAAAUCAUACAUGUUUGUCUCUUUAUUUAUGUGAAUGCCAGAACCAAGGAGGAGCUUGUAAAAGUGUUAGUCAAGUACCUUAAGAUGUUACCUUACUUGAAGAGUGAUGGUAUAGUAUCACCUUGUGGAAGCUUUCCUUUCUUAGCGGUUGUGCAUCGUGUUUGUGGCACCCUCCAUGAAUCAUCUCUUAUGAGCUACGUCUUUCUUGUGCAAAUUGUUAAACUUCAUGUGUCACUUUCUUCAUCUCUAAUGAGUUUGCAUCUCAGGACUUCCCAGGUUGUUAUUGAAAGUUUUCCUACAGGGGUUAGUCCAACAAAAUAUACCAAUAUCUACUCAAGCAGUUUUUAGUUCAGUAACCAAACUAGACUCCAUGUCUAAUCAGAUUAAGGAAGGCUAUUUAACCUAAGCACCACGCUUAAUUUAAAUGCCAUUGGAAGUGUGACUAGUACUUCCAAACUAACACUUACUAGGAUAAACAAAGGUAGCAUGAUGGCUUUUAUAGAGAUCUACUCAAGUGGAGAUGAAGUAGUGUGAUUAGUAUUUAACAAAUUGAGCAUGUCUCAAAGGUAAGGACAACCAACAUAGCAACAUGGCAAAGGAUGUUUUAUGUAAAGUACUCCCCCAAGCUUGAAUUUUGCAAAAUUCAAGAUUGAAUGAAUUUAAUUUAAUUUAAUGUUGCAUGAUGAUUGGUUGGGCAUACCUUGCGCUUGUCAUUCAUCCGAUCUUCUUGCUCCAAUCCUAGAAAGGUUAGUGGCAAGAAUACCCGAAGGAAUAUUUCUACAAUUAUCUUUAUAUGCUCAAUACACAAGGCAAUGUUGCAAAUAAUUAGAAGUGCUUGUUUUAGGACACUAAGCUUGUCCUUGGGGAACCAUCAAUUAACUCAACGAGAUCUGCAAUAUUUAUUAUAGACAUAUGCAUCGACAACCGCCCUUUUAAUGUUUUUAUAAAUAGAAAAGAAGAGGGGGCUGGAGAUCUCAAAUGUGGUAAGCAUGGAGAGACAAAUUGAUUGGAGAGAUGUUUUAUAUGAGCAAGUACUGGGUGAGGUAUUUAUGAAAUAACUUCCAUGCUCACUGUUGUUUCUCUCAUUCUCAAACUCCAAGGAUGAUUCUUCAUGAAUGUUUAAAAUUCCUCUAGGAUUGUCUCUCAAGUUUGUUUUGUCUAUCCAUUCAAUGGUGAUAGCACAUGGAUUUUUAAUGCCCUCUAGCCAUUGAUGUUGCUCUUCUCGAUCCUCCUUAUGCAUGGGAUGUCUAGAAAGAUUCAUAGGAUUAUCGGGAGGUUCAAGAGGAAGAGCAUAGUAGAAACUAUUAAGCUCAAGGAUGGGAUGGAUAGCCGAAUCAUGGGAUUGAAAUGUUUGGAAAUCGGCUAUUGAAACUUCCUUUCCUCGUCUGGGAGAUGAUUCCUUCUCUAUUUCUAAGAUUUUUCUAUGAAGACUAGUACAAGAAGGAUGUCAACGAAUGAAGACAUACCUUCCUUUACUAAUAGAUAAAGAAAGAAUGACUCUACCAAAGGUUAUAUGAUUAAGACCAAUUUGAAAAUAUCUAGGAAAAACAUGGUCUUGUAGGGCUAGGUCUAAACCAGAAUUUAUAAAAAGAUUAAAAGAUUCCCUAGGUGUAGCUAAAAGUGCAUUAUCUUCUUGAUUAAAAGAUAGGUCCUCGGCUAUAGAAAAGGGUUGGUUUUGACCUAUUGCAAUCAACUCCGGACACAGAUCAUAAUUAGGGGCAGGACGUGUUGACUCCCAUGGUCUAUGGCUGGUCUCCGAAGGUGCAAAGAAUUUAAUUAUAGGUAUGGAAUUUGAGUUAUCCAUAAAGAUAAAAAUAAAAAGAUAAAAUAAUAAAAGUAUAAAAGUAUAAUACAAGAUAAUAGCAAGACUCAAAGUUAUCUCAGCAAACCGUCUUUCUCCCCGGUAACGGCGCCAGAAAUGCUUGUUGAUAUUUGGUAACGCAAUAAGGAAAUGAUCCGCAAGCGCACGGAUAUUGGUGAGCAUUUCACCCGGGAGGUUAUCUAGAGUUAUCGUAUUUAUAUUUUUACCACUGGGAGAAAGGGUGCAUCUGUCUAACCAAAUCUAUUGCUACUGCCCCUUUAGGCUACAAAGAAUGUCUCUCGAUGUGAGUGAUGUAUAGAGAAGACUGCAACCGUAGUCUCGUUCUAACCUUGGUAAGGAUGAUCUACUGUUCUAUUGGGGAGGCUCACGGAAUCUAGACAACACAAAGGAUGUUCGACCCGCACCUAUAAACCUACCCGUCCUGUUAACGAGAUGUGAUCUGCAAAGGUAACUCGGAAAUGUCACGUUCCUCGCUACUACCACGGUCCAGCUAGUCAGGGGAUAUCUAUGAGUACCCUAGCCUAAACACCACGUUUACGCUAGCAAGUGAUUACUCUAAUACUCAACCGGAAGAGGAUUAAAGUAAACUCAUAAACCAAAGAACAAUAAAACAAGAACUUACUAGUAUUAGAAGUCGAAUUACUGAAGAAUCUUAGAAGCAAGCCUCGGGUUAGGAGACUUGAUCCCACAGGUACAACUCGGAGUACACACCGACAGGCCGGCCUUCCUCCGAUCCACACCUCCACUCUAUAUCUCUCAAUCUAGUAGAAACUAGAAGAUCUAUUUCUACUUUACAUUGGUUGCUAAGCCUAAAAAGAAAUAUUAUUUAGAGAAGAGGUUUUCCUUCGAGGGCACCCCUCAAUCUCUAUGAUAAUUUCAUGUCUCCUCCAGGGCCAGAGGGGGUCUCCUUAUAUAGUCCUCCCCUUCUAUGCGUUUUUGGGUCGAUAGGCGAGGUGGUACUAUGUUAUUCUGGAUCCAAUAGGUCAGUGGAACGUCGUGUGCGAAGAGAGUCCGGAACGGAGUCCAGAGGGGGGCGGGCGCCCUGGGCCUGGCCCCUUUCGGGCUCCGCUUCCUUGCCGUGGCUUCUGGAGUCUUCUAGAUGGUAGAAAAUUGCGCGGUGGGUUGAUAUCUCUAUGUAAUCCCGACAUGUGGGCCUUUCUUCCUUAUUUCCUGAUAACCCCCUGCAGAAAUAGACAAACACCAAAACUCGUGGAAUUCUGUCAGAUAAAACCCUAAGUCUAGAUGUUGAUUUCAUUUGGAUCCUUUUCUUUGUUUAUUUGAUAAUUAAAUUUGAUACUUAAGGACCGUCAACAAUGUCUUUUGUGACGCGUCUGGUAUCGGACUAGGCUGUGUGUUGAUGCAAGAAGGUCGUGUUAUCGCUUAUGCCUUGCGCCAACUUCGAUAGCAAGAGGUCAAUUAUCCUACUCAUGACUUAGAAUUGGCUGCAGUUGUCCAUGCUUUGAAAAUCUAGAGGCACUAUUUGUUGGGUAAUCUGUGCAAUAUCUACACGGAUCAUAAGAGUCUCAUGUACAUCACUCAACCUGAAUUGAACAUGCGACAGGGAAGGUGGCUUGAGUUGAUUAAAGAUUAUAAUCUUUAAGUGCACUACCAUCCGGGCAAGGCAAACGUGGUUGCGGAUGCCUUGAGUCAGAAUACGCACUGUCAUUCAGUUCAGAUGGAAGAUCCAUUGUUGUCACAUCUUAUGCACCCACUUGUGCUCAACCAGAUUUCUCUGGAGAGUUCUCUUCGCAAUCGAGUCAUUGAAUUGUAGCAAAUAGAUGUAGGCAUCUACCAUAUAAAUAGGAAAAUGAAAGAAGAAGAAACCAAGCAUUUCUGGGUCGAUGAAAACGGAAUUCUAUGGUUCAAGGAUCGACUUGUGGUCCCAAAAGACCGUGAGCUACGAAACCAGAUUUUAUCUGAAGCUCAUUCAUCCAAAUUGUCUAUCCAUCCUGGUAGUAGCAAGAUGUAUCAGGAUCUAAAACCUCUGUUUUGGUGGACCAAGAUGAAAAAGGAGAUUGCUGCUUUUAUCGCUCCUUGUGACAACUGUUGUCGUGUGAAGGCCGUUCACAUGAAAGUAGGCUUACUUCAACCCUUGUCAAUUCUUGGUUGGAAAUAGGAAGAAGUUAGUAUGGAUUUCAUCUCUGGACUCCCAAUUUCUGUUAAGGGUUACGACUCUAUCUGUGUGAUUGUGGAUCGUUUAACCAAGGUUGCUCGUUUUAUUCCAGUUCGAACUGAUUAUCGUCCACAUCAGUAUGUAGAGCUGUACUUCGAGCACAUUGUCCGUUAGUAUGGUGUGCCUCGAACUAUCAUAUCAGAUCGUGGACCACAGUCCACUGCACAUUUUUGGGAGUGUCUUCAUGAGCAGAUUGGUACUCACUUGGUUUGUAGUUCUGCUUAUCAUCCUCAAACGGCCGGACAAACCGAACGGGUUAACCAAAUCCUAGAAUACAUGUUGAGGGCAUGUGCUCUCUCUUCAAAAGGUUCUUGGGUAAAGUGGUUACCGUUAGUUGAGUUCUCUUAUAACAAUAGUUACCAAGAGAGCAUCAAGAUGGCUCCAUUUGAAGCCCUGUAUGGUCGUAAAUGUCGAACCCCGUUGAAUUGGGUGGAAUCCGGGGAACAACGGUAUUAUGGCAUCGAUUUCGUGAACGAAGCAGAGCAGCAAGUCCGUACCAUCUAGCAACAUCUGGAAGCUGCUCAAGACAGUUACGUUGGUCCCUUGUAGUCCACCUCCCGUUAGCAGGACUGAUAGGGUUUAUCGGCCUAUGGAUAAGCAUCGUUCGUGGUGUAUUCUUAUCACGUGGUUCACCCCAGACAUAGACAUACCCCUUUGAAGUAGAGAAACCAUAAUUAUCCUCUCUAGUCUCCUACCAUUGCCCAUAUACUAGAUUGCUCCACUUUCUAUUCUCAUAUUAUCACCUAUUGUUAUCUUACCUUUAAUAUUGUUCCUAUUCAAUUCUACCAUCUUUCCUAUUUACACCUACCUAUCUAUCUAGGUUAAGUUAGAGCGUAGAUCAGUUCUCCUGUUUCCCUAUGGAUACGAUAAAACCUUUAACCGGGUAAAAGCUACAACGGUAUCCGUGCGCUUGCGGAUUUAUCUGUGUGCAUAUAAAUACCAUAGUACACUCUAGUGCCAUACUGGGGAUGACAACCUAGUAUUCAAGUGGUGUUAGCAAGUGUCAACAAGCUUUUUUGUGCCGUUCCCGGGGAAACGGUUGCUGAGUUGACGACGAACUAGCUUAAUCAUUUUCUAAAAAAUAAAAAAUAUAUAUAUACUUUUCGUGUUAUCUUUUGCCUUAUCUUUGCCAUUCUUUCUUCUUAUCUAAUCAUUGAUCUCUGGUCUAUCAUGAAUCCAAACAUGUCUAUCUAUGAAUUUGAUAGACCUACGGGCACACAUCUCGAACCACUAAAAUCUUCAAAGCCUAUCAUAGCAUCUAGUUUUGAGAUAGACCCCGAAUACAUAGAAUUUGUUCAAAAACAACCUUUCUUAGGAGAAGGUGAGGAAAACCCAUACACACACCUAAGAGAGUUUUAUCGAGUCUGUGUCCUCCUUCGCAUUGAAGGCAUGUUCGAUGAGACCCUUAAAUGGAAGCUCUUUCUGUUCUCUUUAACAGGAAAAGCUAGACAUUGGUACAAAUUCAAAGUAGGGAGUGUUCAUGGAGAUUGGAAGGAGUUAUAUAAUAGUUUUCUUUUUAAAUAUUUUCCAAUCUCCAAAGUGGUGGAACUUCAGCGUGAGGUUCUUUCUUUUAGACAACUGGAAGAAGAGUCUCUUGGCAAAUCAUGGGACCGCUUUAUUAACCUUACUCUCACUGGCCCAAAGCUUUCUAUUUCAGAAGAAAUUCUUCUAAUUCAAUUUUUUGAGGGCCUUAGCAGGGAAAAUAAGCAAACCUUGAAUACAACCUCUAGAGGAUACUUCUAUCACCUACCUACUAGUGAAGCUAGGGAUUUAAUUGAUUCAUUGAGUGGAAAGUUUCCUAGCAUCUAUAUCCCUAUGAAAGAGAAAGAACAAGUUCCUAGACAAGAAGAAGAAGUUUCGAUAGCCAGAUCACAGCCACUUCAAUUCCAAACUUUAGCUAUCGAUCCUAAACCAUCAAUAUCCCAAAAUUCUCCAAGGGAGGAAGGAAUUCUGACCUUAAAUCAUUCAAAUGCUGAUGGUUUAGACUUCUGGUUCCAUAAGAGACCUUCAAGCAUGGAUAAUUCAAAUCCUUGCAAUAAUGGUUCUCUUAGAGAAUGUCCUGGUUCCUGUUAUGAAGAAGUUGAGGAUGACAUAUCAAGUGAAGGAGAGCUAAACCAUAUAGAAAAUUCUAUCUGCUCCCCUUCCAUGUUCACAAAUUCUAAAUACAUCCUUGACCUUAGAGACCCCUGUUAUCCCUCUCCUUUUAAGUCUCAUGAUGAUCCUAGCAAUCCAUCAAGACGACCAAACCAUAGGAGUCAUGAAGACCAUAAGGAUGGCAUGUCAAGUAAUGCCAUAGAAGGAGAGCUAAGCCAUAGAGAAGAUUCUAUCAGCUCUCCUGUCUUGAUCACAAGUUCUAAAUGGCUAGAAUUUGUAGAAUGGAUGGAUAAGGAAGAAGCCUUAAUGGAUUCUGACUUUGGCUCAAUUUCAAAUGGUGAGUUCUUGACUCCCUUUGAAGAUGAGAUUCAUCCAACUACAGAAGAGGACAUAGGUGAGACCAAUCCAGGAGAAACUCCGAUCAUUCAAAUUGGAGACAAAGAUAACAUUAAUGAGCAUGGAAUUUAUUUCAUAGCCAAUUCGUUUACUCUAUGCUCAUAUGAAACAUCUUCCCAAUCUAUUGGUCUCUCUGUUGACGGUCCUUAAUGCUCAUAUUUAACCAUCAACUAAUCAUGGAAAAGGAUCCAAAUGGAACCAACACCUAGACUUAGGGUUUUAUCUGACAGAAUUCCACGAGUUUUGGUGUUUGUGUAUUUCUGCAGGGGGUUAUCAGGAAAUAUAAAAGAAAGGCCCACACGUCGGGUUUACAUAGAGAUAUUAACGUGCCGCACAAUUUUCUAUCAUCUAGAAGACUCCAGAAGCCACAGGACCGAAGCGGAGGCCGAGAGGACACAGGGACAGGGCGCCCGCCCUCCUUUCCUGGGCGCCCGCCCUCAGCUAGAGUCCAAUCAGGACUCUCUUUCGGGAUAUUGCUCCACCGACCUAAAGGAUCAACAAUAACCAUUCAAUCAAUGUCGGUUUGAUCCGACGGUCCAGAUUCACUUGAAGGGACUAUAAAACCAGACCCCCUGGCCCCUGGAGAUCAUACCUCUUCUACAGAAUCAAAGUUAGGGUUUCAAUUCUUCAUCCAAGUAGAGAGGAUCCCUCUAGUUCUUCUAGUUCUACCUCUAGUUCAUCUAGAUCUAGUUCUAGUUCUAGUUCAUCUAGUUCUAGUUCUAGUUAGUUCUAGUUGUAAUCUAGAAAUUAGGGAGAGAGAAGAGGAGAGCGGAGAAGGAGGAGCCGGAUCUGUCGGAUCUUCCUCAACAUUGUACUUUUGCAGCAACUGGUUCGUUCUUCAUCGUUCUCCAGGUUCUUCAACUCAUAACUCCUGAGUUCUCUAAUUACUUUUAUUUACAUUCAAGUUAUUUAUUGGAUUCCCGCUUGCAUCAAGUGCUCUAAUCUUUGAAACAUUAGAGUAGUAAUUAAUAGAUUAGACGUGGUGUUUAGUCUUGCGAUUACCUAGAAUUGCACCCAAUCCUGCGGAUUGUUGUGGUAGCCCUAGGGUAGUGACAGCCCUAACGGUCGACGUAUUCCACCACGUUCGGAUCGGUGUUUGUAGGACCGUAGUCAGACCUUCCUAGCCCCCUUCUCAUCUCUUUCCGUGGUUAGUGCUCUGAUGUCCCGAUAUAGAUAAUCUUGAAGUAAUUCUUGAUUCUUAGAUCAGCUAGAGAACUCUUAGGAAACUUCCUCUCUUCCCACCAAAAAUAAUUAUAUAGUUAUCCUUGGGCGAUCUUGGAUUUUAAUUAGUACACUCACGUUCUCUGUGGAAAAUCGAUACUCUGGAAUACUGCCGGGUGAAGGCUACAUCGGUAUCCGUGCGCUUGCGGAUUUUUCUGUUUGCGUUUAAAAUACCCAACAAGCUUUCUGGCGCCGUUGCCGGGGAACGGUAGCUGUGCUAGUUUCGAACCAAGUCGUCCGUGUAUCCUUUUUAUUUUUCUUUUUUUUACCACACUCAACUUAUCAUUUUCACCAUACCACAUGGAUUUCACUCUAAGCAUCAAUGAGCAUGGAAUUUAUUUCAUAGCCACUUCAUUUACUCCAUGCUCAUAUGCAACAUCUUCCCAAUCCAUUGGUUUUUCUAACAUCACCACAUUCGAGAUCUCCAACCCCCUCAUCCUUUCUAUUAAUAAACACUUUAAAAGGGCAGUUGUCGAUGCAUAUGUCUAUAAGAAAUAUUGCAGAUCUCGUUGAGUUGAUCUUGAUAUAGGUCAGCGUUGGAGGGGAAACCACUUCGCCGACAUAAAUUGAUGGUUUCCCAAGGACAAGCUUAGCGUCCUAAAAUAAGCACUGAUCAGACCAUAACAUAAACUUUUAAUUAUUUGCAACAUUACCUUGUGUGUUGAGCAUAUCAGGAUAAUUGUAAAAAUAUUCCUUCGGGUAUUCUUGUCACUGACCUUUUCAGGAUUGGAGCAAGAAGAUCGGAUGAAUGACAAGCACAAGGUAUGUACAACCAAUCAUCAUACAACAUUGAAUUAAAUUCAUCCAAACUUAAAUUUUGCAAAAUUCAAGCUUGGGGAAGUACUUUACAUAAAAACAUCCUUUGCCAUGUUGCUAUGUUGGUUGUCCCUACCUUUGAGACAUGCUCAAUUUGUUAAAUACUAAUCACACUGCUUCAUCUCCAAUUAAGUAGAUCUAUAUAAAUGCUCUCAUGCUACCUUUAGUUGCUUUAGUAUAUGUCUAGGUUUGGAGUAGUUUCAUUUAUCUCUUAAUUAAGCAUGGUGCUUAGUUUAGGAAUGAUGAUCUCAUUUCCAAAGGAUUUUAAAUUAAGCAUGAUGCUUAGGUUAAAAUUCCCUCCUAAAUCAAAUUAGACAUGGUGUCUAGGUUGAUCUUUGAGCCGAUAGUAUGCUAUAGUAGAUAUUGGAUAUUUUGUUGGACUAACCCCUGCAGGAAAAAUUUCAAUAUCGACCUGGGAAGUCCUGAGAUAAACUCACAUUGGAGACAAAGAGAGACACACAUGAAGUUUAACAAUUUACACAAGGAAGGCAUAGCUCACAAGAGAUGAUCCAUGGAGGGUGCCACAAACACGAUGCACAACCGCUAAGAGAGGAAAGCUUCCACAAGGUGAUACUGUACCAUCACUCUUCAAGUAAGGUAAUAUCUUAAGGUACUUGACUAUCACUUUUAUAAGUUUCUCCUUGGUUCUAGCGUUCACAUGAAUAAAGAGACAAACAUGUAUGAUUUAUAACUCUAGAUUAACCAACCCAAUAGAUUCAACAUGUUUAGUCCUUCCACCUUUGUGGUCCCACACUCCUAAUCUUAUGAACUAAAAUGUUGCACACUCAAUCUUUGGAAGAUAUAUUUUAUAAAAAAACAACAUAAAUAUAGAUAGAUUAUCUUUCCAUUAGGUUGAGCGAUUUGAUCUGACAAAUAUUUUAAAUGCUACACUCAUGAUCUUAUUAUCCAUCAACUUUGUCUUGCUCACUAUGCUUGAGGUUAGAGAAGAACAAAUACACUUUUGGUUAUGUUGGUGUUUUCCACCAACAGGGCCCAUGCACUUGAUCUCUGCCUUGUCUCUAUGAGCAGGUACACUUCGAGCAAAAUAUGACAGACUUUUACAACUCCCAGACUCCACCAAGUGAAGAACCUAGAUCUACAAGCACAAACACACUGGAGAUACUGGACACUCAGGCAAUCACUGCCCUAAGAUGCUGGAGGACAUAAUUACUGGAGUAACCCCGUUGUGGAAGUAAUUACUGACCUUCUGCCGGUCAAGAGAGACAACCCAGGACGCCCCGUCAUCCCGAUCUCCAUCGGCAUGGUGAACUUCCCAGAAGCACUCUGCGACUUUGGCUCCAGCGUCAACAUUAUGCCCAGGGUACUCUAUGAAAAAUUCUUUACACAUCCUUUAUCAGAAACAACCAUGUGUUUGCAGCUUGCAGAUCAGAAACUAAGUUUCCCAAAGGGAAUAUUGAAGAACCUUUACGUCUGAGUUGGUACCUUAUACGCUCCAGCAGACUUCGUGGCGAUAGAGACUGAUACUGAUGAGAGGGCACCCAUCAUCCUAGGGAAGCCAUUCCUGAACACCUCGGGAGCUGUCAUCUACGCUAGUGCUGCCAAGAUCAGUUUCUACAUCAAGGGGAAGAAGGAGACAUUUUCCUUCAAGAAACAAGACUACACAAAUCCCAGAGCAAUCCCGACAUGAACCAAGGAAGAGGACCAACAGGAGGAACAAGAACAAGCAAAUGUGUACCGAGUCAGCUAAGAUGGUCACUGCAGCUCAAGGAGGUCAAGAUCGUCAACUCAAAUCACCGUUCCUGACCAAAAAGGACGACCCAAGAAUGCCAAGCAUCCAGUGCUCCAUUAAUGGAUACAACUUUCAGAAGACACUCUACGACACCGGAUCUGACGUCAACAUAAUGGCCGCAGUCACUUAUCAGCUCCUGCAUGGAACCAUGUCCCUACAACCAACAUACAUUCAGCUCCAGAUGAUUUUAAGAUUAUUGACAUGGGAGAAGACAAGUACGAUCCACCCAUCAUCCUUGGAAGACCGUUCCUCAGCAAUGUUAAAGCAAUCAUCUACAUUGGAACCGGAGAUGUCCACAUGCACUUCCCUUCUGACAAGGUACGCCGCUAUUUUACUGACAUUAACUAUAUAGUUGAAGACUCUAUGCAGGUCAGGACAAGAAGAAGACGACGCAACCGUAACCAGAGGAGGAAAAUCAUAAAGGAUAGAUGGGCAGACUACGAAGGAGAAGUGGUAAUGCCUGAAGACAUACAACUUGAACAGAACUGUCCUGAGGAGACCGUAGCACCAAGGCAGGUGUGGAGAAAGAAGAUAGUUAUACAUGAAGAGGAAGCACCGUCGGAACCACCGACUACGCCAUCCAGCGAAUCCCAGAAUGACUCAGGAAACGGAGAGUCCCGUUCGGAGGACUUAAAAACACCGAACGCCUUGCCAAGUGGUAAACUUGGUAGUUAUCUUUUUUCUUUCAAUUAUUUAAAAUAGUUUGCUUAGUUAAUCAGGUUCAUAUCAUCUUGAAAAGAAAAUAAAAAUAUUAAAAAUAGUAAGCCCCAUGUGAGUAUGCUCAUGGCAUAAAACCCAUAAGUACAUCCACUGUGGUGGCGUAAAAAUAAAAUAAGUAUAUUCCUGUCCUAUAAAAAAUAAAUUAUAAAAAUAAAUUUAUGAUCCUACAAAAGAGAGUAAUAUUUAUUGAGGAGGCUCAACAUGAUAAAGGCUAGAUAUUUAUGCUAACACUUAACUAGUUCCACAAAGCUUUGUUGUCUAUUUGAGCUCCACAGAAUUAAAGGAUCAAAGAAGACUAGCAGACAGAGGACAUCCUAAUCACUGUCAGGGUGCUGCCGAUAUUCAAAUACACCUCCACCACCUACUAGCUACAUCAAAAGAAAUUGCGUCAAAAUCCAGCUUGGGGGAGAGCAUCCCCAUUUAUCCAGCUAAUUGUUUCUACUCACGUUUAUACUUUACUCUAAUAAUAAAAAGAUGCAUAAUCAUAAAAACCCAAAUAAAGAUUUUGUGCUUAUAUAUAUAUCUUUGCUUAGCUUGCUAAAUAAAUAAAUAAAGUUUGCUAUGAACCCUCAUGAUAAGCUCUCAUAUGAAAAUGAUGAAUAGUUGCUCUGCCAUGACUAGUUCUCAAAAUUGAAAUCUCUCUCAAGUUUAGGCAUGACUGUUAUUAAUUAAGAUUUGCUCUAAACCUAAACUUGUGGGAAGAGUACUUGAUCUGAAGUCUAAGUCGUUAACGGAUAUGAUAUGGGAAGGUUGAGCUGCUGUUUAUCUGUUCCUAGAGAUGCUAGAAUUCUGGAGAAUUUUAUCUUUGAAAAUCUUUAAAAUGUUGCAUGAUGAGUUCCUGUAUGAUGACAGUUUAAAUUCCUACCACAGCCAUAUAUACAUGCUUGCUAGACUAUGAACCACACAUUUACUUUACUACUUAUGAGCAUUGAGUGUGGUCAAGCUGUGUAGACCCUAGGAGCUUGUCAUGUGGUUAAAUCAAAAUUCACUUGCACGUUCACUCACACAUGCUACUUCUACUCCGGAAGUACGCAUCCACAUAUAUCCACCCAUUUCCAUCUCCAGAACCACCCAAAAAUAUUCUACUCCUAAUCCGGGAGAGAAUAGCCAAAAAUAUUUCUGUUCUUCCCUGUGAAAUAAAUGCUCAAGUUAUCUUGUUACUACCACUUGCUAUAUUAUCUCAUGAGAUGAGUGCUCUAAUAGAAAAAAGAGAGAAAAAAAUACGAGGAAAUAAAAAGGGGCAAGUGCCCGGAACCUCGAAAGAAAAGAAAAAAAAAGAAAAAAAAAAGUGAGACGAGAGGUAAAAAUGGACAAGUGUCCGACAGUAGAAUUAGGGGUACAAGAUACCCACCUGAGAGAAAAGAAAAAAGAAAAUAUAGAGCAUCUCAUUCUCCUCAAAAAGUUUCAAAAGAGCAAGAAAGGUGUGUAUCCCCUCAAAAGAGCAUAAGUGGAAUUAGACUUUCACCAUUAUCACCAUCAUCACCAUACACCAUUCAUUCACCACACAUGCACAUCUUGAUUUGACUUAUUGACUUGUUCUUCUGGAUCCAUGGUUUGACUAUGCAAUAAAUGUCUUGUAAGUAUGUAUUAGCUGUCUCCCACCUAUGAGCUCCAGAUAUCAAAAGCCUUAUUAGAGUAGGGUGAGAGAGAAGCCAAUGCCACUAUGCCUCAUACCAAAAAUACCACAUACUUUGAGAGAAGGCAUACACCAUUACUGCCUUGGUAAGGAUCCAGAAAUACCACAAAAAAAGAGACUAGAGAGAGUCAUACAAGGAAUCUCUGAGUUUUAUUUGAAAAUAUGCAAAAACUCUAGAGCUAUAGUUAAUUGAAGAACAUGAGACAUGGCGCUUGACUAGACCGUUCUAUCUUUUAACUGCUCAAGACACAAGUGACGGUUACAAGCCCCAUGGUGGAAGGUAAUAUGAGUAAGUUUAAAUCUUAACAGUUUACCCUAACCCAGAGAUGAGAUCUUGUUUGAACGCAUGUAUAUCUUUAAGGCAUGAAACCACUGUAGAAACUCUUGAGUCCAUCUUUGCUCAGGGACGAGCAAAGGUUAAGCUUGGGGGAGCUUGUUGACGGUCCUUAAUGCUCAUAUUUAACCAUCAACUAAUCAUGGAAAAGGAUCCAAAUGGAACCAACACCUAGACUUAGGGUUUUAUCUGACAGAAUUCCACGAGUUUUGGUGUUUGUGUAUUUCUGCAGGGGGUUAUCAGGAAAUAUAAAUGAAAGGCCGACACGUCGGGUUUACAUAGAGAUAUUAACGUGCCGCGCAAUUUUCUAUCAUCUAGAAGACUCCAGAAGCCACAGGACCGAAGCGGAGGCCGAGAGGACACACGGACAGGGCGCCCGCCCUCCUUUCCUGGGCGCCCGCCCUCAGCCAGAGUCCAAUCAGGACUCUCUUUCGGGAUAUUGCUCCACCGACCUAAAGGAUCAACAAUAACCGUUCAAUCAAUGUCGGUUUGACCCGACGGUCCAGAUGCACUUGAAGGGACUAUAAAACCAGACCCCCUGGCCCCUGG